AGAAAGGAUUGUAUGAGACUGUAAUUCCACGUCAUCCUUAUCCGUUUCCAACGAGAGAAUGACAAAUUAGAUUUUUCUUCUUGAUUUUUAGUAUUUUUAGUUGGAUUUAAAUUUUCUCAGGAGAAAAAGGUUGAAAAUCAAGAGUAAAAAUCUGAUUUGUCAUUCUCUAAUUAGAAAGGGAUAAGGAUGACGUGAAACCACAAUUUCAUAUCAUCUCUUUUCUAGAUUAAUAAUAUUGUAGAAGUGAAGGAUUAAGCUCAAGUUGAGGAAUAAUUAUCGGAUGCCGAACUUCCCAAGAUGGUCUAAGUUGAAAUAAUUUACUGUGAGUGGACUUUGGUAAAAAAAAAUAUGGUUUGUACAGCUAUGAUUAAGCCCCUGUGAACUAAAAUUUAUUCCUUAGAGCUUUCAAACUUUUUAACUGUUGAACUAAUGCUGACAGGGACAUAAAUGGAACUUUAUGGUCCUCAUACAUGAUUCUCCUCUUCUUCUUCUUCUUUUUCUCCCUUUUUUUUAACCUUAUUAUCUCUCAAAGAGACUAUUUUUUUAUUCUUCCUCAUAGAAAACCUCUUCAUCUCAUUCAUCUCCUCUUUUCUUUUGUGAUUUUUAAGCAAAACCCAGAAAUGGCAACAAGCAAAGCUGAAGGGAAAAGGAGACUGAAGGAAAUGGCGGAGGAGGAAGAAGAAGAAGAAGAGGACGAGGAUAAUAGUACUACUGGUGACGAUGACAAGAAGAAAAAAGGCAAAAGAGGGUCCAGUACGGUGGUCGGAGGCUCCUGUCUUCCCGCCUGUCAGGUCGAGAACUGCACUGCCGACAUGACCGAUGCCAAACGGUACCAUCGGCGACAUAAGGUGUGUGAGUUCCAUGCCAAGGCUCCUGUGGUUCGAGUUGCUGGGAUCCAUCAACGCUUUUGUCAACAAUGUAGCAGGUUUCAAACAAAACCCUAAUUCUUUAACCGCUGUUAUAGACUUUUAACGGUUUAACCUAACAAUUUCAUCACUUUAACUGUGAUUAUGUCUGCUUUUAAUUUCUAUUUCUAACCAAACAUUUUAGUUCUAUUUUUAUAUCUUGAUGUCUGAAUCCAUGAUUUUUUGCAAUUUUUCUUAUCUUAAUUACAUGUCUCCUUCAUUUCACUUAUAAAUCAUUGAUCUAAAUUUGUGAUUAUUUAUAGAUAUUCAUGAAUUAUUAGACUUCUUAAAAGCAUAUAGGCAAUAAUACCUCACAAUCAAUCCUAUCAAAUUCUCAUUUAUGCAUUUUUUUUUUAAAAUUUAAACAAAGUUUUUUCAAAUUAAAAGUUAGGAAAAUCCUUUUAAAAAUAAAUAAAUUUUGUAUUAUAUAUAUGGUGAAAGCUACAGUAUCAUUGACAAAGGUUGUACAAAAGAAGCCCACUUUUAUUUUCAUAAUAUAUAUAUACAUUAACAGCAGUAUACCCUUAGACUAGAUAGAUUCAAUAAGCAUUGAUAUUAUCAUUAUUUAUUAUAUAAAAUAAUUUAUUUUCUAGGAAAUUACAUUUCAUUUUCUUUUAAAGAGGUUCAUUCUCAUAUAUAGCAUUCAAACUGGUGAUGCUAAUGCAGGUUCCAUGAGUUAUCAGAGUUUGAUGAAACAAAAAGGAGCUGUCGACGGCGUUUGGCCGGACACAACGAGCGCCGUCGGAAAAGUUCAUCGGAAUAUCAUGGAGAAGGCUCAAAUUAUUAAAACUAGCUAAGAAGGCAAGCCUAUAUAUAUAUAUGCAAAAAAGAGUCAAUUCAGUCUUGAAUUUAAUAUGAUCCUAUGUAUGGGAAUGGACUUUCCCAAAUGAUCAUGUAACUAUAUGGAAUUUACUAAUUUAACCAUGCUCUCUCUCUUCUGUCAAUCUUAAUUUUACCCCUAUAAUAAUGUCACCCUUUUUCAUGCUUGCUCUACUAUUAUAUCCUUUAUGUAUGUAAUGCCUUCAUAUAUGCUUCUUAAUUUGUGGGUUUCUUUUGGUUGGUUUAAUGUUUCUAUUGUAUGCUUUUGUUUCCUUACAUGCAUUGUGUGAUUCAUAUUCUUUUUCAUGAAAAAAACAAUAACAUUUAGGGCUAAUUUUUUAUCGCGGUGAUAUAUUAUUUAGUAUUUGAGUUUAGUUUUAAUAUUCAAUUUGGUACCUGAAAUUUUGCUAUCCCAAUUUGGUGCUGAAGUUUGGUUUCAAUGCUCACUUCAGUGCCAGAGUUUUCUUUUUUUGGUCUUAGAUAAGAAUAUGAAUGUGGCUUCGAUGCUCAAUUUGUAUCUUAAAUAUCUAUGUUGUUUAUUUUACUAGAGCACACGUGUCAAAUAUUUUUUGGACCAAAUGAUGCCAUUUGAUCUGAGUAUCAAAUUGAGCAUAAAAACCAAAUUCAAGAACCAAAUUAGAACAAAAACAAACCCAAAUAUCAAAUUGAGUACUGAUACCAAACUCAGAUUGCUAAAUAAUAUAUUAACCCAUUUUUAUUCAGAUUGUCAACAAGUGAAUAUAAAAAAAAAAGAGGCUAAAAAUGCCUCAAAAGACUUUCUUUCUUUGUUUGAGAUCUUCUAAUAAUUACAUUGAGCUCCGAUUAAACUUAAAAUCGAACUGGAUCAAACCUAAACAAGAAGUAAACUUUCUUCAUUAUUAAUUUUUUCUUACACGAAAUCAGAAUCUAAAACUUUACUUAAAACAAUUCAUCCUUAAACAGGAAAAAGAGAAAACAACCAAAUUAAUUUCCGACAGGGAAGGGGUGCCUUUUUAUGUGUCAUAAUCAAAAGUCGCAUUAAAUUUUUUUCACAUGAACAACAUGUACUCUAGCUUGCGCCGUUGGUGAGAGGUAACUGCUGUUUUUUCAUAUGUCAAAUAGAGAAACAGUUAAAAAAAGAGGAGUUGACAGUUGGAAUUUUCUAACAUGUUAGUGUCUUAAAAACCACCUAAACAAGCUUCUUUUUUUUUUUUUUUUGAAAUUAUGGGUCUCUCUCAUAAAUCUUCAACUUUUAUCUCGAAUCUAUCAUGGAGAAUAAUGAGAGCAUAAAACAGUAGCAUUACGUACCGACCAUCGUUUUCCUUUUGCUUUGCCCAUUGGAAUAUCGAAGGCUGUUUAAUACUACAGCGAAAGCGUUUGUUGUUUUGUUCUUGUUGCUUUGCAUCAUAUACCAAAUUUGAACGGUUGGUCGACAGAAUUGUGUUCAAUAUCGUCCUUUGGUUACAGUCCCUUUUUGAUUCUGAGUCGAGUUAUAAAUUGGAAGAGGAGAAAUUACGAUUUGAAUUCCGGUAAUUUUUAAAAUAUUUUAAUUAAAUUAUCAAAAUAUCAAUAUUAUAUUAAUCAGCGGCUUAGAUAUUAAAUGUUAGUUGAAAUCAGAUUCAGCAGCUUUUGAUGAAGGUUGGGAAUUAGCUUCUACGGCAUGUGCCUAGAGAUAGCGAUAAGAACACAGGUUGCAUAGUUAAAAUGACUUUUGAUGGAGAAUAUAGCUUGAUUUAUAUGAAAAAACCUCUAGUGUAAUUAGCUUAUUUUUAUUCACCAAAAAUUUAAACAUAUACAUUCAUUGCAUGGACAAGUUUAGGUAGAAAACAAUAGAUUUAAGUUAUCUAUAUGGUAGGUGUCAUAGGUUGCGCAUUCUAAUCUCAGGACAGUAGGUAUAAACACACUUAAGAUUUGAUCAAUGUAUUUUAAUUAUACUCCUCAUCAUGUCUGAAUUAGAGUUUAAUGUCCAACCUGACAAUUAGGCUAAUAGAAAAUUGAGUGAUACGAUAUAAAAAUUUUGAAAACUCAUUUACAAUAUUUUUAUGAUCAAUUUAAGAUUUAAAUAUAGUUUGUUAACAUCUUGUGCAAUUAACCCUAGCUUCAAUAAUACUAACAAGAACCGAGAAAAUUGAUAAACACCGAUUAGGUUGCUUCAUAUAAUUAAAAUUGCCACUAGACCAGAUGGAUGGUACAAUACCCACCCAUUAAAACAUAUAGUAUUUGCUUACACAAAUUAUUUUUCGACUGUGACAGAUACCCUUCGUCAAAUCUCUGAAUAAUCUUAACAAAUAUCAUUCUAUCUAAAAUUAGGUCGUCAAGUUUAAUUUUUUCGAUAAGAUUAUCAUGACUCACUAUUAAUAAAUAUUACUAUCUUAUCACAUCAAGUCACAUAAUUAAUAAUUCAUUAAUCAAAAGGACUCGCGAUAGCUUAUGAAUGUCUCCCUUAAAUACAUCAUCAAAAAUUCCAUGACAAGGGACACGAAUGAGAUCAUCAACUCUCUACAAUCUCCUCGUCAGUUAUGACUCUCGAUCCACCAAGUGAACUGCCUCGACCCUUCAACUUCCAAUUAUAUCUUUGUAUGAAUUCAACACCCAGAGAUUAUUAGGAUUUCCAGGGUUUUAUGAUGAAAACAUAAUAAACAUUAGAAGCAUCCUGUGAUUAUUGAUAUAAUUGCAGCUGCAUUAUAAGCAUGAAAGGCUGUAGCCACGUGUCAUGCGUUUAGAGUGUGGCCCGUGGUUCCCAAUCCCACUCAUGUCUCUCGGUUGAUAAUGCAUGUGUUCCAAAAUCUGAUGAAUUGACUAAAGUUUAUUUUGAUUUUCUAUUUUGGAAAAUAAAGUUGGAGCAAAUAAGCCCAAGGUUCCUUUUCUUUCAUAGAUGAAUCGAGUAUGUGGACUAUAAGGAUUUGGAUAUCGAAUAUGAAGAUUUAAUAUAUUAUCAUUUCUUUUUGUCGGUUAAGUCUUAAUUCGAUUGAUAUAGGCAUUGUUAUCAAUGCAGGAGGAUGUGAGUUCAAAUGUAUUGAAACGCAUUAUCCUUUUAUUUAUGGGUUAAGGAGGAACCAUGAAUAGUUCUAGGUAUUGUGUCGAAAAAAGAACAAAUAUGAUCAGAACCUGUAAAUUUAAAAAGAUCAAUAUGAUAUACAAAGAGUAAAUAUAUUUGUUCAAAUCUAUAAUGAGUAUUUUAAAAAAUAUCAAUAUGAUAUAUGAAGAGUAAAUAUAUAUAUAUAUAGCUCAUAAACUCAGCAAAAACUUAAAAGUGAAAGUGGAAGAUUACAAGUUACAAUUAAGGGAUAAAUAACAAUGGAAUUACAUUUUCUUUUAAUUUGUAAUGCACAAAAACAAAAUUACAAACAAAAUAUAAAUAUAAAAAAUACAAAUUUAGUUUUGGGGUUUAAAUUUAAUUUAUUUGAUGUAUAAAUGCAUGCAAAUAUAUGUUCAACAUAUUUUUAUAAUUAUUUUCUUUAUUGAAAAUUUUUAUAAUUGUCUUCAUUUACAUACAACGAUGAUUAAAGCUUUAUUAUCGUAUGACAUGAGGUCAAAUCUUAUCAUUUUAAUAUUGUAUAAAAAAACAUAUUUUUUGUAUUUUUCGGAUCAAAAUACAUUAUAUCAUUCUAAAAUUAAUUUUAAAAUAUUUAAAAUUAAAAUCUUAAUAAUAGCGAAAGAAAAUCAACCUUUAAUUUUAUUUAAGAGAUAAAUCUCAAAAACUAUACACAAGGGACAUAGCUAGAGGGGCAAGUAGUGGCCUUGGUCCCCCUAACUAAGGGUUAUAAUUUCUCUUUUAGUCCCUUUUAGUUAUAAAGUAUUCAAUUUAAGUCAUUUUUGAACAAAAUUUUUAACUUUGACCCCCAAAGUUCUAAAAUUUUGUCCCCCAAUAAUGAAUUGCUGGCUUUGCCCUAGUACAUGAAUUUUGAUUUUAAUUCAAGUGUAUAUAUUUAAAGAAAUAAAUACAUCACUUUAUUUUUAUACUAGAUAAAUAAAAUUAUUUUCAUAUAUAAUAUGUAAAUAUAAAAUAAUGUUUUAUCGAUAAUUAUGUUAAUAAUUUAUAAAAAAUUAAAUCAAAUCAAAAUUUUAAAUAUAAAAUUAUAAUUCAUGUAUAACAUUAUAUUUAACCUAAAUUCAUAUAUGAAUUUUAUUCCUUUAUUUAAUAAUUGAUGCAUAUUUAGGACCAAUUUAAUCUCAAUAAGAUUUCAAUUGUGUCUUCCAAUCCAAAAUGAUUGGGCCACUGAAGAGAAAGAAGCGUACAAGGUCUGCUGGAUGAAAUUUUUGUAUGUUCCUUUGACCCAACCUUCAAUAUAUAUAUUAAUGGGAACACUUAAAAUUUGCAUUUCUUUAUUACUGAGUCUAACCAUUUAAACCCCUUGCAAAUAGUGAAUUGAUGAGGGAGUGGCUUUUUCUCUCGAUUUUGAGAAUAAUCUAAAGGAAUUCACGGAAUUUAGGGGCUUUUCUUAGAAUUGAGAGAUAAAAAUCCGAACAUAAACACUUCAAGAACAAUACCUCUAUUGAGGGUCUGAAACUAACUUAGAGAGCGACCUCUCCAUGAAUAAACAAAAAUUUGUCUCAGCCAGCCUGCAAGCUCAUGCAAAUGAGUGCAAAGAAUUGUUUCCAUAUCAAAUAACAUCAAAACAGAAGCAUUUAGAAUUCGUUAUCAUAAUAAAUAAAAAAAUAAAAUGGGCAUAUUUGUUUCAUUAUUUUACUUCCCCCUGUUUCAUUGGUAAAUCCACCAAACAAAUAAACCAAAACAAAGGCAUUGGUCCAAAAUAUCCCAAAGGAACCUUAUGUUAUAUAACCUUCGGGACUAAGAACCCAAAUCAACAACAAAAUCAAUGGGAACCCACAAGCAAAACAGGAUCUCCAUGGAUGUUGCAGCUGAUAAUACUUCACUUGAUUCACUCUCAUUUGCUGGCCUCGUAUGCAUUCAAGAUCAACAAUCCAAGCCUCCUCCCCAUACAGCCUAUCACAGCAAUAAAGAUGACCAAGAGUUCGAGUUCAUUUCCGGUACGAAUCCUCUCGGCAGUAGCAAAGUGUCGAUUGAAAACCAUGCCACCGAUCACGAAAGAUCAGUUUCUCGUGAACCGAAUCAAGGUAAAAAGGAGCAGAGUGCGUCUAGGUCAUGGUUUGGGCAGAAAUUGCUUCUAUCAUUCGUUUCCCCAUGCAGGGAAUGUCAUGCUGUGAGGCCGACUACGAAACCACAUACAGGGCCACAAGAAAGUAGCAUCAAGUUACUUUAACUUCGAGCCUACUGUUUCUUUUCUGUUUGGUCCUUUCAGAAUUGAAUCAAUUUAGAGUUAGUGUAGUUGAAUAAAAGUUACAUAGAGAGACCUUAUAUACUACAUCACUGUUGAUUCACUGUUUGGGUUAAAUUCAGCAAUAUAACGGCAGUUGGUUUUUAGCACCAUUAUAUAAUUAUCACUGCUCAUUUAUAUAUGAUUCAUCAUCAGCCAUGAAUGGUGAUUAAACUUGUGCUAAUGGGGUGAAGCUUGACCAAUAGAUAUUAGAUAGUAGAUACUCUGAAUUUUUCAACUUCAACAAUAGUUAACCUCAAGAAUGACAACGGUUCAGUUGAAAUCAGUUUUGAAAUAAUUCAGUGAGAAAACCUAGAGGUGAUUAAAGUUUUGUCCAUGAAAAAGUCGACAGACUCAGGUGUUAUCUUGCUCAGAAGGAUUCAACGAAUUUUGAAUUUUGAAGGAUAGUGAGCGAUCAGAUACAUACCCAAAAAUUGCAAUUUAAUUGUGGAUCAACUGGUAAAGAUUAACCUUACAUGGCAGGCAAGCUUAUAGAUUUUUGAAUUGUCUCCUAAGACUGUGUCUAUGGCUCUUCAACAAGACAAAGCAUUUAGCAUUUUUUAGCAUUUGAUUUGAUGCAACUUUGUUUUAAUUUUCACCAAAAAAAAAACUCAAAAUAGCAAAUCAAAUAUAAAAGAUAUUGAUGAAAAAAAUAUGAGUCAAUAAUUAAUAACGAUUCACCUGAAGACUAAGAGAUAGAAAUAAUCUUUUAAGAGAUGAGAGAGAAGAGCUCUCAUGAUUUCUCUAAUAUCGAGAGAAAGAAUAAGGAAACUUUUAAGUCAUAACUCAUAAAGGGAAAAUUUAUAUAACCCACAAGUUUCAUGUGACAAAUAUGAGGUAUAUAAGGUUAUGUAUAGAUGGUGUAUAGUCCACGUGUUUGUAGUCAUUCAACACUUUGAUGAUCAUAUUUGAAGUUUAACAAAUAAAAUAACAACAAACAAAAAUGAAUUUAAUUUAUUCAAAUAAGUUGGAUUAAAUAAUUUUUAUAUAAUUUUUUUUCAAUAAUUCAAAUAUAAAAUUGACUAUAAAUUAAAUAAAAACAUAAUUGACUCCAUGUGAAUAAAAUUUUAACAUAAAUAAAAUCAAAAUCAAAUUGAUAUUUUGCCUCUCAACCCUAGCCAGCCUUGCUUUGCAGCAAUGGUCUUGGGCUAAUUUCUUUUAAGAAAAGCCGACUUUGUGAAUGUUAAAAAUAUGAUCCUUAUCUCUUGCGGUAUAAAGAAUCUAAUUCAUAUAAAGAAGGUUAAAAUAUGCUUUUGGUUCCUGUAUUUUUUUAUAUAUUUAUAAUUUAGUCCACUAUUUUUAUUUUAGAAGAUUUAAUUUUUUUUAAAAAUCUAAGUCCAAUUAUAAGUAUUAUUAAAAUUCUUUUAUUAGAAUCAAGUUUUUUACAACAUCAUUUUUUUAUUACACGAUUACCAAAAAUGAGUUAUUUUCUAAUUUUAAAAUGUCAUAAUAACAAAUUUAAUCGAAGAAUUUUAAUUAUAUUAACAAUUGAAUCCUAAAAUUCAAAUUAUUAUAAAAAAUAGUUGAUAAUACGAUUAUUAGUAAUAAUAAUAAUAAAAUAUACAUCAUAUACAAUUUUAUCUAAUUAGUCUAGUGCAUAUGUGUUAGAUUAUUCUCUCUUUAAUAUUUAACACUUGCUCUUUAUUAUCAUAUGUUGGUUAUUGACCGAGUUCAUCAUCUGAAUUUGAAUCUGCAUCAUCAAAAUUAUCAAUAUCUCAUUCUUCCAUGUACUUUUCGAAGUAUGAAUCAUCUCAAUUCCAUAUAUGAUUUAAGUUAUGAAAUAUGCAACAUGUCAGUACGAUCCAACGUUGUUCAUUUUUUUGUUAUACUGAGGUGAUGUUGUUAAUAUAAAAAAUAAUUUUUUUAGAAUAACAAAUCUCUUCUCAACCACAUUUUCGAAAUAUUAAAUGUUUCAAAUUAAAGAGUUAGCGAGUUGUCUAUGGUGAUUGUGUUUGACACCAUUCUCUCAAAUGGUAUCGUACCCCACGAUAUGGUGUAAGAAAACUUUUUGUAUUUAUAUCAUUAACAUCAACCUUAAAAUAUUUGGGUUUACGGUCCAAAGAGUCUUUAGCUUUAAUUAUAAAAACAUAUAUAAAUUUAAUUUGAAAAAAAGACUUAUGCUAGGUUAUAUUCCAUUUUUAUAAUACAUAAAUUAAAUAAAAAAUAAUAUCAAAAUUUUAAUAUAUAACAUUUAUAAAAAAAAUUAUAAAUUGUUCCAAUAACUUUCAUAAUACUUCUUAUUAAUAAUAUAAUUUUUUUUGCCAUAACUUUAUAAAACUAUUUUUUUAUAAAUAAGUUAUCAUAAAAAAAAACUAUAACAUUUUUAUAAUGUAUAGCAUGGACACAUAAAUAAAUUAUGUCCAUACUUCUUGUCCAUAAACUUUUAUAAAUAUAUUAUAACACUUUUAUAAUAUGUAAAUUAAUUUUUUAUAAUAAAUUUUUUAGUCAUAAAUUUAGAAUUUUUUAGAAUUUAAAUAAUAUAAAUUUUUUUGUUAUAUUUUUAUAAAAAAACAUAUUUUUUUAAUAAUAUAAUUUUUUAGGACUUGUAUAUAAGUAAUUAUUUGUCAUAAUCAUCCCAAACACUCAUUCAUAUUCAUGUUUAUAAUAUAAUUUUUAUAACAUGUGUAAAAAUAAUUUUUUGUAAUUGACUUUAAGUGUAAUUACCGAGAAAUUAUUUUAUAAACUAUUCCACCACAUCAUCUAUGGUCCCUUCCAAUAAUUCAAUGAUAUUUCAAUAAUUUUUUCCAUGUCAUUAGCACAUAAAUUUUGUAAUUUUUUACUCUGAACCCCGGACCAGAACCUUAAACCCCGAACCCAGAUUCUUAAACCCUAAAUAAUCAGCCUGAACCUUGAAUCCUAAACCUCAAACUCUUAACCUCGAACCCUAAACCAGAACUUGAACUCCAAACCCGAACUCGAGCCCGGAGUUUCAAGUUCGGGGUUCAGUGUAAAAAAUUACUAAAAUUAUGUGUCAAUAACAUGAAAAAAUUUGUUGAAAUGUCAUUAAAAAUUGGAAAUGAACUAUAUAGAUGAUGUGGUGGGAAGGGUCAUAUAAUAAUUUCUCGUAAUUACCUGUAUUAUUACUUCAAUUCUCACUCUUCCCUAAAAAUUAAAAAUAUAUAAUUACAGAUAAAUACACCGAAAUUUAAUUACCAAUUUACUUUUGAAACACGAUUUUAAUGUUAAAUCGUAAUUUAAUUACAACAUGCAGAUGCAACCCUGUCAUUGUUACGUCGACACAUGUGUUACAAAUUUACAAUACACCCCCCCCAACCUAUCUUUUCGAAAUACACAAAAUAAUUUAUUUUUAAAGUCAAUUAAAUAAAAAAUCCAUUAAAUUCCAUUCCAUCUAAAGAAAUAUCGGCCAUAGAUACGGAUCGUAUAUUUAUUUAUUUAUUUAUUUAUUAGAAAUUAUUUUAUCUUAGUAAUGUUUUGAGUUUUUCUUUUCUUUUCUUUCGGGAGGGAAUGUUUACUUCUUUUACUUAUAAUAAUAGUAUAAUACCUUAGACUAAAAAAAUAAGGAUUAAAUUGAUAAAAGAUAUAAAUAUUUAUAUUUAUCUAAAUUAGGGUUCAUGCUUAUUUAUUUACAUUUUAUUUUGUGAGAGUGUGACUCGCAUUUAUCGGAAAGUUUGCAUGCACUUAAGACAACAAUCAACGAACAGUCGAAGAAAGGCCAAAAUAAGCCCAACGUCGUAACGAGUAGGUAGGGCUUGUCGGGACAACACAAUGUAAACCCCAGGCAAAUGCGGCAUCGAUGUUGUGAUGAGGAGAGCUGGUAUGUCACGACGUCACAACGUAUUCUCCUAUUUGACAAUCGCGUUUUAGGCUUCAAGCAGGACUGCUUCUCCCAGUUUUAUUCUGAUUAUUCUAGAGAUAUUUUAGUAUAAUUAGAACUCUAAUGGCCAUUGUAUUAUUGUUUUCACAUGCCAAUUAGCAAAAGUUUUUCUUUUGGGAGCAACAAGAUGUAGUCGCAAAUAAGUUUUUGGUGAGAGAUUCGUGGUAACUAUGGAGAGAAUUUUGUUCCCGAGUUAGGGUUUUAUUUUCGGGGUUGGGUAAUCUACGUUUAGCACAUUUAGGUUUAUUUUCUCUAUAUUUUACUAUCGUUUGUUUACUCAUUUAAUAAAAAGUUGAAACCUCUUUUACCUGCAGUUUUUAUCCUCUUCAGAGGAGUCUUUCACGUAAAUAUCUAUGUGUUUGAUUUUUUUUUAUUUUACUCGUUUUUUUACUUAUACGAGUAGAUCCCAACAUAUUUCAAUCCAAUAAUUAUUAUAAUUAACUUUAACAAUUAAACAUCAUAAAUGCUAUGGUAGGUUAACUUUAACACACAUUGAAUUGCAUUAUUUCAACAUUAACUAAUUUCGUUGAAGAAGGGUCCUUUGGGUGAGAAAUUUAAAAGCUUGUCCAUUUUCCCAGCCAACAAAAUAUCGAUAAUAAUUGCUCUAUAUAUAUAAUUAAUCAAAAUAAUAUAUAAGGCUAGUCAAAAUAUUAGGUAGAGUUAGUAGUCAACGGCUACAUAAUUUUUAAGAAUUUAAUUUUGCUAUUAUAAACUUUUCAUACAUUGUUAAUAAGUAACAUCAUGCAAUUAUUUUAAUUUCAUUUUUAAAAUUGAAAAAAAAUAGGAGGGCCAAAGCUAAACAUUUUGUGUUAAAAUGACUUAAAUUGAUAGAUUAAUUUCUUCAAGGGGUCGAAAAAUAUAAAUUUCCCAAACAAUUAUACUAAUCAAUUAAGGGGCCAAGACCUUGGUCUAGAAGAUAGCGUUUGGCAUGGGAAUCAAAUUAAACAUUGAAAAAGGAGAUUAGAUACUAAAUUGAAAAAAACUUAAAAUACAAAAUUAAACAUUGAAAUUAAACCAGAUACAAAAUAGUAAAUUAACCAAAAGGAAAAAAGAAAUCAUAACUUGACCCCAUUUCUAAGUUGCUUUGUCGAUAAAGGCAUUACUGUGGCACAUAACACUCCGCGGAUUGCGCACCAAAUCGUGCCCAAUUGAAAGUCAAAAGUCAACAAAGCAACUCCUCUCUCUGACCAUCAUACCAUUACCCUCAACCGUCCGAUCAAAAAGUCAAACAAACAUCAUAAGGUCAUUUAAGUAAAUUCAACAAAAAUUUCGUUUCCUCCCUCCUUUUUCAGUUCUACUCGUCAGUAGUCACGUGCCUUUCAUCGACGAGUUUGUUUCACAUAUACAUAUAUCACGUGGCAUUAUAGUAAAUCAACUAAAAACUUCCCCUUUCUUUUUCUUUUUCACAUCACCAGUCCACCACCAGGCCCCGCCACUAAAUCUCCACCGCCCCACCAUUUCGUAACCCACUUCCAUCACCGUCUGAUUAGACGGGUCCAUUAACAUUGAUGAAACUCACCUGUCGCUGAUUAUCUCCAACUCUAUUUGGUCAACUUAAUGAAGAAAAUUUUUAAAUUCUCAACAGGUUUUGCUGCAAUCACGUCCCCAGCAUAAACACACACAUACGCUCUUUCUCUCUAAAAAAGCAAUAAAUAAUAAUAAUAAAAGAUAAAAAAGAGAAUGUGAGAAAAUGAUGAGACCAUUGCCAAAAAAGAGAGAGAGAGAGCAAAAGAAACCACAGAGGAAGUGAAUCGAAGGCUUAAACUUAAGCUUAAAAGAUGCUGAGAUUUACUCUAUUAUGGCUUCUCGUUUUCUUUUUAUCUCUCGUUUCAUCUUCAGCUCGGCCCGGUUAGCUUCUGUUACUGCAUUUUUUUUAAAAUAACAUGUUUAAUUUUGUUAUCUGUGUUAUUUUUAGUUCAUUAGAGGUUCGGUUGGAUAUGUUUGAUGUGUGAAUUACAUUUGUUUUUAUUAAGCUUCUUGUAAACGAGUCUUGAUUUUUUAUAAUUCAGUUUACGAUUCGUUUUUUCUCUUCGGUGAUUUGGUAGAUUGGCUGGUUUUUGGAAUGUGAAUUUAGAGUUUUGUGUUGAUUUUUAGUGAGUUGUGAGAAUUACAUUUAUUUUGAUUAAGCUUCUUAUAAACGAGGCUUGUUUUUUUAUAAUUCAGUUUACGAUUCGUUUUUUCGCUUUGGUGAUUUGGUAGAUUGGCUGGUUUUUGGAAUGUGAAUUUAGUGUUUUGUGUUGAUUUUCAGUGAGUUGUGAGAAUUAAAUUUAUUUUUUUUAAGCUUCUUAUAAACGAGUCUUGUUUUUUUAUAAUUCAGCUUAGGAUUCAAUUUUUUGCUUUGGUUUGUUUGGUCGAUUGGCUGUUUUUUUAAACGUGAAUUGAGUGUUUCGUGUUGUUGUUCAGUGAGUUGUGAGAUUGAGUCAAAAGGAACGGUAUCGGGGGAUAUGAAUGUGUUUUUUGUGGAAUUAACAGUGUCUGGAUCGAAAAUGUAGGAAAAAUAAUCGAAAGCAAAAUCAUUAAUGUACAUUAAAAAAAAAGAAGAAAAAAUUGCUGUGAAAAGAAAACAAUUCUGCCAUGGCCAGACAGAGGAACAACAUGAAUAUUUUAUGGUUUUCUUGUGGAUACAGUUGUCCGUACCAUGCCACAGGAAUUUCUUCACCGAUUACAUAUUACUAUGUUGGUGAAAUAGAAUUCUAUGUCAAAUCUUUCUAUGGACUUGUGAAAUAAGAAAUCAAAAGAAAAUUAUAAGCAUUACCAUUUCUUGCAACAGUGAGUUGUAGCUUAGAGUUUGUGGAUAAAAGUGUAUUCACUUUUCAUAUUUUAUCUAAUACAUUCUUCUUAUAUGGUUAGUUCUUGGCACUAAAUGGCCAUGUUUUCUUGCUGCAGCACCUUUUGCUAUGCGCAUAAGCUGUGGGGCUCGUCAAAAUGUCCGAACAGCACCAACAUAUGCACUUUGGUAUAAAGAUUUUGGGUAUACAGGUGGAAUUCCAGCUAAUGCAACAACUCCAAGUUUCAUUACUCCUCCGCUAAAAACACUCCGAUAUUUCCCUCUAUCUGAAGGUCCGGAAAAUUGCUACGGGAUUAAUAGAGUACCGAAGGGACACUAUACUCUGAGGAUCUUCUUUGGAUUAAUUAAACAGCCUGAUUUUGACAAUGAACCUCUAUUUGAGAUAUCUGUUGAAGGCACCUUGAUUCAUUCACUGAAGUCAGGCUGGACUAGCCAUGAUGACCAGGUGUUUGCUGAAGCCCUUGUGUUUCUUUUAGAUGGCACAGUAUCUAUUUGUUUCCAUAGCACUGGUCAUGGAGAUCCAGCAAUUAUUUCUAUUGAAAUUCUUCAAGUUGAUGAUAAAGCAUACUAUUCUGGUCCAGAGUGGGGGAAAGGUGUUAUCCUGAAAACAACUUCAAGACUGACUUGUGGCACAUCAAAACCAAGAUUUGAUGAGGAUUAUAGUGGGGAUCAUUGGGGUGGAGAUAGAUAUUGGGAACCCAUCAGAACUUUUGGCCAAAAUGCUGCCGAGCCGAGAUCUACUGAAAAUAGCAUUAAACAAGCUUCAGAUGCACCAAACUUCUAUCCAGAAGCCCUUUAUCAAAGUGCAGUUGUUAGUACUGAUAGCCAGCCAGAUCUAGCUUAUACAAUAGAUGUGGAUCCCAAUAAGAACUACUCCAUAUGGUUACACUUUGCAGAGAUUGAUGCUUUAGUCACAGAUGCUGGGCAAAGGGUGUUUGAUGUUCUGCUUAAUGGUGACACUAUAUUUAAAGAGAUAGAUAUUUUGAAGCUGAGUGGUGACCGGUAUACUGCACUAGUGCUUAAUACAACUGUUGCUGUUAGUGGUAGGACACUGACAAUAACCCUUCACCCUAAAGAAGGCCACCGUGCUAUCAUUAAUGCCAUUGAAAUCUUUCAAGUAAUAGCUGCUGAGUCCAAAACUUCAUCAGCAGAAGGUAAUGCUUUCUUCUAUUAUUUCUGCAGACUGUUUAUGCUGAUGUGUGUGAUUGGUCAUUGGAAAUUGUUUUUUACUGCAAAUGACCAAGGUUCUUCAUGAAAGGUGGUAGAUAUUUACUAACUUGUUGAUAAUUCCUGAUUCUAGUUAGGGCCUUACAGGCAUUGAAGAGAUCACUGGGGCUUCCAAAUCGUUUUGCGUGGAAUGGAGACCCAUGUGUUCCCAAGGAGCAUCCAUGGAGUGGAGCUGAUUGUCAAUUUGAUAAAUCUGGCAGCAAGUGGUUCAUUGAUGGCCUGUACGCUCUUGAGCAUUUUCCUAAUCAUUGAGCUUUAUUAUUUAUUUCUGCUGAGAAUAUCUCUUCUUUUCAGUAUGCUUCUGUUGAUGUCUAUGCUAUGGCCUAUCCAUUGUUCUUGAUAGCUAAAGCUAUUCUUGAACUGUUUUCAGCAUUUGAGUUUGUUUGUGUCAUGUUAAAAAAAUAUGAGAACAUGUGCAUAUGCGAGGAAAUUAUAUUAUCAUGUGAGAAGAAAUUAUAAGUCAAAGCUGCUUCCAUUGAUCUCUUCUCUUCUAUUUGGUUUUACCUAACCCAUUCGGCCCUAAUAUCUGCACUUCAUUCGUUCCUACAUCAUCUCUGCUCUCUGAUUUUCUGAAUGCAGAGGAAGCAUCAAUGAUCAUAUACGCAAAUUAGUUUUUGGAGGGGAAGCAUCAAUUACAUAUAGCAAGUGUUUCCUAGAAUAUAUAUGUAUCCAUUUUAUGAGCCUAAAAUAUAACUGUUUUAAACUUAUAUUUGCAACUUUAUCAUUUAAAGCUUAAUAUACGUUGCCUUCACCAGUUAUAUGGGUUUACCAUAAGUAAUUGUCUUUUAAUUUAUGCAUGACAGUGAUCUUGCCAACCAAGGUCUUAAGGGGUUCUUGCCUGAUGACAUAUCCAAACUAAUUCAUCUACAGAGCUUGUAAGUACAGAUAGUUCUUUUCUAAGUUUCACUGACAGAAAAAUUAUUUUCCCUUGCUUGCUUUCUCGAACUAUCUAAAUGUUUUCGCAUAUUCUUAAUUUUACAAUAAAUGAACCUCCUCUUCAAAUAUGCCUAAUAUCCAUUUCUCUUGUUUAUGUUGAGCUUGGCCUUGAUAGAAACUUGAGUGGAAACACAAUUCACGGGGUCAUUCCACCAUCACUUGGAACCAUAACCAGCUUAGAAUUGCUGUAAGUGUAUCAUGAUUUCUUUUCCUUAUUGAAUAUUCCUUUGAUUGUAAUGAUUUGUGUAUUUUCUGCAUGAACAUGCGAUGUUGGGUUUGAUAUAACCAUCAUAACUAAUGUUUUCUUGAUCAGUAGCACAUCCUUGGAGUUGUUUGUUGCAUUCUUCUUUCAAUAACAAUCACACUUGAAAGGACACUAAACUCUUGAUGCUAGAUAUUGGCAUUCUUUUCUUGAAGGAAACUUUGAGUUUAGAGUCUGAUGUCUAGCUAAGAGAAGCACAUGACUAUUUCACUUUAGAACACAUUUCGCUAGGCUCUAUCAAUGUUAUUCAUAUGAUGUCUGGAUACAAAUUGCAGGGACCUCUCCUACAAUUUCCUCAAUGGAUCAAUUCCUGAAAGCCUAGGGAACUUGACCGCAUUGCGCAGAUUGUAAGAAUUCAUUUGCUUGACCCGGAAUCUGAACAUACGACUGAAGAACCUGAUUGAAAUUGUGAUUGUGCAGGAAUCUUAAUGGCAACUCUUUGUCUGGAAGAGUCCCAGGUGCACUUGGAGGAAGGCUUUUGAAUGGAGCUAGCUUCAAGUAUGUUCUCCCAGAAUUUCGUUAGUAUUUGCCUGAAAUGUUCUUUAUGAGUAUCAAAACUGCCACAUAAUGAUCAUAAGUAAACAAAUUCUUAUACAAGACAAACAAGCACAUGCACUUGCACAUGCUUACUCUAGUUGCUUGCAGUUUUACUGACAAUGCUGGUCUCUGCGGCAUACCCGGAUUACCUACAUGUGGACCCCACCUCUCUGCCGGUGCAAAGGUUGGCAUUGCCUUCGGUGUAUCCCUAUCAUUUUUACUUCUUGUUAUCUGUUCAGUUUGUUAUUGGAAAAGACGGCAGAACAUUCUUCGAGCACAGCAGAUAGCAGGUUAGUACCUUCAUGAUUUAACAACUUAAAAAAUUUAUUUGGUGCUUUUUUCUCUCUUUUCUCUGCAUUGCAUAUUCAUAUUUCAUUGGCUUGUGCAGCAAGAGGUGCUCCAUAUGCAAAAGCAAGAACCCAAUUCUCGCACGAUAUCCAAAUGUCAAGGCACCAUAAUCAUGGCCAUACUCGGACAGCUGCUGAGAAUGGACCAAGCUUGCUAUCGUGAUUAAAAUCAUAGUAAUAAUCCCAACUCUUCUUGUUUGGUUCUGCUAGCACCACAAUCAUUUCUUUAGCUCAUGAUGCUUCUGCCUAAAUCUUCUUUAUUUUGUAAAACUCUCUCCUUAAAAGGCCCCUAUAGAAUCACUUCGAAAAGGUCAGAUACCCCAACAGUCACAAAAAAAAUGCAGCAAAACUGAAGUACAUUAUCUUCUGUGAUGUGUGAAUUUUGGAAGGAAAAUCAUUGUCUACUCGCUCGGGUCGUGGCAAAGUGGGAAAACGGCGAACACCUAAUUCUCAUGUAAGCUUUGUUUUAGUCAGUUUAAAUUCAUUCUAAUUGUUUCUUAGAUAUUUGUUUAGAUUUUCACUUUAGCAAAAUAGCAUAUGUUUAUGUCAAAUAGUCUUGUUUAUAGAUCAAUAUACAAAUAAUAAUAUACAAUUAUAAUUUAAGGUCUUAUUUAUCCUAUAUUUUUUAUGAAAUUUUUCUGCAUCCGAUAAAAGUUUUCAUUAAAUUUGAAUUCAAGUAAUAUUGAAUUCUUAAACGCGAGACAAGUUUUCUAGUGCUGUUUUUUCGUUCAUAUGAUUCGAAUUCAAAAUUUUUAUCAUUCGUCUUGAUAGUAAAGGGUUUAUCUUUAUAGUCGUCUAUUAUUAGGGUAAAGAAAAUUUGAUUUAAUGAUUCCUAAUUAAAUUUGUUCAUGGAUUGAACCAUUCGCUCAAGUUUGAAAGCCUGUUCGAUUGUCUCGUUUAAAAUAUGGUUCGAGUUUGAGCUUGAACAUUUAAAGCUCAGUCUCACCUUGGCUUAUUUUUAUUGUUUGUAAUGUUUUUAUAUUAUAUUAUAUUUAUAUAUUAUAUAAUUUGUAACCUAUGAAAAUUAAAUCUAUAGUUGUAUUAUGACUAAAAAAUGUUAAUAUGACUAAAAUUUUAAUAAAUGAAAAAUAUAUAAAUUUAUUAAAUUUUAAAUUAAUAAUAAUAUAAAUAUAUAGUUUUUAAUUUUUUUAAAAUGAGUUAACUUAAAAUAAGAUUAAGUUUGUUAAUUACAAAUAUGGAUGAGUUUAAGUAAAAUUUUAGUUUCAUAUUUGAAGUAAAGUUAAUGGCAAGCAUAAUGUCUAAUCCAUGGAAAUUUCUAGUUUUAACCCAGCCCAAUUGAUAGAGUCAAGGUUUUUUUUUUUAAUCAAUUUUUCAAUUAGUUGAAUUGGGAUCAGGUAUAGAAAAAAUCUACCCUACUCUAAUAUUAGUUUAAAAUAAUGGAUAUAAAAAAGUGAUGUUACCAUAAAUAUAGCUAAAAAUAACUAAUUGUCUAAUUAAGAAGUAUUAUUAUUAUAUUUUGAUAAAAAAUUAAAAGUAUAAAGGUUGAUCUGUUUCUAUAGUCAUUAUAUUUGUAUUUCUAAGAAUUUAGUGCAUUUGCUUUUUAAAUUUUUAAAUUUUGGUUUACCUUUUUUUUUGUUAAAUUAUUGUCGUGACAUUUUAAAAUAUAAAAAAAUUAAUGUGAUAUUUACGAUCAAUAACAUGAUGACACAUGUAGCGUGUCAAAAUGUAAGGCUACCACGUAUUACAAUGAUACGUUAGCGUAUUUGAACGGUGUUAGUUAAGUGUUUAAAAAAAUAUUAAGUUGACUUAAAGUUUUCAAGUUCAAAUAUAAGAUAGAUCCAAAAUAAAUUCAAGUACUAAAUAAAUAGAAUUUACAAAGUUGAGGUAGUUUUGUAUAUAUUAAUUUUGAGGCAAGUAAUAAUUACGUAUGAAUAGUAAAUUCUAAUUUGUUUUAAUUAUGACGCCAAAUUCUGCAUUGAUUGACAUCAUGCUUCGGUCUAUGUAGGUUAGAGGUCUGACAUUGUGAUUUCCACGCAGCGAAUCCAUAUCCCUAAGUCCAAACAAAUAAGGUAUAUGAAUGUUUUUGUUAAUAAAUACAAAAACCGAUAUUUAUUAAAAUUAAUUAAUAUAUGAUUUAUAAUAAAUUAUAAUUAAAAACCGAACAUGAAUCUGAAAAAUAAUAAAAAAAUUUAUUUACUUGAUAAAUUAUUUUAAAUUUUAGAUAAGCCAUUAGUAAAUUGAAAAAAAUACUCUCUUCUUGAGAGGUGUUGAGGUUCGGUUCUAAAAAAAAGAUAAUGCUCAACUUCAUUUUCGACCCAACUUGAUCGAUUCAAUAAGUUCAUUUCACUAUUAAAAAGAGAAUAAAAUAUUAAAAUAUAUAUUUAUUUAUAUUUUAUAUAUUUCUAAAAUUAAAUUCAUAUUAUGAAUUUGUGAUUAUAUUUUUCAAAAAUACUAAUUUUUUUUAAACUUUUUAAAAUAUUUACAUAUUCGGUAAAUUCAUUAACCAUAAAAUUUAAAACUACUACAUAUCUAAAAUAAGGAUAGAACCCUCAGUGACUUCAUUCUUAUUUAAUAUUGAUGUAGUGUAAUAGCAAGACAAGAAUCAACAGCCCUAAAAACAUACAACAUAAAUAAAUAAAAUAAAAUAAUAAUAAUAAUAACAUCACGUGAGAAGGUGUCAGUAACCUGCAGUGAUUUUCACCCCCCCUACCCCUUUCUUCCUUUCACAGUUUCUCUUCCCAACACUGGACUGCUGCUGCUACCCUUUUUUUCCUGACUCUCAAAACCGAGUCCAACACGCCACUCCACUUCACUCCAGACUCACUCCCUCCCCAACUCAAACUCGGUCCUGUCUCCUGCAACUCAGACACCUCCUUAUGUACCUUCCACGUGGGGUCUCUAUCUCUCUCCUCUGCUAUUCACCCUCCCACUCAACUACCCCACACGUCAUACCCUCUCCUCCUGCUCUCUGAUCCUCUCUCUGCCAUCUCCACCAGUCCCCACUCUUAUAUUAAUCAUCAUCUUUUCUAUUUCUUUUAGGCAUAAUACCUUUUCCCACCGUCCAACUUUAUGAAAAACUCAUUUCAGUCCCAUUUAUUUUUUUCACCUUUAAAUAUAUGUUUUUUAUCAAAUCACUUCAAAAUUUAUAGAAAAAUUAAAUUUCUUUUAAAAUUUUCUGUGGUAAUAUACAUGUAAAUUGCAACAUGGAUAACACGUCAAUAUUUAAUUAAUUUUUCAUUAAAUUUAUUAAAAAAGUAUAAAAAUUUAAAAAUUAAUUAAAUGCUGACAUGUCAAUUCACGUAUAUGCCAUGUCAAUACAGUUAACAAACGUAGAUUUUUUUAUCCAUUUUAAGGUGAUUUGACAAAAAAUAAAAGUUUAAAGACUAAAAAGAAACUAAAAAAUGAAUAGAGCCCUAAAAUGAUUUUUUUCGUAAAGUUAGAGGGUCAAACACGAUAUUAUGCCUUUCUUUUAUUUAUAGUUUUUAUACUGAAAGAAUAUUAAAUGCAGGCGCCGCUGAAUACCCGUACAGAGGAAAAAGAAUAGGGCAUACGUAAGCACCGGCGCUGAGUUCACUCAGUUGACAGACACACCUCCCCCCUCUGCUCCACACGUCUAAUCAGGCGGCGGCUCUCUCUUUUCUUUAUUUAAAUAUAUUCUUAUUUUAUAAUGGGUUAAUGUCUUGGUUAGUCCUUGAGCUUUCAUCUAAUGGGCAAUGUGAUAUUUAUAUAAAGAAAAGGUCUAAUUUGAUACAAAACUUUAAUUUAAUGAUUGGUGGUGGGAUUUGAUUAAAUUAUUAUUUCUUAUUUUAAGCAAUAAAUAAAAUUUUAAAAAUUAUAUUCAAAAUAUUAUAUCAAUCAUAUAAUGACAUUCAUUUAUACGUCCUUGUGAAGUCAUCAUGAAAUUAGAUGAUAUUAAAGCUUUGGGGUAGGUUGGUACAUAAUAGAAUAGUAAGAUUUCUAAAAUCAGAUUGAUGAUCGAAUCAGUUAGAUUAUCGACUAAUUCAUAAGUCAACCGAUCUAAUUUUUUAAUCACACCGAUGCUCAAAACCAAUUUAAUCCAAUUCAAACAACAUUCCGGAAUAGUAUAGAUACCAAAUUGAAUAUUUUGGUUAUACAAAUACUGGAUUAGAUAUUAAAUUAAAGUUGAGGGGCUAACUAUGGAAUUAGCAUUUAACAUUUAAAUUUGCAGUAAUGGGUACGGGAGAGACCGUAGUGGGUCACUUCUUUUUAACUACAUACAAACGCACACAAAGUCCCCUCCGGUCUCCCUUUUCAUAUCAUAUUUACUUUUUCUUUUUUUUCUUUAUAUUUUCUCUUCCACUAAUACUAAUAACCCCCAAAGCUAAAACCUUUGAGCUUCUCUUUCAUGGCGUCCUCAAGGGAAGGUCACUACAGAGGUGUAAGGAAGAGACCGUGGGGAAGAUACGCAGCUGAAAUACGUGAUCCAUGGAAGAAAACAAGGGUUUGGUUAGGUACAUUCGACACACCCGAAGAAGCUGCACUCGCUUACGACGGAGCAGCUAGGUCCCUCCGUGGUGCCAAAGCUAAAACCAACUUCCCCACACCGUCUUCCUCUUCUUCUCCGCCGCCGGCUCUUUCUCUUGAUCUUAAUCUCGCUUCUCAUAAUCCCCAUCGUUGGGCUUUAGCUUCACCUCAUCACCAUCACCGUUUUGCCGCCGUCGGUGAUUUCCUUCAAGCUGGUGGUAUUAAAGAUAUGAACUUUGGUCCCGACCCAUCGUCUUCGACGAGACCCAAUGUCCUCUCCGUUUCAACUUCCCCUCCGGUGACCGCAAAUGGUAACACGGCGUCGUUUCUUGGGAUUGUUCGACGUGGUUUGCCUAUAGAUUUGAAUGAGCCACCUCCACUGUGGCUGUGAAUGUGGUUUUUCUUCUCUAGGCAUUUUGCAGGCUCCCUUUUUAACCUUUAACCCUUCCUUAGGCAUCUUUGCUACUUCUGUUUAGUAAUUAUUCUGUAUUUUGAGAACUAAGAAUCAUAAUAAAAAAAAACAUAUUAAAAACUGAGGACCCUUUGUGUAAAUAUAUGUUUUUUUCCUUAACUUAUGUAUGAUUUAAAACACUUUAUCAGAUGUUUUUAUCUUCAUUUUUUUAUUUUACUGCAUGAAUAUGAUUUAAUCGUCGAUUUUAAUCUGCUACCCGGGAACCAAACAGAUACAGAUACAGAAUCUCUGUUUCUAAAGCCAUAAAGGAUGCAUCUUUGUUGAGGAAAAAAAGAAAAAGCACAUGCACGCGCAGGUUAGGUGCGAGUGGGGCUUGGACAGUUGGCGAUGGCAGCUAACACUGUGUAAAGUUGGGGGGUGUAUUUAGACGUGGUACAAAAUGCGAACCAAAGCGUGUGGAUUUUGCAUUCCUAUUAUAGCUCGCGUGUUCAGAGAUCUGGUUUACAUUAAAGCAGCAGCUUAUUGUUUAGACCAACUCGCUUCGUCGCGCGUUCUUUCUACUCUCCAGUUCCUAUUAUAUUGCCCCCGGAAAUAUUAGUUUAGUUGAUUUAUUAUUCAUUUGCCAAGUUAUUUUAUAAAACUUUAAAUACAAUUUUAUCAUUGUUCUAGCAAAGGUUAAUUUAUUUUUAGUAUGAUGUCUUUUAACUUUCCUUUUUUCAGUCUUACAUUAUCGUAUCUUACUGCUAUUAUUAUUUUUACACUAAUUUUUACGUUAACUGCAAAUAAAUAUACCUUCUAUUUAGAAUCUUAUACAUGGAUCUGACAACAUUUUCUACCCCUAGAAUAUUGGGUCGUGCUUUAACUUUAGAGUGAGGUACUUCUUACUUAAACCCUAAUUUGCUUUUUCAAAUAAAAAUGGGAUUUAAGAAAAUGAAGGGAAAUUUUGUAGAAAAGGCAAAUGGUGGGGGAUUUUAUGGGAAAAUGUGGUCCAUUUUGUAUCUUGUCCUUGCUUACCUACCUCUUGCAUGCCUCAAAACCUAUGAAAGUUAUCCAUUACGAAUAUAAUAUUUGCUUCUUUUCAUAUGAAUCAAUAAAAGAAAAUAUAAUAACACUGUUGUGUAUGAUAUUAAAGUUUCCUGGUUUAAGUAUUAAUUCUAAUUAAUAGUUUAAGUAUCACAUUGAACAUUUUCAAAAUACGUGUAUUACAUUAUAUAUUUUAUGAAAACAUAGAUUUCAAAUAAUGCACAAAUUGAUCGCAUUAGAUAUUUUCAAAGUAUAUGUAUCAUAUUGGGCAUUUCAUAAAAGUACGAGUACAAAAUGAUUACCUUACAGUACACCCACUAUGUCGGUGACAAAAAAUUAUUGUUUGUGCUCGUAAAGAACCUCAAAAUCAUAUCCAUAUUCGUUUGUUUAAAAUUAUAUAUGCUUGUAUAAUCUCUUGUUUGUAUUAAAUGUACUUGUUUUUAAACAUCAAACAAAUAUGUUCGUGAACAUGACACAAAUAUUGUCACGAACAUAUAAUUGAACAUGACCAUAUUUGUGAACAAAUAUACAUUUAAUCGUGAAUAAUAAGAGAAACAUAAAUAAACAGACAAACAAUAGUAAUAUUAUCAAUACUAUAAUAACCGAACAAUAAACAAGCUUCAAUGAUUUAUUAAAUGAGGUUAUUCAUGAACAUUGGUGAAUUAAAAUGUCAUGUUCUUGUUCAGUUUGGUUAAUAAACAAGUCUCGGAAUCCUGUUCAUGUUCGUUCACUUAAUUUUACAAACGAAUGCAAAUGAACAAAAAUCAUCCAACACCGUAUUCGCUUACAACCUUAAUAUAUUCUAGUAUUACUAACAAUGAUACAAGUCUGAUAUAAAAAGCACAAAUUUGAAGUAGAUUGAUAAGCCAAAAUCAAAAGCCAAAUAGGGUUAAAACAUAGUGGCAAAAAUGUUAAAAGCAAUGUACCAUACUAUUAUUGCACUAUGCUUUUUAAAGGAUCAUGCGGAAUGGAAAGACUUUUGAGUCAAAAUAAAAAAGGCAAAUUGGCAUAUUGAUAGCCUUCCAUUGAAUAGUUUCCACCCAAAAAAAUUCCCAUUGCCAUAUUGGUUGUGUACCCCCCAUGGAUAAAUAAAGGCCAAAAGCAUAAUAAUGUGGUUGAGGCGGCCUAGCUAGCUAGGGAAUACCAACAUUGGAUCGUUUUAACCCCUAAAAUGAUGGCUUAGGGUUUGGCAGAUCAUGGUAGAAACAUUGAAUGGUAUUCAAACCACAUCAUGGGAAGGUUGUCUUGUUGCAACAAAAGAUAAAUUAAUGAGAUGUAUACAUUAAAGAUUGUUUAGGUAAAUCAGUGAAUACAUUUAUAUUUGUAGGGUUUCUUUCAGAGUUGAAAUUUGUUACAAAAGUUGAGUAAUGUUGAUACAUGGUAUCAACAGAAGACGAGAUGGAGGGGGAUGGAGUCCCGGUUCAGAAGAAUCCAAACUCCGAAAUGGAGUAUCUGAGAUUACUUAAAUUAUAGCUAUUUUGGAUCGGUAAUCAAAUUAAAUUCCGAGUCGGAUUAUUAUAUAUUUUAUUGUAAUUAUAUAACAAGUACAAGCAUCAAUUUAAACCCAAUCAAUCUAAAGAUCAUAUUGUAGUUUUAGUCUCGAGUACUUCUAAUGAACUCACUCAGCAGCAUACCUAACAUUUCCUACUUGAUGUCUAUACCUUCAAUAGCAAAUACCUCAUACAAAAAGGAAUAAAUAACAAAAAUUGCAUCAAGCAAAAUAACUCCAAUAGAUUUGCUUUAAUACUCUUAUGUUCAUGGUUUUCAUGGAAAAUUGUAGUCCCUAGUUAAACUGAGUGACAAUUAGUUUUUUGGUACUUUUCAUUUCGGUUUUAAAAAUUCAUAUUUGAGGUUUGUAAUUAUCUUCCUCAUCAAUUUUAUCUUUAAGAUUUGAGCAUACGUCUCCCCUUAAAAUACGUGUCUAACCAAUACAUCGAUCACUUAUUGCUAAAUUUAUGACAAUGAAAUAAUCCCCUUUAUAUAACAAUAUCACCCAUAAAUCAGCUCUAUCUUUAUCCCUAAAAAAAAGAAAAAUCCUACUAAUUAACAAAUCUUCACAUUUCAAAUCAAAUCUAAUCAAAUCUCUAUUGAGUUAAAAAUAUUGACUAGUAAGAUAUGUUCAUAUUAUUGCAAUAUUUGUAACAUUCAUUUAAACAACAAUUUACCCAAGUUCAAUUAUCGUUUUUUUAAAAAAUCACUUUUUUUUAAUUUCUCAAGAUAUCUUCUGUAAACCCAUUAAGGGAUAGGUGCUGAUCACGAGUUUUAAAAUUACUCCAUACCCUCAUUUAAUUAUCAACUCGCACGAGUAAUAUAUUUAUCAUUAUUUUAUUACCUCGAUGGGUUAUAUUUAAAUAAAUUUAACCUAUGAUUCAUAGCAUGUAAUGAAAGCUAAUAGUUUUCUCAUUGACAACUUUUUCUCCUACAUUUUUCAUUAUAUAUAUAUAUUCAUCAACUACAAAUUUAAUGUUAACAAUGUCGUAUUGAUCUCGACCUACCAAUCUUAAAUUAUUUUAUGUUCCAUGCAUAUGAUUACAUUAUUAUCUAACCCAACAAACUUUCUUCAAUCAAUAAUUUUCAAUAUCUCUGAUUUUUUUAGAAAGAUAAAAUUUUCGCCAUUCAAUCAUUGGUUAUCCAUCUUUAGUUAGAUAGGUUAUAAACUAUUGGUUAAAAUAUGUUGUUAGUGCUUAUACUUAUAUAGAAUUUGAGUUUAGUCCCUAUACUUUAAAUGCUAAAAAUCCAAUCUUCCUAUUUAUUUUGAUUUAUAAAUCCUAAUCUAAUCAUUAUCUUCGUUGGCAGUUUUUGUUACAAUUUAUCAACCCAACAUGUUUAUUUCCUGUCAAUCAUAUGUCGUACAUCAUACAAGGUCGACAAAUUAUGACAAAAAAUACUUACAAUUUUAAUGACAGGUUGAGAUUUUUAGAUCAAUAAAGUAGGAGGACUUAAUUUUUGGCUUUUAAAAUGUAGUGACUAAAUCCCAAAUACUAUAAAAUUAGAGCGACUCACAUCAUAUUUUAACCUAAACUAUUCAAUGCAUCUUUAAAAAUAAUAAUUUUAUCAAGGUACAUUUCUUUUUUCAGUAUCACUACAAUAUGAAUUAUAUAUGAUUGUUGACCCUCUAACACGAAAUUAAAAAAUAUUAAUAUAAUAUUCACAAAGAGCACACUAAAAACAUUCUUUAACAAAUAAAUAAUAUAAUCAGUAAAAAUGUAGAGCAUCACUUCAAUACAAAACCAAGUAAAUAAUAAAGAAUUAUUGUCGUCACUAAAGCAAAUUCAAGAAUAAAAAUGCAAAAUUCUUAAUAAAUUAAACUAGAGAGAUUAAAUUCUUAAUUUUGAAAAAGUAGAGGGAUGAAAAUAAAAUUAGACCUAAAACACUAUUGAAACAUGUUUCGUGGUUCUAGUUGUAAAACAACUAAAGGCAAGAGGCUUUGUAGUUUAAGUUUAGGCGGUGGUGACCAUAAAUCAAUUUGAAGAACACAAAAGAUUACAACUUUGAUUGAUAACAUAAUGUAUAAUGUAUGUAGGAGUAGAGGAGGUUCCUUCUCUAAGGUCAACAUAUGCCAAAUUUACAUCUCUUAAUCAAUGUUACUAUCUAUAAAAUUCGAAUCUAAUUUAUAUGCACAAAGCAGAUAAAAGUAUCGUGAAAAUUCGUAUAUUACAGGUUUACGUUUUGCACCCUUUACUUUAAAGCAGACAAAUUAUUCAUUGUAUGUUAAAUCAAAAGGUAAAUUAAAAAUUACAUCUAUUUAUACUGUUAAAAACUAAUAUAACUAACAUAAUAACUAGACAGUGACAUGUACACUUCAUCCUAAUGUAUAUAGACUAAUUUUUAAUGGUAGAAAUGGAUAAAAUUUUUAACACAAGGACUAAUUUACUGUUUAAUCUAACAUACAUGGACUAAUUUAUUCAUUUUUUAAUAGAAGGGACAACAUAUAAUUCGACGCUCUUAAAAUAGUGACCUCUAUAGUGUUAGGAUCGUCCCGAUUAAGCAACGAACAAGUAAAAAUAGUAGAAGAAAUUGAGAAGAUGAACACACAAAUUUAACGUGGAAAAACCCCUCAAAAGAGGAUAAAAAACCACGGGCAAAGAUAAUUUUACUAUAAUGGCAAAAGAAUGAAGAGUACAAAAGAUGGAGAUAAAAACUAAACCUCAAAAACCCGAAAAACAAAGAACCCUCAAACGUAAACACAAAAUUCUCUGAAUGUGUUAUGAGUUCUAAUCUAAUGGGUGUCUCUUUAAUUCUAAGAUUGUAAAGGAGCCUAUUUAUAGGCUAAAUUAGUAAGUCAAAUAAACUAUACUAAUAAAUGCUAAAUAUAUUAUACUAAUAAAUACUAAAUCUUCUAGAAAGAAAAUAUAUUUUUGUUUAACUUGACUUGCAAGCAAUCUCUUAGAAUUUGGGUCACACAAUUCUAACAAUCUCCACCUUAACACAAAUUCUUUCAAUGCCAUCUUUGCCAAAACCCGCCACGGGCCUAUCUUGAACUAUGCAGGGAAUUAACUGAGUCGAAUCUAUGCUUAGAAGCUGGAAGACUUCUAGCCUUCGACUUGUGCACUGCCAAAUCAAAACUAACCCGGGUCUGAUUUUCACGAAUACAGUGCCCUAACUUUUCAAAACCUGCAUCCAAAAGAGAACCUCUCUUCAACGAAACAGUCAUACCUUUUUUCCUCCUAUGACCAAGUUGCCUCCGCUUCAAAUGAGUUGACUUUGACUCCGUAACGGACGAGAGACGUCCGAUUUCACCGGUUACUGUAGAACCUUCCAGAAUAUAAAGACUGCCGGUUCUUUUACCUUUUAACAAAACGAGAGCUCCACGAGAUACUUUAAUGUCGCUCGACUCGAUGUUGAUUCUGCAUCCUUUCAAGUCUAAAAUACUCAAGGAGAUGAGAUUCUUUCGUAAAUCAGGUACAUACCUGACAUCUGAGAGUGUCCUAAUCGUCCCAUCGUGUAUCAUAAUUUUAACAGUACCAAUACUGAUUAUUUUACUAUAUGAAUCGUUUCCCAUGUGCACAACUCCACCUUCAACUGAACUGUAUGUGGAGAACCAUUCUCUAUUAGGACACAUGUGGAAAGAGCAUCCUGAAUCUAGGAUCCACUCAGACGUAAGCUUGGAAUUAUCGCUCGUUGACACUAACAAGAAAUCAUCAUCGCCUUCAUCGACCAAAUUAGCACCAGCUACAUCUUCCUCGUUACUCUCAGCAGCUUUUUUAUUUCGCAGUUUAUAACAAUCUGCUUUGACGUGACCUAACUUUUUACAAUAGCGACACCUUUUGUCUCGUUUCUUUGAUGCUACCAAAACGGAAGCUUGCCUAUCUGCUUUGCUAUUCAAACCAAACUCAUUGUCGAGUUUGUCUCUACUCAACAAAUGACCCUUCACAUCUUCGAACAAGAGUUUGUCUCUGCCAUAAAUCAGGGUUUCCCUGAAAGACUUGUAUGAAUAGGGUAAAGAGCAUAAUAACAGCAUAGCUUGAUCUUCAUCGUCAAUAUGAACCUCAACGUUCUUUAAAUCAUUUAAAAAAGUGAUGAAUUGACUGAUGUGAUCUUUAAGAAGCUCACCUUCGUUCAUGCGAAACGUAAAUAGACGUUGUUUCAACACUAAACGGUUAGCCAGAGACUUAGUCGCAUAAAGAGUUUCUAACCUUUUCCACAAGGUGAAUGAGGUCUUCUCCAUCAAUACCUCCUGCAAUACUGUAUUCGCGAGGCACAACUGGAUUGCAGACAAUGCCUUUUCAUCGAGCUCUUCCCAUUCUGUUUGAUUUAGAUUCUUAGGCUUUUUCCCUGUAACAACCUUUUUCAAGCCAUUUUGAACUAGAAUUGCCAUCAUCCGAACUUGCCACAGGUUGAAAUUUGUCUCACCAUCGAACUUCUCAAUUUCAAACCUUGUUGCUGCCAUCUCUGAAUGGGCUGAUCUAUGAAAGUUAAACUAGCUCUGAUACCACUUGUUAGGAUCGUCCCGAUUAAGCAACGAACAAGUAAAAAUAGUAGAAGAAAUUGAGAAGAUGAACACACAAAUUUAACGUGGAAAAACCCCUCAAAAGAGGAUAAAAAACCACGGGCAAAGAUAAUUUUACUAUAAUGGCAAAAGAAUGAAGAGUACAAAAGAUGGAGAUAAAAACUAAACCCCGAAAACCCGAAAAACAAAGAACCCUCAAACGUAAACACAAAAUUCUCUGAAUGUGUUAUGAGUUCUAAUCUAAUGGGUGUCUCUUUAAUUCUAAGAUUGUAAAGGAGCCUAUUUAUAGGCUAAAUUAGUAAGUCAAAUAAACUAUACUAAUAAAUGCUAAAUAUAUUAUACUAAUAAAUACUAAAUCUUCUAGAAAAAAAAUAUAUUUUUGUUUAACUUGACUUGCAAGAAAUCUCUUAGAAUUUGGGUCACACAAUUCUAACAUAUAGCACUUUUACCACACAAAGCAUUGGAACCUUAAUCACUUAUGCCAAUCCCAUUAGCUUAUUGCUUAUGCAGAAAGACGUGCUACAACAUAUUUUAUUUUCUAUUUAAAGAUUGAAAAGAGAUAGUAAUUUUUUUAGGGAUAUCAAAUUCGAACCCUAAAUCCAUAGCUUAGAAAAAGAAACGAGUAUUGAAAAGGAAAGGGGGAGCUUAGUGAAGGUUUAGAGUUUUAUGGGUUGGUCAGCAUUUUGGGGUUUGGGGCCAUUUUUGUUGGACGGUGGCUUCGCUUUGCUUAUUAAUUUCAUCAUCCAAAAGAAUUAAAAGGAAAAAGAAAAUACAUGAAGUAAUUGUCAAAAACAGAAAUCCCAAUGAACCCACGUCAUACCCAUUUGUUCAAGCAUUGAUAAUGAUUUUGCAACAACUAGGCUUCAUUUCUUCAAAGUUAUCCCCAAACUAUUGCAUGGCUUCUAAAUUAGACCUUCAACUUCAAAACCUUUUAAUUGAAUCAUUGAAGUAUCAGUUCAUACUAAUCAAAUCCUUUUAUCGAUAUGACAAUUAAUUUAGGUGUUAAAUGCCUAUUCAGAUAUGAUAUGGAAUUUUUUAAAGGUAGUGGAUUAAAAGGUAAACACAUGGGUACUUACAAUAUCGAUAACUAUAUCCAAACUAAUCAUUCGAUAAGUAUCCAGUUUCCUAAUAAGUCGUUUUUUUUAAGUAUACAGGCACAAUAACAAUUACGUACAUAUCCAAAUCAAUAAGUGAACUAAUACUAAAAGUCGAACAAUAAUAAUUUUAAAGAGAAGUCACAUGUUAUAGGAAUUAAGUCGUAAUAAAUUAAAAAGCAAUUCACACAUGAUUCACAACAUGGGAGUUGAACUUGACUGCUUGAGGUAUUAAGGUCCUAAAGCCUAAACCUUUGGUAAUAAUGUCAAUACCUUAUUGUCAAACAUCAAAUAUGAGCUACUAUUAAUGUACAAACUAAUGGUUAGGUUGGCGAAAGGACAUGCAUAAUACUUCCAAGGAUUCAUUUAAAUGUAUAAGCUAAUGGUUAGAGCAAAAGUACAUGUUUGAAACUUUUGUUAUCAAUUUAAAAUCUAAGGUCAUAGUUUGGAGAGUAUGAUGCAAUUAACCCAAUUAAAGAAUCAGGUUGAAAGUAAUAGUACUAGUAGUUAAAGUAUGAUUGUAUUUUGCCUGUAAAUUAGUCCAUGUACAUUAGAUCAAAUAAUAAAUUGACCCUUUUAUUAAAAUUUUCAUUAUACUAUUAAAAACUGGUCCUCGUAUGUUAGCAUGAGGUGCACAUGGCAUAUUACAUGUCACUAUUUGGUUAUUCUACUAGCUAUUUCGAUUUUUAACAUUAGAAAUAGAUGAAAUUUUAAUAAAAAUGACUAAUUUGCUCAUUAAUCUAAUGUACAACGACUAGUUUACCAUAUAUUGAGUAAAGAGUCAAAAUGUAAUCCGACACCUACUACAGGGACGUUCAUGGUACGUUUACCUAGUACUAAUAAUCUUUUUUUUUUAAAUUGUAUUUUUCCUUCAAAUUUUCAAAAAAAUCUAAAAAUAUUAUAAAAUAAAAUAAAAAGCAAAUUAUCAAAAGUCACUUUUUUGUCUCAGAUUACAUUUUAAUCACUUCUUUUUAAGAUGUUACGUUUUAGUCACUUAUGUUAUCGCGUUGUAACAUUUUAGUUACUAACUGUUAUUUGUUGUUAACGGUGUAACGGUAAGCUGACAUGGCACAUUAAAUCAUCAUUUCAAAAAAAAAAUUCGGUUAAUUUAUACAAUUGGUCCCUAUAUUUUUUCUUUUGAAGCAAUUUAAUUUUUUUCUUUUAUACUAUUUUAACUUUCAUUUUUUUCUUUUUUUUUCAUUCUCUUCUACGUCUUCCUCUGUUUUCCUCCCUUAUUCAUUUCUUUUAAUGUAGUUUUUCUAUGUUUUUCAUUUGUUAAAACUAGUCUCUACACUUUUAUUUUCUAUUGACAAUAUAUUUUCAUAUGUCUAAUGUCGUGUCAAUUUGCUAGUACUCACGAAAAAUUAUAUUAUUUUAAUUAAUGAAUUUAAUAACUACUGCUUGAGUUAAGAAUAGAAUUUCAAAAUUUUAAGUAAUAAUAAGAAUUGUACACCAUCAAAUUAAAGAAUAAAAACUGAAUCAAUAACAAAACAUAGUGUGGGACUAAUAACAUAAUCUGACCUAAAUGAAUUAAUUGUAUCGUUAUAGGUUAUCGAAGGCAAUCGACUCAUUCGAGAGAAGUCUUUGAAGUAUCGUCUAUUGGGCAAUUGAUCGAACUCCCAACAAUGGUUGUUACUGGGCUUGGGACAACUAUGCUUAGUUUUAGUUACGAGCUUUGUCUCCCAAUUCCAUUAAGUGCCUCGAGUGAGAGCACAAAGCGCAUACAUCAACUAUGGAAAUGUUAGCAUUUGCUAUUGGUGGGGUUUGAACCUAGGUAUUAAUCUUACUGACAAAUACCAUAUAAGGGCAUGAAUUCAAACCCUAUCAAGAGCAAAAUGCUUACAUUUCCUUGGUGGGUGAAGGCACUCCCAACGUAAACCCUUCUAAGCUCUAGACGAAAGCAAGAGACUAUUUGGGGCGAAAACUAAGCACAGAAACUUUGGAUCCAAUACCAAUCAUUGUUUGGGAUUCAACUUGCUACUUGAUAGACAAUAUUUCAAGGACUUCUUCUAAAAAUGUCGAACCCUUCAACUUGCGUAAUUGAAAUUUCAAAACUCAGAAAGUAGAAACAAAAUGUACAAAAAUUAAGUUUACAACUCAAGGACUAAUAACAAAAUUGAACCAUUUUAAAUUCUAGGUAUUUAGACAAAGAGAGGUCAUUUUGGUAUAAAUAUAAUCUUUCGUGGAAUCAUAGUGGCAACCAAUGAAAUCCCAGCACGAUGAAUGAUGGCAAAUGGACAAGAAGUAGUCGGUUUGGAUAGUGGUUUUGGACCAAGAGUACUAUAAUGUUGUUGAGCAUAGUGGGGAACAUGGAACGUGACCGCCGAACAACCUUGGCGGCUUACGUCUAUGAACUUUAAUGUUUGUUUUGUAUUCUUCUCACCUUUGAAAGCAAUCGCCCAUGGCUACGGGUAUCGCAAUACUAUUAAAUAUUUGCACUGAGCAGGAUUGGAUUGGAUACGAUCGAAUUUUUAUAAAUUUUUUUAAUUCGAAUUAAUUUUUAAUUUUUAUAUUUUUAUACUAUAAGAUAGUGGUAUUUUUUUUUUGAAAAUUGAUUUUUUUUAUAUUAUAGUCCUCUUAAUAACGUAGUCUUUAGUAUUAGGAUGUAAUUUCUCUCAUUAAGACUAUAAAGUGUUAUGAUUUUCUUAAUAAAAAAUUGGAGUUCAUUGAAAAGAGGAAAAAUCGCCUAAUAACUACAAUCCACAGUGAAUAAUCAAAACACUCUCUCCUCAAGAAUACAGUUCGCUAAAUGAGUGACCUUCCUUUAAUAAACUAAAUAAAACCAGAGGACAUCAUAAACACAGCUUUCAAGAAAGUAAAUAAAGCUUUGAAAAAAUCUUGAGCGUCCCAACUUCAGUCAGAUGGAUUUACCCACCAGCGAUCUUUUCUUGCCGCAACCUCGGCAAAAUCAAGCAGCUCCUCCACCCAGUAUUUGUUCUUGUUAAAAUCGAAGCCUUUGGUGGUCGGUUGAAGUGCCAUAAGGUUCUUGUUCCUACUGGAAAAUCUGAACCAACAAGCACUAAAACGAGUCGCAACUUGCUUUCCAUCAACAAUAUAGGUGUUGAUAACUAAUCGGCCCGUUUAGGGUAUCUAUGAGUCUCUUAAUAAUUGUGUGUGCGUUUUCUUCACUCUUCCCCGAUUAGACCUAAUUUUUAGUAGUGUCGAAAAAUAUAGUUUCGAAAUCUCAUUUUUAUAAAUCGAGUCAAUAAAUAUUAAAUAUGAAUAUUUACAAAGUUAUUAUAUUAAUGAAUUAAAUUUCAGUUAAAUAAUUUAAUCGAAACUGUGAUAAAUUAUGGCCUAGUGACUAAACUGUAAAACUUUAAUCGUUAUACAUUUUUAAUUAGGAAAAAGCUUGGGGGCUUAGAUAACAAUUAUCCAAAGAAUUAAGAUAGUAAAUAAACCAAAUUAAAAAAUAUAAUAUUAAAAUUUGAUGUGGAUAUCAUUAACUUAAGUUAAUUAAGGAUUUAUGUUAAUUAAUUAAUAUUAAAACAUGUUAAUUAAAGUAUAAAUAAUAAACAAAAUGAAAAGAAAGAGAAAAUGUUAUCAUCUUCAACCGGUGGAAACUGAAGAAAAGAAAGAAUAUUAAUAUGGUGUGAAUUGAUAAAUAUUAACCUUGUGAAAAUUAUGUCAUGUUCAUUGUAUGUAAAUUAAUGAUAAUUAUGUCGUGGUAAUGUUAAUUUUUAUAGAUUCGCGGUGGAGUUUUUUUUUUUGAGAUUUACUUUUAACUUUGAAUGUGAAAGUGAAAACAAGAGAACGGAAGCUACUAAUAUCUUGGCAGUCCUUUAUUAGAUUUGAAAACAUGUGGUAAAGGGAGUAAUUUUUUAGUAAGUAUGAUCAGAUAUGUAAUUGUACAUAUCUCAUUCCCAAUCAAUUUUGAAAAAAGUUGUCCAUUCUGGCAUUUUUUUGUUUCUGAGGUUUUAACUCAACAAACUCUUACAAACCUCUAUUCACCAAACAUUACAAUAGAGUGUUUAACUACCUAAUCGUUUAUUUGUGCUCAAAUCAACUGAAAAUGACUAAAAACUCUAUUUACCAAUCACCUCUAUUAAGUGAUAAGUAGCUUCUAUAUAUUUUAGAUGCUUCAAUGAGACACUAAGUGUCAAAUUGAUAAGUCCCAGGCACAACCUUUACUUCGGUUUUACUGUCGAGCUCUAGGUGCAAUCUAUAAAUUUCGGAUUCUUUGAUGAGACAUAAAGUAUCAAAUUAGUAUGUUGGUUGAGACCUAUGUAUCUAUUUAAGUUCGAGUCAAAUAAAGAGGAGAUAUAAAUUAAGAAUUAUUCAAAUGAUGCUUUAAAUAAAUUAGUGUUACGAAAUUGUACUACAAAUACAGAUAUGUGAUAUAUGAUUAUUGAUAGCAUGUGGGGCCGGUAUGGAAAGAUAAUUACAAAGUUUGAAGUUUGAAGUUUAAAGAUUAAGUUGAAAAAAUAAUUAAGGGGGCGAGGAAAGUGUGUGGAAUUACAAUUUACAAUUACACCUCUUGUUAGUUAGGUAAAGUUGUAACCACGUGUGAGGCUGUCAGGUUCUCCCGACACCGUACGUGUCUCUGACGGCUUUAACAUUUUUCUUUGUUUCCUCAUGAUAUGGGGCAAUCCAAUAAUAGCAAAGCUGUCUUGCCUUUGAAAUUGAAAUUUCAUAAUUUCCUUUUUUUUUAAUAAAAAAUAUUUAUCUAUAGCUAAUAAUAAAGUAGGCCAAAUAAAUAGCCUGAAUAAAUUUGAUUAGACAUUAAAUAAUAUUUUCUGAGCCCAUGAAUGGCAAAAUCUGUACGACGGUCGAAAACGACGUAGCAUAAAUCCCCAAAGCAAGAAUAAAGAUGCGGGACAGCCUUCUAGAAAACUAAAUAAAAUAAAUAAAUAAUAAUAAAAACAGAAAAUCAGCAGCCAUGGAAAUGAAAAGAAAAUAUUUUUUUUUAAAGAGAGACAAGUGUCACCUCAUAGGAAACGAAUUAAGGCAAUAUAUGUAUAUAAUGGUAAGCCGGCAGCCGCCCCACAAUUCUUCAACCUAACCUAACAUCUCCUUUAUUACGAUUCUUUAUUUUUUUUAUUUUUUUUUUGCCUCUUUCCACUUUAUUGUAUUAUUAUUUUGACGGUCGAUUUUAGUACAUACUUGUCCUUUUUUUUUAAAAUAUAUAUAUAAUUUCUUUUUAAAAAUGAAUAUUUUAGGGUUUCAAGAUUCAAAUAUAAUAUUUAGAUGUUAACGUUCGGUGUUUUAAAAUUUAAGUUUUAAAGUUUAAGGUUUAGAGCUUCAAGAUUUAAAGUUUAGAGUUCGGAUUAAAAAAAUGAAUGUAACUUGAUUCAAGGUUUCAAAGUCUAGGGUUUUAAGAUUCAAGAUACAAUGUUUUAUUGUUUAGGAUUUCAAGGUUCAAAAUAUAAAAUUUAGAGUUUAAGAUUUAGUAGUUUAAAAUUCAAGCUUCAAAAUUUAGGAUUCAGAGUUUCAAGAUUUAAAAUCUAGAGUUCAGAUUAAAAAAUAAAUGUAGCUUAAUCCAUGGUUUUAGGAUUCAAGAUAUAAUAUUUAAGGCUUAAAGUUUAGAAUGUAGGGUUAGUUUAAGAUUUAAUAUUAAGGGUUUAUCAGUUCAAGAUCCAAAAUUUAAGUUUUGGGAUCAUUCAAAGUUUUAGUUAAAAGAAUAUGUGAAUGAUAUAAAAAAAUUAAAAUAUUAUUAAAUAAUUGAUAAAAAAAACAAAAAGAAAACGCGAGGUUUGUAUCUCAUACAGUAUAAUGAAAAUGAGAAAUUAUAUUAAUUACAAAACCAGCAACAAUAACGAGGGGGAAAGCGAAAUCUUUGACUUUCAGCAUAUGUAUUGGCGACCAAAGACCGGGGCCCAUAAACACAAUAAAAAGCGGCAGCCGCGCAUCCACACUUACCACUUCCAGCGCUUGCGUUCCACGUGGGACCCGGUCUUGUCCCCUUCCCCCUCCACCUUUUAUUUAUUUAUUAUUAUUUAGUUUUGACGGUAAAUGAUUAGAUUUUGGAAGUGGUAGAGACAUAAAAAACAGAUUCAAUAGAUCGGACGGCCGUAUAACACGUGUAGUUCACACGCGAAUCUCGAGAAGUUAAAAACAUGGGAAAAAGUUUUUAAUAAUUAUUGCCGGUCUCCUACUUAGAAACCCGCUCUUUCCGCUUACGCGCGCCGCUUGUUUUCCUCUUAUAAUAUCACUCCCAUCUUUUUACCCCCCCUUUUUUUACUGUUUAUUUUGUUACUGUAUAAGACAUAGUAAUUAUGCUAAUCUUAUUAAAUUUCGCAAUUGUUUUUAUUUUUCUAAAAUUUUAAAAUAUAGGGUAAAUAAUUAAAAUAGUCACGUUUAUUUACCUCAAGCUAUAUUUUAGUCACUUAUAUUUGAAAUGUUACGUUUUAGUCACUGAGCCAUUAAUUUCUGUUUAACGGUGUAACGAUAAGCUAACGUGCCAUGUUAAAUCAUCAUUUUAAACAAAAAUUUUGGGUUAAUUUGUACAAUCAGUCCCCAUUUUUUUUUUCGUUUUGGGUAAUUUAUUUUUUUCUUUAAUGUUAAUUUAACUUUUCUUUUUCUUUUCCCAUUUUCUUCUACUUCUUUCUUUUUUUUCCUCCAUUUUUUAUUUUUUAACAUAAAUUUUCUAUGUUUUCAAUUUGUAAAAAUUAGUUCUAUACUUUUAUUUUUUUGAACAAUUUAAUUUAAUUAACGGUUUAGUAACUAAAACGUGACAAUACGAUAACGUAAGCGACUAAAACGUAACAUUUUAAAUAUAAGUAACUAAAAUGUAACCUAAGACAAAUAAAAAUAACUAUUAUAAUUUACCCAAAAAUAUAUUAAUAAAAAUAAUUGUGGAGUAGUCACCCAUACCUAAGGUGUCCAUGGGCUGGGCCUGAACUCAUACCGAAAUUUUUUUGGGCCUAGCCCGAACCCGGCCCGGCCCAUGGACACCUCUACCCAUACCGACUGAAUCAUUAUCAUCUUUACCCAUUAAAAAAAUAUAUAUAUUGCUAGUUCCUAAGAAUUUUAGUGAAUCUUGUACUUUAAAAAUUAAAUUAAAUUAUUUACUGUUCAAUUAUUAUAGUUGUUAAUGGUUUUUAGAAAAGAUUAUGUGUUUAUUUUUUUGUUAAUAAUAUAUCGAAGACAGUUUAAUUAAAAUUUAAAACUAGAAAAAUAUUGACAGAAAAUACUUAUUAUUUUAAUGAUUCAAAUUUUGUUCUAAUUUAAUUUUUUACUAAAGUUCAAAUUAAGAUUGUUUUUUGAGCUUGGGCCAAAUUAAAAGUUUGUAAUAUUUUAUUACAAAAUUGAAUUAAUUUGGAUUUCAAGUUUUGCUAAAAAGGUUGAAAUUUUAGAGUUGCAAUAAUGUGUGAAAUCAAUUUCAAAUAAACCCUAAAUCAGAGGAUUUAGUUAAUCCAUUACUUUCAAUUGUGUUAAAGAAAAGAAAAUACCAAAAAAAAAAACAAUCCUAAUAAUUGAAAUUAUAGUAACUUGCAAAUUAAGAAAGUUGUUACCAUAUCACUUCAAAAAAAAAUAUAUAUAUAUAUAUAUAUAAUUUCAGGUUUUUUCUAUGGCGUUUAUUUUACUGCUUAAUUUUAUUAUCAUCGCUAGUAAAUGUAUGGUCUAUCUCGUGUAUAUAACUGGUAAUUAGUAUUUAGUAUUAUCCAUUUUUUAAAUAAUUAACAAAGGUUAAUUAAGAAAAUUGCUCUUCGUAAUUACUAAUUAAUUCAUUGAAAAUAAAAAAGAAUUACAGAAAUUAAUAUGAAACAACAGACUACAAACUAACGUUUCUCUGCUGCAAAAAAGGGAGGUUUUUCAUCUACGUAUUCACAAUUUACGCCGCUCUCGCGUAAUUUUUUUUUUGGGUAUAAUUUUCUUGUCUAAUUUUCAAAUUUGGGACUAAAAAGAAGAUUAACGAUUUUAAAGAUAGAAAAUUAAAAUUUUGUAGGUUUUUUUUUCCGGUUCUUGAUAUCGGCAAUUUUAAAAAAUAAUAAUCACGCGACUUCCGGAGCAGGUUGGUUGAGAUCGAUAUUGAGAAGCGGUCGCCGUUUGAUCUCGUGGUGGUUUAAAUCAACGACGGAGGACGAAUCUGAGUCGCUUUGUACACCAGCGUUGAAAGUUUCGUGAUAAUCACGGUGAUCGAAUCUCAACCGUUGUUGAUACUGCUGUCCUUUCAUAACACCGGGUCGGACCAACGCGUCGAAGUAAAAAACUUGGGGGGCUGCAACUGCCGGGACGCCGUUGGCGAAAAAACCGGUGGCCGACGAAAUUUGAGGGAAAGGAAGCCUGACGGCUGGAGAUCCGUACCCGAUGACUGCACCGUGUCCGAGAUUGAGAUCCAACGGUGAACAGUUGACGACUGUCGGCGGCUCGUGGCUUGAUGACUCCACGGUGCUACUCCGGCUAGGGCUGUGAUUGUUAUUGUUGUUGCUGCAGUUGGUAUCGCCAUUGUUGUGACAGUUACUACCAUUGUUGAGGAUUUCACCAGGGAGGGGGAAAUUAGUCUUCGCCUUGGCGCCGCGGAAUUCUCUGGCGGCGGCGUCGUAGGCCUUGGCCGCUUCCUCAGCUGUAUCAAAAGUUCCAAGCCAAACACGGCUUUUCUUCCCUGGAUCUCUGAUCUCAGCGGCGUAACGACCCCAUGGACGCUUCCUUACUCCUCUAAAAUGAACCUCUUUAGUACACCCAUUCCCGUUUCCCUUGACGUCCGCCGUUUUCUCCCUCGGCGCCAUUUAGGAAGCUCCGUUUUAAGAGUGAUGAAAUUUUGUUGAGAGAGGAAAAAAUGGUGGGGGAAUUGUCGUUUGGAUUUGUUGAAAUUGGUGCAAGGGCACGACGAUGUUUUUAUAGAGGGGAAAGGACGAAUCGGCGAGGAAUUGAAUGAAGAGGGGUGGCCACAGUCAACAACAGAUUUGACUGAGAGAAAAAGAUUGGUGCGUCAUGGCAGUUUCGUAAGUUUCAUAAAAAACCAGAUUACGUGGCUUGUGGGGUUGUCUUGAAGACAGCAUACUCUAUCAUCAUUAUCAUCAUCCAACGGCAGUUGUACUGUUCUUGUUUGUGUGCGGUGCUUUGGGCUACAUAUCACUCUCUCUUCCUUCACGUCAUUUUCACUCACCUUGAAAAUAAAACAGCAAACUCUAGCACUUACCCUUUGUACUAAAAGUUUGGUAUACAAUUACAGCCUAAAUUUUAAAUUGAGGAUUGAAUUUUAAAAAGUUUUAAUCAGGUUUUUGAAGUAUUACAAACUAAAGCGUAAUUUUAUCAUUAUACUAACAUAUAAUUUCAUAAAAUCCAAAUAGAUUAAAAGAUAUUUUACCAUUUUUGGGGCGUCUGACUACAUCUCUGGUUAAAUUCUCAUAUGAAUGUGUAGCAUAUCGAAAACAAAUGUAUCAAAUUGUAAAAAAGUAAUUACCUAUUGCAUAAACAAUAUGGAUCUGAUACAUUUAAAAAUUUUAUAUAAAGUUUAGUAUCAUGUUCAAGUUGCUUAUAUAGCUUGUACACGUGUUUACUGUCUUAUUUAUGAACUUCAAAUAUACACUAUAUCAAAAUUCAACCAUCAUUGAACACUUAAGUCAAAAGAAAAUACUUGAUUGAUGCCAUACAAAUAGAAUACAGAUUAAAUUAGGAUAUUUUAAAUUUCAUGGACCAAUUAGUAAAUUUGGGAAUAAUUUGAGGAUGAUUGAUUAAAUUUAACCUUCCUAAAAAAGUUUAGGCUGUAAUUAAAAAAAACGAGGCGCGUGAAGAAAAGAGGCGAAAGUGAGAAAAAAGGGAAGGUUGAACAAGUUGUCGGCAUAUUCUGCUAACUCGCCGUGUGACUUGGCUGUUUUUUCUAUUCUAAUUUCAAAAACUUCCUUUUUACUUAAAUUCCCCUAUUGAACCGCUCGCAUGGGGCCCAACUGGUGUUCGUCCCAUUUCCCAAUAACAUCUCGCCACGUUUCUUUUGUGCCCUUUAUGCGCGUUGAUAGGCACUCCAACGCAUGGCUGGCUAUCCACAUGAGUAGCUUCUGACAUCUAGUGUCAAUCUCACCCGACAACUCUCUUCCCUUACUCCCUUCAUUCCCCGCGUCAAUCGCACACUCUCGUUAUAAAAUUACCCCACUACCCUUCCAAUUCCCCCCCUCUUAUUUGGCCAUUAUAAAUUAAAUACUGUUGCUGCUAAUGGAUUUUUUUAAUUAACUGUUUAAGCAUCACGUUGCGUAUGUUUGAAUUAAUGUAUUGUAAAAUUGUGGUUAAAUUCUACUCUUAGUCUCUGUAUUUUGUGAAAGUUAUAGAUUUAGUCAUUAUACUUUUAUUUGAUGGAUUUUAGUUUCUCGAUUUUUUAAAAUUUUAGUCUAGACCUAAACAGUAGAAAUUAAAUCCAUUUAGUUAAAUUCAAUUACUAGUCUUUCACCAUGCGUACAAUUGUAGAUUUAGUACAUUUUCUCUAAUUAGAUCAAUCUAAGUCUCUAUACUUUUUAAAUUUUAAAAUUGUAGUCUUAACGUAAAUAACAGUCGAUAAGUCAUUAACUGAAAUUUUUUAGUAAUAUGUGGAAAUAAUAAACUGACAUAAUAUUACACAUAUGAUAAUAUGUUUUUAAUGUUUGAAAAACACAUAGAUUAAAAAUGACCAAAUAAAAAGUAUAGAGAUUAAAUCCAUGACUUUUUCUAAGUACAGGGACUAAUAGCAAAAGUUCACCUAAAGUUGUUACUUUGGGUUUUUAUCUACCUAAUCUUCACGUGUUUAGCUUUGAUGGUUUUUUUUUAUUAUUUAAGGAUAAUAUUGGAUCAAAUUUGCAUAAAUAAAUCAGAUAGAUUUAAGUAUCAAAUUUAGAUUAAAAAAAUUAAAAAUGGCAACGUGGCGGCUACCAAGUGUAUGGAUGGAAUAAUAUAUAUUAUAGAAUUUUGGCCUAAUGGCGGCUGUGGGAUAGGUACCUAUAGUUCACAUGAUAAAAUCCAUUUUAUCGAAUCGAAUUUAUAAUUAUUUUUUAUAAUAUAAAUAAAUCUUUUUACACUAUAGUAAUUAAAACAAUUUUAAAAUGUUAAAAUAUAUAUUUUAACAAACUCGAUUGGUAUGAGUAUUGUUGCUAAUGUAGGAGGAUGUGUGUUUGAGUGCGCUGAAGCACAAUAUCCUCUUAUUUAUGGGUUGAGAGGGGCUAUUGUUGGUUCUAAGCAUUAUGUCAAUAAGAACAGAUAUAAAAUAAUUUUCUUGUCAAACCUCAAAAAUAGGGUUUUUAUCAAUUGUUUUAAUUUCGAAAUAUUAAUGGCUUGUGGUAUGCGUGCAAGGGCAAAAUUAGAAUUUUUUUUAAGGCGGCCGAAAUUAAAUUAUAAUUUUUAUCAUAGCAAAAAUGAAAUAUUAUCAUCUUAAUAGCUUAUAUCUUUAUAAUUUUUAAAUGAUUAAAUCAAAUUUUUAUAUUUUUAAGGGGGUCAAAGUGUAAUUUUACCUUUACUAAUUUAAAAUUUUAAAAGACCUAAAUGAAAAAUUUCCAUUUUAACCUAGCUUAUAUCCUUUUCAAUACAUAGAACAUUUCAAAUAUGUAGGGAAAAAGAAAAAAAAAAAAGAAUAUCAAUGUUUUUUUUUAAUUUUCUUAAAGAAAAUCAAAUCUAAAAUUUGCAGACAUCGUCGAUUGAGUUUAACUUAAUUGCAUGAGUAUUGUCGCCAAUAUAGGAAGACGUGAGUUCUAGUGCGCUGAAGCGCAUUAUACUCCUAUUUAUGGGUUGAAGAAGGGUUAUACAUAGUUCUAAGUAUUGUGUAAAAAAAACAUGCAUCUGGGUUCACCAUAAUUCAAUUAUGCUUGUUGACCAUACAUCGAACCAUGUUUUUAGCAUUAUUCCCUCCUUCUUCCCCAUCAAAUGGACAAUGGAAUUCUCAUGUUUUUGCAGUUCUGUAAUAAGUCAACAAAAGAAUGUGAUUCCAUACCACGUGCUUUUGUUUAGUCACAAUAAGAUUGUUUUAUCUCUUCAUCAAACAACUCGCUAAGCUGAUCUCCAACAGUCCUACGACAAUAUUUGAUAGAAUCUCUAUUCAGAUAAAAUGGACACAUACAUGAAUAACCUUAUUGAGUCCGAGUAGUCACGUACACACCGUUGCAUCAAACUACAUAGAUCAUACCAUAACUCGUAACUCCAUCGAAUUAAAAGAACCCACAUAUAUAAAUCAAGGCCUUGACCGGAGAGACCAAGCAGCUUCACUACACCUGUUCCUGCUAAAAUUAAUGGUAGGUUUGGAUGGGCGGUGCGUUUACCUGCUGUUAAUGUAAAAACAGCAGUGACGGUGAGAUUAGAUACUGUAGCGUGAGACAAAAAGUAAGUUAAAUGUACAGCACCGCAUCCAAUCGUCUAUCCAAACCCACCUUAAGUGGCCUUUAUUACCAUUCCAUUAGUACUUAAUUUCUUAAAUAUUAUACGACUCUAAGCUUAACCGGGUGAACCGUUCCCAAACUUCAUAUCUAAAGCAUAUAUCAAUAAUGAUCAAUCAUUACACUGAAAUUACAAUCAAUAAUUACGAGCAUUGAAUUAAAUAACCUAAACCCAACUAGCUAAUUAAUCUAAAUAUGAAAGGUUUGUAGAGGGACUAUUGACAAGUCCAAAAGAAUGUGGCUAAAAGUCUAAAGAAAACCAGCUUCAACAGUUUGAUAGUCAAGCUUAGUUCCAAUGUUCAAAGCUGAUGGGCUAUGUUUUACUUGCACUUUCAGUUGGAAGGACCAAAAAGUUUCAGUUGGAACGAGGCCAGAUUUUUAAUUAAAUUCGGAGUUAAGUCGAGUUAAAUAUACAAAUAGAAAAAAAUUGAACCCAAUAUCUUACUCAAGAGAUAUUGACCUAUUUACUAUUUCACUUCAGCAUUUAGUGAUAUUUAACUUAAUAAAACCUACCCCAACCUCCACCCGAUAUACCCCAAACAUAACUCAACCUUGACCCUAACGAAUCAGGUUGAAUCAAAACCUAUUGAAUUUUAGGGUAUUUUUCAUCCCUAAUCAAGUUUAGUUGAGAAUUAUAGUAAAACCUUAUCAUCACAUCAUCAUAUCAUCAUGGUGAGAAUCUGACAAGAUCAUCAAUCAAAACUAAUUAUGCUUUAGACUUAUUGAACAUGGCGUGAAAGUGAAACCUAAGCCCAUUGAGUCAGAAAAGACUGAUUGCUGAAAAACGAUAAACCCUAAUAGCAUUGCUUAAGUGUGAUGGUGAUUACACACGUUGAUUCGAUGCACUAACUCCCACUGAUUUUAGUGGUGCCACUCUGUUUCAACUAUCAGGCUCCCCCCACUAACCAUUAGCCAGCCGCCAUUGCCCCUCUCUCUCUUUCUCCUGUUUCACUCUAUGUAAUGAAAAAAACACAGUUCCACCAAACAAUAUUAGAAUAAUGUUUCAGUUUUGACGUUACGCUAAAUCAUUUGCUUGCAAGUUCUGCAACAUUUUAUAUUUGGUCCUUUGGGUUGUGCUUCGAUCAUUAUCACAAUAUCACCUUCUACUGUAUCAUAAAACAUCCAACUAACACCCACAUCAAACACAUAAAAUUGUAUACAUGUUUCAGAUACCAAAUUUCAAUUGUAUUAAAGGUAAAACAAGCUCAUUAUAUCUUAAUAUCUUCAAUAAACAAAUGUCAGUUUUUUUAGGUAGAAAUGGGUAAUGGUUAAGCCAAAAAUUUUAUGUUGAGAUCAAAAUUAAGUUACAAAAAAUUUGAGGGUUUAAAAUUCAACUUUAUGAUUUUUAAGGUUAGGGUUUCUUCGUAAACUGAAAAUUAGGCUUCAUUUUCAACAUGAAGAAUAAUUAAGACAUCAAUGCUCCAAUACAGGUGUAAAAAUGGAUGGAUAUAUUACUGUUGCUGAUAUAAGAAUGUGGUGCAAAGGCUGAACACAGUUCAGUCAAUGAAGAUUGGUAAGAGAGAUCGGCUCUUUCAAGAGAAGUCUUUCAAGUAUUAUUUGUUAUGCAAUCGAUUGAGUCCCCAACAAUUGAAGGUAUUGUUAUGGUUUUGUUUCUUGUGCUCUACUGAGAGUCAAUAUGCCGUGACCAAUUGCUUUAAGAGGGUUCACAGAAGCGAGAGUACCUCAUACAUACGUGGGCGCAUGACCAUCUACCAAGGGAAGAACCCCUAACCUAUCUCAUAUAAAUUACGUUUUAGGAAAGUUGGUAGCACUAGCCCAAAUGGUACCACAGUUACAGGUUAAGUAAGCUUUAAGCCUAUGUAAGCUCUAUAUUUAUUCAUGUGACCUAUGCUAACACUUCCCCUUAAACUUUGCGGGUCUACUAAUUGAGGUGCUAUGAGUUGACCCCUUAUACCACAUGGUGCUCCUUGAUAGGUUCACCUAUCACUCAUUGAUUUCUAGUUAGAUCGACUAUGUGUGUGAAGUGACCAUGUCUUAUAGGAGUUGUUGAGUUGUUAGAGGUAAUGGAUUUAGGUACUACUAAACGGAACAAAUCUUGUGCCAAAAGAAGAGAUGACGGCGAAGGUGAUGGAUCCAGUGGAGUCAAAUGAAGUCUCCGGCGGAGUGUCUGUAACAAGUAUACAAUCAUCCAUUUCGCUCCAAAGUGGGAUCAAAGCUUUUCCCUUUUAGUUUUAAGGAUACAUAAAUUUCAUUAUAUUUGAUACCCUCAAAAUCUAAGAUUUAAUCAAAGAUGGGGUACAUAAAUGGAUAAAAUACAGUAUACAAAGAUGAUAUUGCUCUAUACUGAGGGCAAACAGCCUUUCCAUUUUUGCUCUAACAAUACAUAAUUAUCAUAUUACAUUUGAUAUUUGCCCAGAAUCUAAGUUGUAAUCAAAUAUAUACAAAAGCAUCAUGAUCCACAUCUCAAUUUGCAAAAAGAUAAAUGAAUCAUCUCCGUUUUCUCCCCUUUUUGGUAUUACCACCCAACAAAUCCCAAGAAACUGAAAAACCAAACAAAGAAUCACAUGUCCAAACAUUAGAAUUUAUAAACACAUGACAAAAUUAUUACAAAAUACUCAGUACCCAAUUUAUAGUUUUAGCAGGUGAUGCUUGUGAAGCCAAAAAAUUUCAUCCAAAAAACAGAAAGUUGGGAAUUUUCUUUUUUUACUCAAAGAUCAUUCCUUUUGUAAAAUAAAGCUUACCCAGAUUUAUUGCAAAUUGGGACAUGGUAUAAUUGCGAGAAAAUUAUAGAAAUUGUUGAAAAAAAUGAAACGAACCUGAGAGAUCGAACAGCGAGAUGUUGAGAAAGAACAUGGAAGAAGAAAUUGGCACCGUGGAGGAACACCACAACUCCCGUACACCCCAAUACAAAAAGCUCCAUCAUCAUUGAAAAAUAAUCAAAGCAAAGCAAGGAUCCCUUCUUUCUCAACAAAGAAUAAAAAAACAGAGCACGAGAAAUCCCGAAAUACAGUGAAGGAGAAGAGGCUGAAAUGCUUAUAAAUUGGACUUUGUUUCGAUGAUGAUUAUAUAAUUAAAAAUUACUAAUAAUAGGAGUGUUAUUAAAUUAUUAUUAAUAAUAAUUAAAAAAAAAGUGUUUUUUGGGUGUCAGAGUAUGAUCAUAUCCAAUUCCUAUAAUAAUGACUUUCUCCACUUUCUUACAACACGAAAAGGAGACGUGAUUGGGUGAUUGAAACUGUUUGGACGGCGGAUAUUUUUUACAAUGUUUUUACGAGCGUGUUUGGCCGUGUGAUUUUUCGUGGCGUACUUGACAAUGGUGUAGCUUAUGGGGGAAAAGGACAGAGAUAAAAGAAUGGGUGAAUUUUUUGAUAGGUCCCUCUAUUAUAGGGAUCUGAUCAAAUUAGUCCCUGUACUGUUAAAAAGACUAAUUGAAAUUGUUUGUUCUUUUAUCAUUUGUUAGUAAAAAUAGCUAACUGUUAACUACUCUUAUUAAAAUAGUAGAGGGAUUAAAUUGAUUCAUUUAAUAAUAAAGGGACUAAUUUGAUACUGUUCCUAUAACAUAGGGACCCCCCAAACAGUUUAACCAUAAAGAAAAGAGAGAGAGUGAGUGGAAUUGAUUGGGGAAAAUGGGGAGUACUAUAAUAUGGUCUGCCUAACUAUCGUUGUGGGUAAUCGUUCAUAGCCACAACCUAGCGACCGACCCGCCGCCACCAACCGCUGGGGUUGCACUCCUAGCUGGGUUUGGUUGCACUUUUUUUACUUGGGGCUGUUGGCAUUUGCAAGUGGCCCCCCCUGCUUUAAUAUAUAAUUGGUUGUUUAAAUUUUUUUUUAUCAUUGUUAACCGUUAAUUAUUCCUACGAGACAUCUCUUCUAAUUAAUAUUUUUUAUAAUCGGAUUGGUGAUUAAAUUGAUUAGAUCAUCGGUUCUAGAUCCGUUUAGUUGAUUUAGUUUAAUUGAAUAAAUAAUUAAAAAUCAUCAAAAAUAUUAAAAAUAAAAAACAUUAUUCAAUCGACCCGCAUCGAUUCACCUCAUUUUUCGAAUUGAUGCGCCAAUUGAUUUUCAAUCUGACCGACCAUUUCGGUCUAAUUCCAAAAACAUUGCUUCUAACUCAUUAUGGCGACAUAGAUUGUGUGUGAGUGCGUGUCGUAUGGGAUAUUUUUAAGAAAAAUCUAAAAUAUCAUUUCAACUAGAAGCAUAAGGUUAAAAUAUUUUGUUAGUCUCUAUAUUUUGAUAGAAUUUGAGAUUUAAUCCUUAUACUUUUUAUAGAAUAUGAAAUUUAGUCCUUGUACUUGAAAGGUUGAAAUUUAAUUCCUCUUUCUUUCUAAUCUAAAUAUCCCAAUCCAAUUAUUAAUAUUGUCAGAAUUUUCUAUAAAAAAAAAUUCUCAACUUGGCACAUUGAUUAAGUUGUUUUCAUGCAAAGCGAUAUAUGAUUGACAAAAGAUAAAUAUGUUAAGUUAAUAAAUUUUGACAUAAACUAUCAACGACAAUAAUAAUGUGACUGGGAUCUUUAAAUUGAAAAAGUAGAAGGAUUUAAUUUUUAACUUCAAAAUACAGAAGCUAAAUCUUAAAUUCUAUAGAAUUACAAGGACUAAAACCAUAUUUUAACCAAAACAUAUGACUAAAUUAUACCAAAUUACAAAGAUCAAAUUAUAUGAAAAUGAAGUAUAAUAAAGGACCAAACCCCUUUGAUCUAUAAAUUAUAUCGAAAAAGUAUUUUGUUUAAUAUGGUUUGUCUUUUUCUUUUUGCCAAGAGACCCCUUCCAAUAAGAACAUUAUCCCCUUAGUCUUGUGGGUUAAUAUGAUCUCUGUGAGUCUUAAUUCAUUCUUGUAAUUAAUUAAUAUACAAAAUGAAGUCGGUGGCUUAUUAUAAUAUACACCCCCCUCUUCUUGGGUUUUUUUUUCUUUUUUUAUCAAUGAUGAGAUGAGAUUCCAUUAUUUUAAAAAAUGGUGAGAUAAGAUGAGAUUUAAUUCAUUAUCAUCCUCAACAUUCUAAUAUAGAUUGCUGUAUGAGAUGGGUGGGAUAUAUAUAUAUAUUUAACAAUAAUCUCAUUGUAGAUUUUUAUUUUAUAUGUUAUUUUUUAUUAUAUAUUCUAAUAUAUAAUGCGCUUAAGUGCACUCGAACCUGCGUCUUCCUGCACUAGCAACAAUGCCAAUGUCAACCGAGCUAAGACUCAAUCGACCUAUUUUUUAAAAAAAAUUAACAUUAAUCUCAUUAUAAGUUCUUAUUAUAUUUGCUCCUUUUUAUAGAAUACAAUGCCUAGAACUACACAUAAUCCCUCCUCAAUAUUUAAAUAGAAAGAUAAUUCAGCGCACUUGAACCUAUGUUCUCUUGCAUUGACAAUAACACCAAUAUCAAUCAAACUAAAACUCAAUUGACAUGGGUGGAAUAUAUUUAAUUGCAGUAAGACCAUUAAAGUAAUACAUCAUUCCCUAAUUGAACCUCACGUUUUUUCUGUUCCACUUUGUAUAAGAAUGUGUAUUUUAGCCACACCAAUAUAACGUGACAACCCAACAAACUAAUCCAUGUUAGAUGUGAGAUUGCCAUUGCCAGUAGGUGGCACGUGAGGGUUUUGGUGUAGUAGUUGUUUGCCUAUAAGAAACUCGAUGUCUCUUAAAUAAGAUCUCGAGUUUAAAUUUGGUGGGUGAAAAAAUAAGUUCGAGGAUACUUGUUCCUUUUUAAAUAGAUCUAAUCUCUCUUACAAAUUUCUCUUAGUGUCAAAUCUCACAUUCAAGAAUUUAAUAUGAAUUUUAGUCCUUGAGCUAUUAUUAGAUUCAUUUUGGUAUUUAUACAUUUUGUUGAUCUACCUUAAUACUUAAACAUGACACAAUGUCAAAAUAUCACAUCUUCGAACCUUUUACUUUUGCCAAGCCCAAAAACCAAAAUGGGCCUAAUUACAAAGUUCAAGGACUAAAAAGUUAUAUUAACUCUUUACAUAUCGGAAUCCAUUGAUUAAACCCAAGGUUGUUUUUUUUUCAAUAAGCAUGAUUAAUGUUGCAUGGUUUUAUGAUAAAAAUAGACUAUUUCUUAUAAUUUUUAAAGUUAAAAAAUCUUAAUCUUAGUAAGCUUCAAAACAUGACUUGAGACAGAGCGAGAGAGAAAUGAGAUGACGUUGAGAAAACGACAGGUUAUUUCCUCACAUUUUUAGGUCAAAUUCAUUUAUCAGUCCCUAUACUAUGCAUAGAUUAUAAAUUUAAUGCAUGUAUUUUUCAAAUUAGUCAGUUUUAGUCCUUUUAUAUUUAAAAUCUUAAAAUUUCAAUCCUAAACCAAAUCGCCGUAGCAGUUAAAUCUGUUAUAACAAAUUUUACCAUGGGUCUUGUAAGUUCAAAAUGUAUUUUAUUAGUUCUACUCUAACAUGCAUCAUUAACUCACUCUGAAGCAUCCAGAUAUCAAUGCUACUUAAAACUAAAGACACCUGGUUUUGUUCUCUAAAGCAUACUAUCCAUGGGGAACUACUUUGAUCAUAUUAACCCACAAAUGAUAUUAAAGAGCUUUAAUUAUUCAAGGAAGAAGAGACAUUAAACCUGGUGAUGAUAUAUUUUUUGAACUUAUAAGAACAGGAAAAUUGAAUGUAUGUUUUUAUCUGAUACCUACUUCCAGAUGCUCACAGAACAAAUGUUGGGUAAUAACAUCAGAUAUUUCAGAUUCGUCCAAGAAGAAUACAAUGCAUCAAGUCCUACUAGGUUGAUCGGAAUUUUUCACGGAGAUGAAUAGCUCCGCAUCCCAACCACAAUCAUCCAUCUACAGUACAAAAAAAAGAGGAAAAAAAAGGUGUAUGGUAUUAGAAAUGUAUUUACCAGUUUAUCCACACAAAAGAAGAUAUUCAACAGUAUGGUUCUCAUUUUGGCUGCAUUUUAUGAAGGACUCAGGUCAAAUAUCUCUUAAUUGACACACGAAGAAAACAACUAGAAGAUAUCACUCUAGGAUGGUUAAAGGUUCAAAAUCUAGGGCUUGGGAAAGGCCAAGUGUGGAAGCAUAUGCCCAAUUCAUCAAUUUCCAAGAACUAGAAUAUCCUGAGAUUAUAAAUGUCUCUUGAAAUCACAAGUUAGUCAAGAUGUGAAUGAAAUUCAAUAUCUCUGGUUUAUCUAACUGUAACAAACAUUGAUGAAAAUAACCAAAUAUCAUAUUCAUCAGCUGAUCCUUCCUUUGAAUCACAACACCUUCAAACGCACCUAUUUAUGGUUUUAAUUCCUUACAAAUUGUAGACUGAUAAGAAUGUCACUCAUCAACUUGUUAAAGUUAUGAACAGGGGAAAGCAUCUAAAGACCCUACUAAAAGCUUUAUUCCACCACCUUGUCUUAAGAGUGCAUUUAUCAAAACCUCUGCCCGAACUCUCCGAUAUUCAUCAUACAUCAUCAUUGCAAUCUGAGUGAAACAACAAAUCAUUAUUGGUCUUAUAUCCACCUUAUACUGGCAUGAAUAAGAACGUAAAUAAGGUUUAGUUCACGUUAAGUUAUAACACUUACUAACAGCUGAAUAACAGUCUCAGCUCAAAUAUGCAUAAGCAAAGCCUAUAUCAUCUGAAAGUAAGCAUCAGAUUUCAUGUAUUUUUCUUUGAAAAGUUAUAACUAAGUUGCAUCACUGAGAGUCUUUUAACCCUUUCCCAUCCAUACCAUAGGUAAACAAGUAAGCAAUUCUAAACAUUCAGAUAACCAAACAAAAUGACAAACUACAACACACAAUUCACUUUUCAGAAGCUUAACAGUAAAUUCAAAAUCAAUCAGUUAACUGAAUUAAAAAUAUAUUUAGCAAGAUUUCAUCUGAUGUUUCUAAAGCCAUGAAAUUGCAGGGCAUAGCAUUCAAUCUCUUGCCAUUUCACAAUUAUGAUCUCCUCAAGCACUGAAGAGAAAUUACAGUAGAAGUUCCAAAAAGUUUAACAAUGAAAAACUAAUGCAAGUCACUCCCUCUCUGUGCUUGCCCUUCAUCUAGUCUGGUUUUGCCCUACAAAAGGAGAAAAUAAUUUACAUUCUUCCAUUAGGCAGAGAGCAAUUACUACCUAUCCAAAAAGGGGAGAGAAAGAAAAGAUGAAAGAGGGAGUACAAUUUGCUACAUUUGGCUAUUGUUUUUGAGUGGUUGAUGCUAGUCUUAAAGUCGGCCGAUUUUGCUUAGCAGAUACACCCUACUUUCCCUCAUAAUUCUAGUUCUAAUGAAAUUUACAACAAUAUAUCUCUUUCCUUCUUGGUAUUUAAUUGCCAAUACUGAAGCUUAUCACUGGGAAACCACAAAGUUUAGGAAUAGCAAUCAUAAAAAAAAAAAAAGGUUUGAAUAUUGUCAUACGAGUGCACACACUUUUAACUCAAAGGAUCAAACAUGAUUUUCUUUAAUUUUGCUUCUAUGAGUAGGAUCAAAUACUUCUACUAGGAACUUUAACUUUGACUCGAUGAGGCAUUAUAUCUUAAUUCAAUUUCCAUUGAUUCAUUAAAAAUAAGCUAGAAACUUUGAAUCCUUUAAAAUAAUUCAACAGAUCAAAAUGAGAAGGAAAAAAGAAAGUGGAUAGGAAUACCUUCAGCGGUCCAAUUGGAUCUCCGGCGAGAAACAGAAAGCAUGGAAGUCAACAAAGCCGAAGCAGUGGCUGUGUGAUAAGGUAGCAGCGUUUCCACACAGCAGCUCAUCUCCACCGGUGACCUUUUCAAAUUCAUUUUAGAACUAUACUGCUAAUUUAUUUCAUAAACGAGUACAAGAGAAGAAUUAAUAAUAUCCAUUACCUGAAAAUGCGAGCAGGAAACGAGUUUUGCUUAGAGAUCCGAAAGGGCGAGCAAGCGGGUCGUGGCAUGGACUUGGUUGCACCGGCGAGUCUCGCGGCCGCGGUCGCUCGGGUGGCAGCGGAACGGAGGACGGACCUGGCGGCGGACAUUUUUGGUGGAAGAUUUUGGAGGGUUUUUGUGUUUUGGGGCUGAAGGGUUUUAGGCUUUCGAGGGGUUUUUGCAAAUCGGACUGUUUUUCUGUGUAUGUGAUCGUAUGGUAAAGCUGUUGGUUCUUGCAAAUCUAACUCGACACGUGGAUAGCUCUUUUUUUCUAAAAAAAAAAAAAAAGCCCAAAGGGCAAAACUAUAUACAACUAAGAAAUAUCAUUCAACGCAUCUACUGAUGGAUGAAAUCCAGAUAAUUCAAACCAAAUUCAAAAGUAACAUUUUUAUCCAUCAAUCAAUGUGCAAAAGCAAAGCUAACAACAUCAAAUGAACCACAAACACUCAAGUCCUCACUAACAACACAGACUCUAGGAUAAUUCUGCAGAAACCCUUCUCAAUGGCCUUCUGAACAGCACAAGCUAAAGCGACAGCCUCAGCUAAAGGAGUGCCAAAAGCUUCAGCAAUCGAAUAGGUGAAACCAGCUAGCACCAGUCCUUCAUGGUCAUGAACAAUGCCUCCGCAAGUAGCACAUCUUGUCUUCGCAUUCCAUGCUGCGUCAACAUUAACGGACGUCGAGGUAACAAUGGAGCAUAAAGAAGGUUAUGCACCAAGAACUCGUGAUGGAAGGAUCAAGUUCUUAACAUUACAUCUUGAGGGGAAGAAACUCGCCCCUGAUGCAUGACCUAAUUCCUUGCCUCCCAUAGUUGCCAGAGAAGCACAAGAAAACUAGUGAAGGCUUUUUUAUCCAAUAUCUUCCCCAUAGUCGUCUCGAGCCAUUCGAUCACAUUGUAGAAAUACAAACAAAGCAAAUCAUUAUAAAUACUACAUAAUGUUAAUGCCUCCCUCGAGUUCGCCUCUUGGGAAAACAUGUCAUAUCUCUCAAUCAUAGGAAGGAUGUCAUGGCCAAGCGUCCACCCAAAAAGUUGAACUUUUGAAAAGGUUUUUACCCUCUCAAGUUCCUUCUAUAAGAUUCAACGAGGUCCUCAAACUAUUGCACAAAUUCUAACAAAUGUCCCCAACUUUUGAAUAUCUGGUAUGUUUUUUAGGUGAUUCUAACAAAUGUCCUCAAACUAUUGCAUAGUUUCUAAUUGGUCCCUUAAUUUCAAAAUGAAAUGAUUAAAUCUUCAAAAGUAUUUGUAAUUGAAUUAAUAAUGUUCUUCCAUCAUUCUAACCUUCAAUAUAGGCAUUAAAUGUCUGUUUGUAUUUAAUGUGAAGCAUAUUUAAAACAUUUAAAGUAAAUUAUAAACAUAAAUAUACGUAUAGCAUGAACUAUUUGAAUCUAACAUGAUAAAAAAAAUGUAAUGCCAAUAACAUUUAUGAUAUAUAUAUUUUGAUAAUAGAUUAGAUUCAAGCAAAGUUGGUCAAUAAGUACAAAUAUAUUCAACAAAAGAACAAGGGAUUCUUCUUGUAAGGAUAGUUUGCACUUUGGUAGAAGGAAAAACAUUGGAUGAUAAUUUGUGAAAUGUUAUAGUUCAUGGAGAUUAAUCUAUUCAAAGUUUCGUGGUUUUCACUUUUAAUAAUGUCGUUUUUAAGAUUUAAAUUUGAGUUUUUCCUUUGAGAAUGCAAUGUCUCUUGUCAUUACACUCUGCCACUUAUUGGUUGAUGGUGGAUUAUGAAAUGAUCUAAGCUUACUUUCAUUUACUUUGUUAUCUCGAAAUCUUUGAUACAUCAAAAUAACAAUUUCUUCAAUGACAUCUAUUUAAAAGAUCUCAUUAUAGUGAAAUUCGGUAGGAUUCUUUUAAAUCAAUGGUUGAAAUGAAAAGUGAGAAAAAAAAUCAAUCCACCGUUUUGCAUUAGAAGCAUGAGUUUAUCUUUUAACCAAUUUAAUCAAUUUCAACACAAAAAGGAGAGAAACUGGUUUUCAAAGAAAAUCAAUGUAUUUGAUAACUGAUUUAACAAGUUUCCAAUCAUCAGCACAAUUUUACCCGUUUUUGACAUUACUUGAUCAAACGACUACAGUCUACUUAUUAUUGUCUUUUGACAACAACCAAUAAUUUUAAGAAAAUACCGUAAGAUUUCACUAUAAUAAAAUCUCACAUUAGACAUUACCCAAUUUAUUGAAUGAAAAUCCAAUUUUUUUUUUUAAAUGAAUCUCUAAGCCCAAUUCAGUUUGCUUUUUAGUUUCUGCCUCUCUGAUGUUAUGAGGUAGCUUGAAGGCCCCAAAAUGGAUGGGUAAUGAUCAACUGGACUCUGAAUGCUGAGCCAACAGCCCUUUGGGCAUUUCACUGUGUUUAUCCACUUUGUUUGGAUUUAUUCGCAAUAGUAUUGUCGUUUUGAAAUAAGAAAAGCAAAGCGAUUCCAAAAAGAGUCAAGGGCCUGGCCCCGGAUAAAAUGGUUUUAUUCCAAUUUUAGACCCUCUUAAAAAUUAUCAAUUCAAUUUAACUUUUUAUCAUGAAAUUCAUUUUUUCAUCUUGUUCCCUCUAAUAAAAAAUUCCCGGCGUUGCCCUUGAAGAAAAAGGCUGGCAGAACACCGCGAACUCAGCCGGUUAGGGUUUAGAGUAAAAUUGAGAUAAGAAAUAUAAAAAUUGAAUCAAAUUUUACCCCGCCCCGUCUACGCGUCAAAGUCCCUACAACUUGACCUAAAAAUGGAAGAUUGAGGAACAUGCAAUUACAGGUUAACAAAUAUCUAAAACUGAGGGACAUUAAAUAAUUACCAUGUGACUUUCUCCCCUUCCGAAAUGGAGCAAAUUGCAAACAAUAUAGCCAUCAUUAUAUGGCCAAUAUACCAUCAGGAAAUGCCCUUAUUUUAUGCCAACAUCAUAGGGCAAUGAAUCUCGUUUUCUCACCAGCCUGGCAACAAGUUGCUGUCCCUUACUUCCCAAUUCAUCAAAUUAUGAUUUUGAUCCUCAAUCUUCCUCAAAAUAUUUAAGGUUUACUUCCAAUAAGAUAUAAUUUGAUCUUUACUUUUAUAUGGUCAUUAAUUUAAUUCAAUCAUUUUUAACUUGUAUUUUGCUCCAUUUAUUUAAAAAAAACAGACAAAUUAGCCCAUGUAUAAUGUAUGUUAGAUCAAAUAAUAAACUGGUCAUUUCUGUUAAAAAUUGCAUUCAUGUCUAUUGUUAAAAACUGACGUGACUGACUAAAUAGCCAGACAAUUUCAUGUUGCGCGCCAUAUGUGCCUUAUAUUGAUAUACAAUGAUCGAUUUUUAACAAUAAAACUGGAGAUAAUUUUUUUAAUGGAAGAACUAGUUUGUUCUCUAAUCUAACGUAUAGAAAUUAAUUUACCCAUUUUUUGAGUAAUUGAGGUCAAAUACAAUUUGGCUUAUAAAAGAACCUCCAUAAUACUUUUAUCGACCAAAGCAUGUCAAAUUAAAGUAAAUAAAUUAAAUUUCAAAUUUAGAUAUAGUAAGAUGAUCAAGAUCAUAAUUUGGUUCUUCUCAAUUAGAUUUUUCUUUUUUUAUCAACUACAAUAUAAAUAAAAAUGUCUGGAUUCUAUCAUCUAAAUACGUUUCUCUAAACAAAUUUCUUCCAAUCAGAUGGACUUAUUAUUAUUUAAAAUGAAUUUCAUUAUAGGUUUUUAGUAUAUCUGUUCCUUUUGAUGCCAUGCUUAGAACUAUUUAUAGGCAAUCUCUAAUCCUUAAAUAAGAGAACAAUGCGCUUCAACGCACUCGAACCCACAUCUUCCAGCACUGCUAACAAUAUUAAACUAAAACUCAAUCUGCAAUAAAAUGGAAUUACUAAAUCAGAUAAAGUAGGUGAUGAAACCCUAGCUCAUGGUCAGCUAUUGUCCCCUUUUUAACUUCCAUUUCAAGCAAAGUAGACCAGCAGAUGGGAAAAUUAAUUUCAUUUCAUAACAUUAUGAAACCAUAUCAAACCCACCACCUUUCUUUCCAAGGCUAAUCUGACCUAGCCUCCUUGUAUUUAUUAUGACUUGUUGGUAUUAUGCCCUCAUGUAUUUUCUUUUUUAACCAGAAUUUUGUUAAUAUUUGCAUUAAAAUGUUGGGAAAAUAAAAAGAUCUGGGUACAGCUAGAAUCAAUGGUGAGAGGUAGAGGGAACUGAAAUAAUGUGUGGGUGGGUGUAAUCAUUUGUUUCUUUACAGUACAGCACCAGUAUUUUACAUCUCUCUUCAAAUUGGUCCAUUUCUUUUUAAAAUUAACCAUUCAAUUCCCAGCAUCAUGAGUGCUCCCACGAUCAUAUGCUCCUAUUUUCUCACAUUGGGUUCCAUAUUAAGACACUGUACUGCUAGUUAGGGCACCCUGGUCCCAAAAAUAAUUACUAGGCUUAGCCUCACACUUUUGAAGUUUAUCAAUAUAUUAUAUUAAGGUCAGAACCUAACCCUUUAUAAAAACUAUAGUAUUAAACAUUAAUUCCAUGGUGACCAUAUAUAAAAUAUAGACCUACACAACAUUAGUCUUUGUAUGGCUAUAUAAGUUCAUAUAUGUAAGUCAAAAAGAAAUUGGACCCAAAGCUUUAGAACACGAAUAAAGUCAUCAUUUAUCCGUCAUUCACGGAGAAGAUAAUCCAAUUCAAAUGGAUGAUUUUUCACUUUCCUUUCCUUUUUAUUAUUUAGAGUUUUUUAAUUAUAUGUUUCUUUCUAAAUUCUUUAAUUUUGAAUUGAUUGAGUAUUAGUUCGAUUGACAUUGACAUUGUUGUCAGUAUAGGAGUACGUGGGUUCGAGUGCAUUGAAGCACAUUAUUCUCUUAUUUAAAAGUUAAGGAGGGACUGUGGGUAGUUCAUAAUAUUGGAUUCAAAAGAUUAGAUAUAAUAAUACUAAUCAAUAGUGCAAGGGGUAAAUUGCUAAUCGUAAAAUUGCUUAUUUUUCUUAUAAUGAAAAGGGAUUAAAACCUAAUUUGCAUAAAACGAGCAAGUAGAGCAAACGAUCCAAAGGAAAUCUCAAUAAAUGGGAUUCUUAAUUGCAUUAUUUCAUUGCUUAAUUCUGGGCAAUUUGUGACUUGCCUAAGAAUGAUGAUAAAGGAUAAGAGCUUGAGAAAGGAAAGUCAUGAUAUUUACUUUUUCAUUGUCAUGGAUUUCAAAGUCCUACAAAAUGUACACUAUUAUACAAUUAGUCCUUUUAAGUAUCAAUUUCACAUCUUUUGACUGCUAAAUCACAUUUAUUUCAUUCGGUGGAAAUAAUAGGAAACCAAAUCAAAAAGUGCCUUACUGUCAAAGGCAUGCACAUGUAUUUAUAUUUAUUUUCAGCUAUUGAAUGGACCGCCGUAUAAAAAGCACCAUCAAUGUACAUCAACAGUCCCUAUUCAUAUCUCUUUACCACAUGCCAAAUGGGUGUGUAUUUAUACCAUUUAUGACCCAUGUUAUUGACAAUUGUUAUCACCAUCCAAAGAUAAGAUAUCAUCAACUAUGGUAGCUAGCUAGUAAUUUGUGUUGCUUGAUUUGAGAAUGGAUUGUAUCAAAUUGAGAUUUCAUUUUAUCUGUGUAUCCCUUUUUAAUAGGAGAAUGAUAAAAAAUUAUAUUUUUUUUCUAAAAAAUUCAAAUCUAAUUAAAAAUACUAAAAAUCAGGAAAAAAUAUUAAUUUGUUAUUCUCUUAUUGAAAAAUGAUAGAGAUGAGAGAGAAUUACAGUUUUAUACCAUCCUUGAAAUUGAAGAGAAUCAUUUAUAUAUAUAUAUGAAAUCGAAUAGACAAAGUACACAAUCUCAAAGAUCUUUACGAAGAUGUAUAUAUAUAUGAAAACUACUAGAUAGAAUUCAACUUUUUAAUAGGCUUUGUCAUGGGUUCAUAAAACAAGAAGAAAAGAUCAAAAACAUGAUUUAAGAUUUUGUCAAGAUUAUCAAUGAUGAGAAUCAUAUGAAACAUCAAUGUCAUCAUGAAAAAACUAAUUAAAACUUGGAUUUUUUUUGUUGUCAUUUUGUUCUUUAAUUAAGCUCUAGUAAUUUUUUUUGGACAAUCACUUUAUACUAUUUAUAAUUUUUCUUUAGGACACUUCAGCUCACUCGAACUCACGCCCUUUCGCAUAAACAACAAUAUUUGUACCAAUCGAGUUAGACUCAAUUAUUAUUUUUGUUUAUUUUAAUUUCACAAAAUUAAAAUAGGAAGAAGAUAUAUAUAAUAUUGGAACAUAUAAUUACAUUUUUAUUGCAUAACAUUGUUUAAGAAAAGUAAAAAGCAUAAGGCUCCCAUAUCAUAUCUUUUAGCAUUUCAAUAUCAAAAGCAAAGGAUGCUAUCAAACCCUGCAAAUAAAAUAAAAAAAGAUCACAAAGUAAAACACAAAACCCAAUAAAUAAAGCCUUUAAUUCUUUACUCUCAUUUUGCUAAUUAAUUAGCAUAUACGUAUGGUUUCAUGGCUCGAACUCUUCUUCGAACUCCUCUUGAUUCUGAUUGUACUUUCCCAUGUUAUUGUAACGGUUCUCGUUGAACUCGUUCCUCGAACCGACUCCCCUCGAGUUCUCGAACCGGUUCGGGUAGUAGUUGUUCUCAGAACCCACACGAUAGUAGUACUUCCCAUUCUCCAAGUACCUAGUAUCACUCAUACCUUGCUUCUCAACAUUGUUGUACUCAUUGUUACCAUUGUAAUAGUUGUUGUUGUUCUGGUUUUCCUUAGUACUCCAUCCUUUCUCAGUGAACAUGGCCUCAUUGUUACCAUUGUAAUAGUUGUUGCUAUUCUGGUUUUCCUUAGUACUCCACCCUUUCUCAGUGAACAAGGCCUCAUUGUUACCAUUGUAAUAGUUGCCAUUGUAGUUGUUGGUUUCCUUGGUGGUCCAUCCUUUCUCAUUGAACCUGGCUUCACUUUGCUGCUCAGUGUUCCCGUAGGCAUUUGUCUUGCUAUAAAAGUAAGAGUCUUUGUUGUUGGUUUUGGACGCUGGGAUGCUAUUGUAGGGUUCAUCAGGGUGGUAUUUAACAGGUGUGACAUAGGGUUCAUAGGUUUCUUUGGUACUGGUGGUGCUAGGAGGGAGCUGACCAGACUCGUGACCGUAAAGCCCAUAGCCAUUUUGGGUCUCGGGGACAAACCUUGGCUCUUGCUCCUUCUUCCCCAAAGUGGUUUGUUCUUCUUUGUUGGUCACCUCUUUCUCAUUUGUGUUAACACUUGGGAUUUUGCUAAAAAAAUCCCUACCAUGUAUUUCAACGGAGAAGAGGGCUAAAAGGAAGAAGUAAGAGAUGAAUUUUGGUGAAGAAGCCAUUGGCAAAAAAAAAAAAAAAAAAGGGAAAGCAAAGAUUUUGUAGGUAAUGUAAGAGACUACACACUAACGAGGAAUACGUGAUGAUGCAAAGUGCUUAUAUAGAAAGAGUGGAAGAGCAAUGAUUUUGUUUUCACUCUAAAUUGUUAAAAUUUUCUACUCAAUUAACGGAGGGGGUGAAGAUGGUUAUGAUUGUAGGGACUUGGAUGAGAGAGAAAUAUCAAAAGAGGCCCUUUUACUUUGUGGUUUGUUGUUAAUCAACCAUGUUUCAUUUAUUUCAUUCUCAAUAUCAUGAACCCAAUGUUUUUAAAAUCAGAAAGAAUCAAAAGUAAUUAAUAUAAUUUUAUUAAAAUCUCAACUCUUCCUAGAUUCAAGUCACAAAUAAAUUCUGUUUGCAAUGUGUAAAUUAAUUACAAAUAUACCCAAAAAUAUAUAUAAUUUUAUUGUAUAUUGACAUACAUUAUUAUGCAUAAAAAUAUAAAAUCCUUUUUAUGCAUAUAAAAAACAAUCAUGGCAUACAAAAGUUUAUGUUAAUUAUUAUAUUUUAAAAGUGGUUUUUGUAAAAUAAAUCUACUAGGAUUGUUUAUAAUUUCUAUUUCCCCACAGUGGGAAACAAGUGAAAUGUGUAAGCUUUAUUUGUUUUUUGGUCACAUAAGAUUCCCUCCUCACACUCCACUUAAUUCUUUACCAAACCUAUUAAUUAAGAUCACUAUUAUUUGUGUAUCAAACUAUUGAGUGUUUCGUAUCUUCUAAGCAAAACCCAAUUUCAUUUUAUUUUAAUAUUUUAAUAAAACUCAUCAAUUGUGUCUUAGCGUGUUGUCAAACUAGUGGAAGGACGUGGACGGAUUAUGAGUAAUUUUAAACAUCAUAUAUAAAAAAAACAUAUAUGAUCAGAACUUAUAAAUUUAUUAUUUCAUUUUUCUAUCUCUUAAAAAAAUAAUAAAAGGGCAAAAAAAAAAAUUAAAGUUUAAGAGAUUUGAAGGAAAAAUGUGUUGGGUGGCUGGUUGGAUUUAAUUCAAAUUAAGUUUUCGAUUGGUUGAACUUAAAUUUAAAUUAAAUAACUUAAAAAUAUUUAUUUAAAUUUAAUUAUAAAAAAAUAAUAUUGAUAUAAAAUUAUAGAUUUUUAAAUUUUUUCAACAUUAAAAUUGACUACUUAAGUCGGUCGGAUCGAACUCAAAAAAAGAAAGAAUCAAGUCAUUACUCGAUCAAAAUCGAUCCAUUAAUUUUGGGAUAUUAUUUUUAACCUAAACCCUCUUAUAUCUGGUAACUAUAUCAAAUCUUAAAAAGCUUAGAACACAUUAUAAUGGUGGGAUAGGGAGGGGGGGGGAAUAGAGGGCAUCGUGGGCUGUGGAAAUUUAGAGAUGAAAGGGAGCGGCGGAUGAUACUGCGAGGAUUAAGGGGGAAUUGGUGGGACAUUAAACUAUGUCGUUUAGCGGCUGUCUCCAUGUUCUAUUUUUCUACACCGUAGGUUGAUUUUUUUUUUAUAAAAAUUAAUAAUUGAAUUUAGGUAUAAUUAUAUGUGCCUUAUUAUUAUUUAUAGGUUUUGAUUAUAUCUGUUCUUUUUGACACAAUGUCUAGAAUAGGUAUAGCCCCUUCUCAACCAAUAAAUAGGAGGAUAAUAGGCUUCAACGUACUCGAACUCACGUCCUCUUACAUUGGUAACAAUAUCCAUACUAAUCAAAUUAAGAUUCAAUCGACUAUUGUUUUUCAAUUUUUAAAGAGUAGUUAAGAAUUGUAAUUAAUAAUAACUUUUAAUGAUUAAAAAAUAUAUUUUUAUUAAAUAAGAAAAAAUAUAAUAUAAUAUAAAGAAUUAAAACAAAAUUUCACUUUAUUAAUUAAACACGUCUAAUAAUGUAUUUACCCUAAUAAGUUGCUUCAAAUGCAAAUUACUUCCAUAGCUAGCAAGGAAAAAACAAACAAACAUUCUUUAAUUGUAAUUGAAUAUUGGAUACCAAAUCUUUUUAAAUAAUCUUUAGUCAAAUAUAUAAAAUUUUACGAAAAUUAAUAGGAUUUAAAAAAUAAUUGAUUGAGUCUUAGUUUGAUUGGUAUGUACAUUGUUAUCAAUCCAGGAAGAUGUAGACUUAAAUACGCUGAAGUGCAUUGAAGAAUAUAGAGAGAGGCCAUAAGUAAUUCUAGAUAUUGCAUAAAAAAAACAGAUAUAAUCUAAACUUAUUUCUUUUUAUAAUUAUUCUGACUCACGUUUGAGACUCAUGCAACGAAAAUUCAAGCACCAAUGUCUAAAGCAACAUAAAUAUAUAUGAAAAAAAAGAAUGUUGUCAUUUUGUUUUGAUAGCCAAAUAACAUGAAAGUGCGACUUAAAGUCUAAUCUAAGGUUAAUCUUGAUUAACACAAAAUGAAUAUUUUUCACAUUAACAUUUUUUGAUUUAUGGGUUUUUGAUUAUUCUUAGCUGAAAAUAUUGCAUUCCCAUGUAAAAAGUUUUGGACAUAUAAAAAAAGUAUAAAGACUUAAAAUAUAAAUUAACCGACAUAUUAAACGCAAAAUAAUCUUUAAAAUUAUCUAUUUUUGAGAAGAGAUAUAACGUGGUCUUUAAUGUUUAAACUCACGAGUUAGGAAAAAAAUUGUAAAUUCUUACUCUUACUUUUGGUUUCUUGUUGCAUCCCAUUGAUUCAGUGAAGUUUUAGUUGCGUGAUCAGCGGCAGAGGUGCUUUCAGCCAAUGCAAAGCAUGUAUCCAUCAGAGCUGGCAAUCAAACUCCUCCCACCUAUUAACCUAAUUUUGAAAAUCAAUGUUUGCCAAAAAACAGACUAGUAAGACAUGUAUUUUAACAUAAAAGAAAAAGCAAAUUGAGUUUUAACUCGAUUGGUAUUGUUGUCAAUGCAAUAAGGCGUGGGUUUAAUUGCACUGAAGCGUAUUAUCCUCCUAUUUAUGGGUUAAGAGAGGCUAUGGGUAGUUCUAGGCAUUAUGUCAAAAAAAAAAAAAACAGAUAUAAUCAAAACUCAUAAUUAGAUUGUUCAGAAGAGAAGAAGAAAGGCACUAUCGCUAACUUCAAUUUACGUGAAUCAGAUUGAUUUUGGAUUUACUUAAAUUUGAUUUUAAAUCUUUUUGAAUUAUUUUAAGUUUGGAUUAGUUUAGGUAUGAAUUGUUUCGAGUUCAAGUUAUGUUUUUCCAGUUCUGGUCAUCUCAUUUUACUCCUUAAUAUCAUUUUAAAUUUGAUAUUUCGGUUUUAGAUGGAGCAAAUUCAAGUUUUUAACAUUUUAUAAUCAAAUUAUAUGAGAUCGAAUUUGAAUUCAAAUUAGUUGAAAAUACCCCAAAGUGUAGUAAAACACAAGCUACAUGAAACAGGAUGAAUAAAGUCAAAGCAAUUGGUCCCUAAAAAUGAGGUAAAAGUCUAAGGUAGCUGCCUGCAAAAUUCAACUAAACUGAAUUCACAAAAGUAGAGUUUCUGUUAAUGUGGUUGGGGUUUGGUAGGUUUACAUUUCAAGGAAAUUUGAUGGGUAAAGUAGUUGUACAUCAAAUAAAUUCAAAGUUAUUAGUUGGGUUCAGUAAUUCCCUACCAACAUUUAAAAUAAGAGUUGGUUUUGUAGUAAUAAAUAAGUGGGUGAUGGACAUAUCAAUUGAUUGGUUAUAUCAUUUUUAGUAGGAUCAAUUUCGGUUAGUUAGAUUAUUUUAAAUUCAAGUUGUUUCGGGCUUUCAUCAUUCAGAUUGAGAUUUGUUUUUUUAGUAUUAUUCAUGUUCGUUUUAGGGUCCAUGUUCGGGAUUUGUGGCUGUUCCUCUCAAUAAUAUUGUUUUCAAGCUUCAAAUUUAGGUUCUCCGUUUGAGAGUGCAAUGCACCUUACCAUUACAUCCAAUCACUUGUUGAUUGUUUUGUCAUUUUAAAUGGAUCGUUUUAAAUUAUUUAUUUAAAUUAUUUUAAGCUCAAAUUAUUUUAGAUAUAAUUCAUUUCGAUUUUAAAUUUUUUGAAUUAAUUUAAUUUUGAAUUAUUUUAAAUUUAAAUUAAUUUUAUUUUUAAAAUAAAUUAAUUCGAAUUCAAAUAGAUGCAUUGGACCUGCUCAUGGCAUUGAUAAGGUGUGGGCUAGGCGAAGGUCAAAAUGCUACAAUGAAAUCCAUGUGGUAAAUAAUGGUCCCAAUGAAAGCACAUCAAGAAUCACAAGGGACCAAAUAAUCAAGAGAAUUUAAGCACUUAUGAUUUUAGUAGUAUUAUGGAUGGUCUUAUAUUAAGAGUUAAAAAUGAAUAAAUUAAUCUUUAUACUUAAAUUAAAGAGUAAGUAGAUACUUCCAACAACUUUCGUCCAUUUUUAUUGUUGAAAACCAGCAUGAUUGAUAGAAUAAUCGAACAGUUACACUUGAUAUGUCAUGUGUAUCUCAUUUUAACAUAUAGGGACUAGUUUUUAAUAGUAGAAAUGAAUAAAAUUUUUAACAAAAUGAUCAAUUUACCCUUUAAUCUAAUGUAUAAGAAAUAAUUUACCUAUUUUUUAAUAGAACGAGCAAAAUACAUUUCGACUCUCAAUGACUAAUUCAAUUAAUAAACAUCCCUUUACCCCACCAUUUCCCUUGCCAUCAAUCCAAUUUUAUAUCUUUCAAAUUUCAAAUUUGAUUUUAUUUAAAAUUUUAAUAUUCAAACUCGAUAAAGAAAAUCUCCAACUCGUAUCUAAUCCGCCCUGCUCCACCCUGAUAUAAUAAACAAAUUCUUUUAUAAAAACUUAUAGAAGUUUUUAAAAAUCUAAUUAAAAAAUAAAAACAGUUAUAAAAUUAAAAAAAAUAUUUGGAUAAAUUAUUUGAGAAAAGACAUCUUAUUAUAGGUUCUGAUUAUAUCUAUUAUUUUUGGCACAAUACCUCGAACUAUUCAUAACCCUAACCCAUAAAAUCUGCUUUUACAAGGUAUGAUUUGAAUUUUUUGGGUGAUUGAUAGUUGGGGGCAGUUGGACCUCCUGGAAAUCUCUGAGACCCUUUUUUGAGUAAAAAGAGAGACUUCCCACUUGGACUAAAGAAGGGGGACUUCUGCCGAGUGUCUCAAAAUUUUUAAUUUUUACAAACUUAUAUCAAUACCAACAUUUCUACCAAAAAUCAUUAAAAAAAUUGGUAAAAGUUAGAUAUAUGUGUAUGCUUCGAGCACAUGGGAGAAUUUACCUGAAGAAGGGAGAAGGCAAGUUGUCCAAAAUAAAGGUUAAAAGAACAAAAAGGAUAACGGUAACAAUCAUGAGAAUAUGCAUGCUGAAAUGAUUUCAUCUUCUUUAUCCUACCUAAAUAUUUGUGCAUAAUUCCGUAUGAAUCAUUAUUACUUUGCAGUAAAGCUCUAAUUGUGGUGCUAAAAGCAUAAAAAGUAAAAUCAAAAUGUAGCAGCUAGCAAGCCUGAUGGUAACUAUUUCAAUUUCCGAGCGUGAAAAACUCAGGCUGCAAAUUUCAAAAGUACAUAUCAUAUUGUAUUAAUCUGGACACUGGAAUAAACUCGUGUUGCUGGUUACCGCUGAUGUGAUGAUUAUACGCCGAUUGACCCGGUGCUGUGGUGUGUGCGUGUCCCAACUCAUCUUUCACCUUUUAGCUGUGCGGAAUCAGAUUCUAUAUUCUAGAUGACAGAAGAGAAUAUAAACUGCAAUGGAAGAGAUUUCUUGACCUAGCUGAACUGUGAUGACAGCACCAUCCAAGCACCCAGUACAGGGAAGGUAAUCAAUGCGGAAGCCUGAAAUACAACCAAAAUGAAUUAUACCAGUAAUUCAAGUAAAAUUUCAGGAACAGAAGAAGGCAGUAGAUACACGAGAACAUACCAGAAAGAAUACCAAUUCAUCAUUGACAAAAGCUGCAGUAAAUUCAUUUCUUCGCAUUUCUUGUUUGAUGAAACCUUGCAACUGUCAACAAACGGGUAAGAAACAAGAUAUUUGUUUAUUUCAUAGGCAAAGGUUUCCAGUGAAGGGAUACAUAUGUAUCUUUGUUCUUAGGCACUAUUGAUGCACAUUAACUAGUAAACUGGAACUUGUUUAUAUUAUUUCCCCUUAAACCAUUAACAUUAUUGCAACAAGCACAAGGUAGACAAUGAUGAAAUACAAAUUCCUGGUAAAUCUAAAUCCUUAAUUCGUAUAUCAAAUCAAAUUCUGCACUUCGGAGGAAAAAUGAAUUGUUAUCACCUAAGGACCAAAAAGUAUUAGAAUGCAGAAUUCAUGUUUGCAAAUGUUGCACAGAGAUGAUUGACAGAGGAUUCAAGUUGGAAGUGCAAGAUAAUUCUUGACUCUGUCUAACAAAUUAAUCUCACUGUGUUGAAAAAUAAUGCCCGCAUAAAGCUGAAACCAUUCCAGGCGACAUUCGCAUGGGACUCUAAGAUAGAGCCAAAGAAGGUUCACAAUCUAAGUCAUCAAGACACUAAUCGUACUCUCUAUAAUUCAGGGGAAAAGAAUCUUUUUAGCUGAUAGAACUAUGAUUCUAUGAUUACUGACAAUCUUGUUUACAAAACUGAGCAACCUAGUUGGAAGAGGCCAAAGGUUUCCAGAUUCAUGGUGAUUAAGCAUAAAACUGAUUUAGUAGAAAGAGAUCAUGCCUAGGAGUUUACACAGAGCCAAAGGAAACGGUCAACUUAUCCAUUGAGCAUUUUCUAUUGUUGGAAACUUUCACAAAGUAUACUUUUAUGUAGUUUUGACAUUGAAGAUCUCCAAGAGUAACCUGAUUCGUUUUGAGGUACAUUAAUCCUAGAAAAUCACAUUGCAAUGCUAAACAUACCUGAUGGUGAUACUUUUUAAUUGCUGAGUAAAAUCUUCUCAAUUGUUGCAGAGCUUGAGACAUGUAGUACUUAAUGGUAGAUCCUUUUCCGAAUGAAUAAUAUUCCAAUGCACCGAGCAUCUUUGGAAGAUGUCUUUCAGAAAGGUCAUUAAAGAACUAUAUUUGCAGAAAAGAUUUGAUUUGAUUUGAUUUGAUUAAGACUUGAAUGAAAGAUAAGCAUUUGGCAAAAUAUCAUUACUUUUACAAAAAAUUCAAAUGGACUGAGACAGAUGUAAAAAUAAUAAUAAUAAAAGGUCUGAAAGACUAUGUCAGCUUAUUAUAUUACCUUCAAGAAUGAGCAUCUCAUGUACCUUUGCCUUUGAUCUUGCAAUGCUCUCCUCUGUAUGACAAAAAGCAAUUAUGCUAAUUAACAGAUUGAUUAUAAUGGCAGAAUGUUUACUUUUUUCUUUUAAACUUCCUUAUGAAUUGACGAAUAACUGAUAUUAAUAAGGUCCAUCGAAGGCAAUACUUGUGCAAGUUGAAGCGCCUGCUCAAGAUGUUGAAUUUGAAUCCAUUGUUCUGUAACAACUUCUGCCAUCUGAAAACAAGGGAAUGAAACUUUAAGAGAGAAAAGUACAACUAUUUCAACAUCAGCAAUAGAGAAAACAAAAUCAAAACGGAAUAAUUUUUAUCAAGUUUUCGACACAACACAAUCAAGGAAAGGCCAAAUUAACCAAGAUUGAGUUCUGAGAACAAUGGUCAUUUCGAUUAACAAAAAAAAAAAAAGAAUAUCCGGGUGAAAAAACUUCCUUUAUUCUUUUUCUUUUCAUGGUUUAACAUCUUAGCAGCAACCAGAAACUGAAGUCUGAAUGAACCCCCUUCCCCAAAAACGAUACAUAAAUCUAGAAAUUAGAACAACAAUAAGAUGGUCUUUAAAGCAUUUUUGCUGUUCUUGAUGAAAAUUCUUUUAAGUUGAUAAAGGUCAUAAUAAUACACAGAAAUGCUUAGUCAUUCAACAUUCACUAGCAGAGUCUCUACACAGAAAUGAAAUUAAUGCAUGCACAAUGCUGACCUUUUCAACUUUUAAAUUAACAGCUUCCACCCUAUCCUCAGUGUCCUGUGCUUCCGAUUCCAUAACAUGAAGUUCAAAGUUGUUCUUUCUCGAAGCAUCCCAAAGCAAACGUACCUAGGAGAACGAGGCCUACUACUCAAGUCAGAUGAAUAUUGCAAAUAAAGCAAGCAUUACAGGCAAGGAAUCCAAUAGUAGAAAAAAAUGGAAUUAGGGAUUAUAUUUAUAUUAAACCAUUUAAACGAACCUCCUCUUCUAGAGCCUUAAGCUUUUCAUCAGCAAGUAAUGAAUCAUCCUGCAAUUAACAUAAUAUAGAAAUUACAAUUCAUAGCCGAAUAAACCCUAAUUUAGUACACUGAACUCUUCAAACUACGCUUCUUUAGGGAAAGACAUUCAAUAACUGAAAAUAAUUGAAAACAUAAUAAUAAAAAAGCAAAGCUUCUUGGCUAAGAAUUGAACCUUAAGAGUGGAUAUAACAGACUGCAGAUAAGUGAUCUUGUUUUCCAUGCCUUCGAGAAGCUUCUCGCGUUCCUUGAGAAGAAGGGUUUUAGCAUCAAUGCUUUGAAUUGUUUCUUCGAGAACAGAUUCUACAAUCAUAUUUACAAAGCAUCAAAGAAUUGAAGAUUACGAUUAGUAAUUUGUUUCUAAUGAAGCGUUUAUCGUUAAAAAGAAUUUGAGAGGGAAAAUUACCCAAACGAGAGAGCUUUAGCUUGGCGUCAUCCAAUUCACGGAUCAAGAGGUUGUGGUCGUUGUUAUUUAGUUGAUCUUGCGAUGUGAGAGAGAUGAAGAAGACGAAGAAGAAGAAACCAGUGAAAAUGGCGGGAAAGAGAGGAGCCGCCAUUGCUGCUUCUUGAAGUUGCUAAUACGAUCUUUUCUUAAAGAAGCUUUUUGUUGCUAAGAGAAAGAUGGAGUAAUGGUGGACUUUGGAAGGACAGAUCUGCUUUCCCAUAACUAACCAUUGUUUUUAAAGAAAUUGUUUAUUUGAUAUUGUACUUUUCAAAGGAUAAAAUAUUUAUUUUAGACAUUAUUUACUAAAUUUUAUAAAACUAAAGAAAAAAAAAAGUUAUAAGAGUCAAAAUUCAACUUUCAAAGCUCAAGUUACUAUUAAUAUCACGGGACUAAAACUUCUGACAAGUCGAAUCGAUUUAGUCAUUUUUAACGAAAAUAAAUCGACGAUCAAGAUUAGAGCUUCUCUACCAUUGAAAGUUCUAUAGGAUUUAAUCUGUAUAUAAUUUUAUCACUUUAAGAUUUACGCUAUUUAACCUAGUAACUCUAAUUUUAUAGAAAUGUUUCACUGAGCCAUAAAGGCUUCAAGUAUACGAGUUCCUUCAUGGGUUCCACGAAUCGGGACAGUUCAUAUGGGUCAAAUGUGAGUUGACUUCUAUGCGGCAUUUUGUGCACAAUAAUCACAUGCUUUAGUCUGUGACCCGUGACACUAGUCUAGAGAAUAAAAUAAAAAAUUAGAUUUAGACUAAUUUACCUGUGUACCUAUUGAAUCUCAUGCCUAGGCUUUUGCUCUACUCGAAUCUAACGUUUUGUUGCUUGGCUUUUCCUUUCUUUAAAGUGAUCAAAUUGUUUACACAUUUUGUGCUUCUUUGGUGGAACUACGAGGAGAGAUUAUAAAAGUUCCCUUUCUUCAGAAAGCAUCGAUGCUCUUGCAAGGUACAGAGCAUAAGCAUUCUUCUGGAGUCCCUUUGAAGCUUGGAUGGGGUGCUCGUUGCGCAUUUGAGCUAUCUUCCAUUAAUGGGAUAAGUUUGUUUGGUGAGCUUUUAUGCUUAAGCUUGUGUUUUGUUAGGCUGAAUUUGAGCCCAGAUUAUUGGAUAUCAACAAUAGUUCUCAGGUUUCAAAAUACCUUCCGAAAGAUCAGCAGUAACUGCUGCAAUAGGACUUGGCUCCACGGUGUGCUUCCUCUAGACUUUGACUAUCACUUCAGGACUGCACCCUAGGUCCGCCAGCAAAAUAAGCACAUACUUUUAUUUCAGCUGUUGUUGUUGCUAAUGAUGCGUGUUACAAGGUUUUUUGUUAUCAAAUUAUUGAUUAAUUAAUAAAAAAUGUUGUUAAUAUCACAGCUUGGACAGUUCUAAAUCAAGAAUAUGUAGCCUUAGAAGCAAGUUCUCUGCAUGAUGAAAUCACAAAUACUAUUCACAUGAUGUCUUUUUUUUUGGGCACGUAUUCUGUUUCCGGGCCUAAACAGAAACCAAAAAUGAAAAAAUAAAAAAACAAUAACAACAAGACUCAUUAACAACAGCCCAAGAUCCAAUUACAAAAUUACUGGCCCAAUACACAAACCCUAAAGCCCACAAUAUUAAUUUUUUUCAGAAAACUAAAACAAAACCCCAGCCCCUUCAUGCCGCGCCCCAUGUCGGCAUGCCCACCCCCGAGGUUUGCUCCCCUAACGCACCUCUUGCACCAAAAUGGCAAGACUUGAGUCUCGUUAUCGCUGUUGACUUCGCCACCUGCAAAAAAAGAUAAAGAAAAAAGACAGAGACCAAACAGUGCAAGAACAAACGCAUAACAGUAAAAUAUAAUAUGUAAAUCGACUUUAAAAGCCCCAACAAUCAAUGUAAUUUUUUUACGGAGAAAGCAAUAAAAAAAAGCAAAGAAAAAUCAAAUACAAAAAAAGCAAAGAGUUAACAAAAGUAGUUUUUUUUUAAAUCUCGUCUAAUAAAAAAGUAGUUUUUUUUUAAAUCUCGUCUAAUAAAAAAUAUAAAAGAGUAAAAAGGCUCGAUUUUUACCUUCGGUGCUUUGUCUUCGACCGUUGUAGGAAUCCAUCGUCGUAGGGGCUAUCUCUUUUUUUCUUUUUUCUUUUUUUAAAAAAAAACCCCAAGAAACUGAAAGGUUUCAUCUUUUAUUUUUAUUUUUGAAUUUUGGAUCAUUUUUUGGGAAUUUUGACUCCGGAUCCAUGCUCUACAAAAAAAAAGGACUCGAAAGGGAGUCUUUGUAACAGCCCAAUUUUCAAUAGUGUCAGAAUAGUGAUUUGAGAUCACUAAAUCUAAUGAAAACUUUAGAAAAAUUUAUUAAUUAAUAAUUAUAAGUUCAGCGUGAUUUUAGAAAUAUUUUUGAAUUAGCAAAUUUUGUGAUUUAAAAGAAAUUAUUAGGAAAAUUGGGUCGAAAACGAGGUAUUGAGACCUCGAUAUUAUAAACUGAGCUGUAAAUAUUUUUAUAAAUAUUUACGGAGUGUCAUUAGGGUAGUAUUAAAGUUUCGUUAAGAAAUUUUAAUGUUCCGAUGGUUAAUUGAUUAAAAAGGACUAAAUUGCAACAAAGGUAAAAGUUUAAUUAUAGAUUAAAGAAAAGUUAAAAGGACUAAAUAAGUAAAUAUGCCAACUCAAUAAAUGAGGCGGCAUAUGCAUGAUAAAAUCUGAGAUUUUUUUAAGUAUAUUAUUAUUUUAUUAUAUUGUAAAUUAUAUUAUAUUAUUAUAUUAUUAUAUUUUAAAUAAACAAAAUUGUUGACAAAUGAUGACAUGUGGAAAAAUAAAAUACAUAUAUUAGUAAUUAUUACACAUUUACUUAUUAUUUAAGUAAAUAAUUUUAUAUUAUUAUUUUAUUGUUAUUAUAUUAAACUAAUGAAAUAAAAGAUAGAAAAGAGAAUAGAAACAGAAUAGCAUGGACGAAACAGAGAAGGAAAGAAGGAAAGAAAGAAAAGAGAAAAUUGAGGUUUUGAGGUUCUAAGCUCAUUUGGUAAGUCAAUUUAAUCCAUUUUCUCUUAUUUUUGAUGUUUUUGGAAUCCUAGAGAUAAAUACUACUUGAUUUAUGUUGAUAUUUUGAAAGUUAGUAGAUUAUUAGAUGAUGUUCAUGUUGAAUAAAUUGAAGUGUUAGGGGGGUUAAAUUGAUUGAAUUUCAAGUUAGAAGUUAGUAAAGGAUUUAAUUGUAAAAUAAAGUGUAAGUUUUGAAAAGUAGGGACUAAAUUGAAAGAAUCCCGAAAUUAGGAAUAUAUGGUGAAAUUGAAGAGCUAAAUUGAGUUUGUAGUAAGAAUUAAGAGAGAAUAUGGAGUUAGAAUGGGAAAAUAAAAUUAAUAUUGAUAAGGGAUUAAAUUAGAAUUUGGGUAAAGUUUAGGUACAAAAGGAAAUAUUUUAAUGAAAUUGUGUAUUAAUGAUUUUUAAUUGUUUAAUUACGUAGCUAAUGUCGUGCAAGAGUUAUUGUCCGAGAAAGAAAAGGAGAAGGUGAACAAGGAGUGACUCGAGAGAAAUUUCGGUUAGUAUUACCAUAAUUCGAAUUUAAUUAUUAAUUGUUAUAUUUUAAUUAAAAUGCAUGCAGAUAAGUAAAAUUAGGUAAGCAAUAGAAAUGAUAAUAGUGAUUUGGAUUGAAUGAAAUUGAAUUGAAUGAAGAAAAUACGUGAGUAUUUGAAAUGCAUAUUGAUUGAAAAAUAAUUAGUGAUUUGAGUUUGAUUGGAAAAUGAAUUAAAAUAUAAAAUGAAUAAAAGUGAAUUAAAUUAUGAUUAUGUGUGAAUAUGUGAAUUGUGAAUUGAUAUGUGAAUUGGAAAUCGAGAUAUGACAUUUGAAGAUAUGUGAAUAUGUGAAUUGUGUAUUGAUCGAAAAGUGGUUUGAAUUGAAUCGAAGUAUGAUUGUAUGCGAAUAUUUGAAAUAUGUAUUGGUAUUGAAUUGUAUAUUGAUUUGAAAGUGGGAAGUGAAUCUGAGUUGAAUUGUGAUUGAAUCGAAAGUGAAUUUGAAAUAGAAAAAUGAUUUGAAUACCCUAUUAACUAGUCGGGCUGAGUCGGAUAUAGUUGGCAUGCCAUAGAAUUGGAAGUGUUCAGGGAUACUUCGACCUUGAGUCAAUGAGACACUGGGUGUCAUACUGUUACUUCGGAUAGAUUCGAUGAGGUACUGGGUACUAACUUACUUCGGCUUGGCCGAUGAGACACUGGGUGUUACUUUAUUACUUCGAACUAUCCGAUGAGGCACUGGGUGCCAUUCUGGUGUGUUUGGUUGGAUCCGUGUAUCCGCCAAAGUCCGAGUCAAGUUAAUAGGGAUAAAUGAAUAAUUUUGAUAAUAUAAAUUUUAUUGAAUGGUCUUGAAUAUGAAUCGAAAUGAGAUAUUAAAUUGAGAUAUAGAAAUGAAAUGUAUGAACCAAGGGUUCAAGAAAUAGUUAACGAUAUAGUUCAUGAAAUGAUUUUGGUAGUAUGAGAUGAUGUAAAAAUAAAAGUAGAUAAGCAAAUUGAAAUAGCUAUUGCUGAGAAAUGAUAAGUGAAAAUAAAAUGAUUCGAAAUAGUGGAAUUAUAUGUGAAUUUAAUUGAAUACAAGUUAUUGAAAUUUAUUUAUGGAUUUAAUAUAUUAAAUGUUUAUUAAAUGAUUAAAAGUAUAAAUUGAAUAUAAAUAGAAAUGAUAAUGAAUGAGUUGAUAAAUUGAUUGAAUUUGUAUGAAUUGAAAUGAGUUAUUAGAAUGAGAUGUUGAAAAAUCCAAUAGAAUUGAGAUAGUGAAAUAAGGCAUGAAUACAAUUAAAUACAAAAUUGAAAUAUUGCUUAUUGUUAUUAAUUAUCAAGUUGUUUUAAAGUACGAGACAAUUAACGAAUAAUUAUAGACAUAAAUUAAAUGUAUAUAAUUUAUCGAUUAAUGUUAUUAAAUUGAAUUAUGGUAAUGCCACUGAGUAUUCCCAUGCUCAGCGUACGGUUGUUUCCGUGCGCAGGUUAGUAGAAAACCAGUGUUCGGUCCAGCAUCCAGAGUAAUCUCGACCUCAGAGAAAUUUUAGUGAUGUACCUUUCUUUUGAUAACGCGGCAUGUACCUAAGUAAUAUAUAUACAUAAGUGAUGUAUAGGAAUUAAUCAUUUUGAAUGUUUUUAUCUAUGAUAUUGCUAAAGGAAGAUGUGUGAGUAUGUGAUUAAAAUGGUUUAAGUAUGAAUGUGUUUGGUACUAUGUAUGUUUAGGUGAUAAAUCAUGCAUGGAAAUCAUGAAAGAGUAAAAGUUUGCAAAGAAACAGAUUUCAAGCAGCUACAGUGAUGUGACUUUGAAAAAUCACCUAGGAUAGUAUAUAAUGAGUUAGAAGGUGAAUGAUAUAUGGAAUUAAAGCUUGUUGUGUCUAUUUUCAUGGAAAAAUAACGGUUUAACAAAAGGAGUUUUAUAUUUUAAGAUAUGUAAAUUUUCGUGACACAGGGUCAGAACAGUUUUUGGUGUCCCCUGUUUUGAGUUUAGAAAAUCAUUAAAAAUUGUAAAAAAAUAUUUAUGAGUUGUAUUUUACAUGCUUAGAUUCCUUAUUGAGUCUAUUUUCUGUAGAAACAAGUAAUAACUUCAUAUGAAAAUCCUACAAUGAGAAAAUUUAUUUUUAAUGACAAGAGAUCAAGACAGUUAAGUGGUGAAACAUGGGAAACUUUAUCUAAUAAACUGUACUAAUUGGCUGAACUAAAAAUUUUAAAAAUUUUAUGGUAGGAAGAUAUAUGAGUCUAGUUUCAAGAAAAAUUUACGGAAUUAAAUUUCGAGUCUCGUAGAUCGAGUUAUAAUUAAUUUAGUAACUGCUGCACAAUUGGACAGAUUCGCUAUAAAUAGUGAAAUAAAUUUUCAAACAAGUUUUUAUACUCUGAAUUAGUAAGAUAAGUUAAGUAACGCCUCGUGCUCGACUCCGGAAACGGUCUCGGGUAAGGGGUGUUACAGUCUUUUUCGAUUUUCGGCCACUAGAGGCGGCGGUUUCCGUCAUCGAUGACAGGCGAUCAUGGCGGAGACUCGCCGGCCCCAUGAUUGGAGAGAAAGGCAGCUUCAAAAUAAAAUAAAAUGAAAAUAACUGUUUUUUUUAAAAAAAAACUAAAUUAAAAUGAUUUUUUAAAAGAUAUUUUACUUAUAUAAGCCCCCAAAACGGCGUCUUGCUUAAGCUUUAGAUGCCAACACCGUGUCGUUUUGACGCAACCUAACUACUGACUCGACCCCCCACAGGAUUCACGUGUUUUUUAUGUGAGGGGUCUAUUUGCACCUUUAGUCCUUCUGAUUUUUAAUUAUUUUUCAAUCCAAUCCAAUCCUUAUUUUUUUUAAUUUUUACCACGGAAUUUUGGUCCUGUUUCAUUUUAGCCCCUCUCGGAACGGUGCAUUUAGGUUGAUUGGGAUAAUUUCCCAUUUGGCCCCUAUUUCUUUUCACGCAUUUCAUUUAGAUCCUUUAUUCUGUUUUAUUAAUUAUUUUUUUAUUAUUUACAAUUCAUACCCCUUAAUUUCAAUCUGAUUUCAAUUUAAUCCUUAGUUUACUUAACUUCAAUCAUUUUUACAAGCUGUUUUAUUUUAUUGUUAUUUACUUAUUUAUUUAUUUAUUUUCAACCUUUCAUAAUUUAUUUUAUUUUAUUAUUAUUUACUUAUUUAUUUAUUAUUCCAAUUUCAGCCUUUCAUGAUUUUUUUUAUUUACUCAUUUAUUUAUUUAUUAUUUCAAUUUUAGCCUUUCAUGAAUCUUUUUAUUUUUACUCAUUUACUUAUUUAUUUAUUUAUUAUUGCCCUACCUUUUAUUUUGAAAAUUUAUAUUUUUCAUAUUUGUACAUUUUUGCCAUGUUCAUUAUUAGUUCAUUUUUUGUUUUAGUUAUUUUAUUAUUUCUUUUUUUAUUUUUGGCAUUUUCAUGUCAUGUCUUUUAAUCAUACAUCUUCUAAUUUUUAUUUUUAUUUUAAGUUAACUUAUUUAUUUUAUUAUUUUUAUUUUUAUUUUAAGUUAACUUAUCUAUUUUAUUAUUAUGAUUACAUUCUUGCAGCUAUAGUAUCCCUUUAUUUAUUAUUUAUCAUUUUGAUAUCUUAUCCAUAUAGUUAUUUUAUAUUAUUUCAUUAUCGCUAUAUCAUAUAUUAUGUUUAAACAUUUAUCCAUUUUUAUAUUAUAUCUAAAUAAGAUAAAUACGCAUUGUUUUAAAUGUUACAUUUGUUAUUACUUAAUGAAGGAAAUUUUAAAAUUAAGACAAUGUCCAGUAUUUGGAGAUUCGAGAAAUCGUGCCCUAAUUUACAGGGUUCGACUUUUUCCUUGAACCUAGAUAACCGAACAUCCCUUUUAAAAUUAAAACACAUGAGAUUUAAUUGAAUAAUGAGCAAACUUAUUUUUGAGGAUUCGAGAUGUCGUGUCCUAACUUAUGGGAUAUGAUCUUUUCGUUUACCUCUAGAUAAGAAAGCCUUUUACAUAUGUUUUAAUUUAGUUUAGGGAUUUUAAGUUAAAAUAUCAUCAUGCAAGAUGGGAUCAUGUUUUAAAUUCUCUUCAAUUUUUUAAUUUUCAACACUAAGACAUCGAGUAAUCAAUUAGGUACCAAUUUUGAACGUCACGAGGGUGCUAAUCCUUUCUCGUGCAUAACUGACUCCCGAACUCAUUUCUUGAAUUUUUGUAGACUGAAAAUCAUUUUAAUAAAUCAAACAUUUUAUUAAAAUUACGAGGUGAUCCAAUCACACCUCGUAAAAAUGAUUGAUGACGACUCCCAUUUUCGUUUUUAAAAUAAAGUCGAUUUCAAAAAGUUUAGACAGUCCAAAUUUAUAAAAGCUUCUAAUGAAAUAAAGCUUAAUUUGAGAGACAGAAUAAGUAAUAGCAGUACACAUUAUUUCAGAGUCAACACUGGCUGAUCCACAGUUAUAAAUAGGUUGUUCUCUGAAUUUUAAAAGAAAAAAUAAAAUGAAAUGAUAAGAGAAGAAAGAGGGAAAAAUAAAAACUUCACAAUAACAGCAAGGUAAAAUCAAAUUUGGUCUUCAUCAGGACUUCCUCCAAUUUCCUUGCCUCCUUUUUUAUUCUCAUGCUGCUUUCAUUUGCUGCCAAGAAAAACAGAUUGGGUCGGUAUUUGAUACACUACAGUAGAGUUUAAAACUAUACACACCAGUUUUUAUAUAUUCAUUUUGUAUUACAUGCUAGUAUCACACAAUUCUUAUAAUUUUAAUUGUGGAAUUUAAAAUUUUUAAAUAACCAUUGUAAUAAUUAAAAACUUAAGGGACGGAUAAAGCAGUUAUAUAUAUGUCUUGAAUGUAUUUAACUCACUCGUUUCUCUUCUUCCAUCUUGGCCUUGAUGAAAGAGUAGGCGGCCACUCCAGCAAUUGCUACGGCUGUUCCUAUACCAGUCUGAGUUGAAAUCUUGUUUCCUGCACCAAGUAUAGUUCGUUAGAUAUGGUUGCCAGUAUCCUAAAAUGAAGAACAAAAUCAUGGACUCUGCAAAAUUUAUUAACUUACCAAAGACAAUGAUUGAGAAGCCAAUGACAAAUACACGUUUCAGCACGUUGCCCACUGCAUGGGUCAGUGGUGCCACCCGCUCCAGAGUAUUGGUAGCCAACUGAAAAAGAAAAUAAAAACCUUCUUUAGCUUCGGUUGCAUAUUUGAAUAAAAAUAUUAAAUUUGAAAAUAUCACUAAACAUCAAUCAACAAGCUAGUACCACUUUCCUUAGACCUCAUCAUGAGUAUAAUACGGUAUUGUUAUCUUUGAGUGUUAAUUGAUCUCUCAAAGAUUUAUCACUUGAAGGUACGCUUCCUAAAUUCAAACCUAGACGGAUAUUGCUAGUUGAUAGAUCAUGAUAGGAACAUUAACUUGGAUAAAAAUGGUUAGAGCUGUUUAAAAUAUAACUUAAGCUUAAGUUUUAAUAUUCAAAACUUGAACAUAGUUGAACUUAUUUUUUUUAAUUUUGUAAUAUGUUAUUUUUAUUUUAUUUAUAUAUUAUGUAAUUCAUUUCAUAUGAAAUUUAUGUUAAAAAAUACAUUAAGGUGUUAAUGUUUACAAAGUUGAUAAAAGUAAAGAUUUAUAAUUUUAACAUAUAUUUAAAAAUAUUUUUAUUUAAAAAAUUAAAAAUAACAUAUACAAGUUUAAAGGUUGGAUUCAAUCAUUCAUAAAUAUAAACAGAUUUAAAUAAACUAUUAACAGCUCUAACCGGUAAAGAGAGGUCAUGCUUUAGACAGAUGAAGCAUAUCAAAAACAGAAAAUAAACUUAAAACACUAAAUAUGGAGAAAAUAAUUUACCUGAUUAUAGAGAUGGUAGAACAUUCCCACCCAGAAAAGAUCUGAGAUGAACUUAGUCAUACCCACUUUAGCAAUAGCAUCAUUGAAACCAUGCUUCAACAAUUGAGGACCCUCAAACUGCAACAAUCAGAUGGGGAAACACGGAAGGGUUUUAAACAGACUGUGUGCUUAAGCUUUUAACUAUCUAAAAAGCUGCAGCUGCAUGCAUUGAAACCUCUUUUCUUUUACUUACAAUGAGGGCUGGGGGAAUACAGACGAAGAGAGCAAUGAUGGAAAUAUAAGCAUAGACAUUUGUACUGUCCAUAUCCGUCUGCAUAUAUAUGAAAAAACCAACAAUUAUUAUAAUUCAAAGUUAUGAACAAACUGAAAAGUAAGAAGAAGAGGAGAAAGGUCACCAUAGCUUUCUUGGAAUAGAUACUCCUGUAAGUGAAGGAGAUGUUGGAAAUCAUUGCGCUAAUGAAACCCGUCCAAUUGAAUGACAGCUCAGUCAGUGAUGCCAUGGAUACACCUGCAUUCAGUUUGCAAUUAAUUAAUGGCAUUCAAACAUGGUAAAAUUCACACUUUGAACUGGUUUUCAUGAGGUGAUAGAACAGAGAAACAGAGAGAUUACCAAUAACAACAGGAGCAAGAGACAACCAUAGAGUGAUUGGUAUUGAUUGUCCAAGUAUGAACUGGGAAGCAGCAGCGUUGAAGAAAGGCUCAAGAGCUGCAAAAGCAAACAACUUGUUCCUUAUCAGCCUCAUAAGCAAUAGUGCACUAUACAUAUAUGCACAAGAGAAUAAAUGCAUGAUGUAUUACCUUUGAUAGUGUGGGUGAAAGAAACAGCAACAGCUGCAAAGGAGACAUUGCUAGUUACAUGACCAAGUCCAUGGCAUACAGCAACAGGAAUCAACAACUUCAGUAGGUUUGAAUCAAUAGGCUACACACAUGAAAAAAAGAUAACAAUUACAUGGUAUUAAUCAGUUGAAAUUUGGUAUAAAAUUCUCAUAUUUUCUUCAAAAGGUAGCAAUGUUCCAAUCUCAAGACAUAAUGCUACGAAAAAACAUAACCACGGCAGUAAAGUUCGCACAUGCAGCGGUUUGUAAUCACUCAAAUUCCAAUGUAAGGAAUCAAAUGCAAACGCAUAUACAUUAUAAUGGAAAGGAGGAGAAAAUAGGUCUGAUUCUGAUAUUUGUCCUCUACCACGCUAAAAUUUGAUAUAAUUAUAUCUCUCUGCUUUUGUAAUGUUAUUAGUAAGUCCAAAAUAUUAAAAGCAUUAAUUACUACCGCUAAUAAUGUAAAAAUUUUAUAUUGUUAUUUGGUCAUAUAGUUAGGGCCCGUGGAAUUCUAAAAGAAAUUCUAAAUCAUCACUUUUAAUGGGAUCAACUUCAACCUACUAAUAAUAUUAAAAAUAGAAAGAUCACAUUGUGUGAAAUUAAAGUAAAAAAUUUAAAUCUCAAAUUUUAAUAUAAUGCACCGACUAAAACCAGAAUUAGCCCAAUAGUAUCUGUCAGAAAAAAAAAAAAGAAAUAGUAAGUUGAGAUAAUAGACUUGAAGGUUCACUUACAGCCCGCUUAGGGAGGCCUACAGCCCAGCUCACCAAACAGUAAACUACCCCAACGAACAAGUGAAUGACCGAUACAAAACUGCGCCGAAAAUGCCAUGAAAAAAAAUCCUUCAUAACAAAGCCAUGCUAUGAACAAGCAUUGAGAACCCAAAAAAAAUGUAAAAUGGAAAUUCAUGUACUCACUAGGGAUAAGGGAAGUAAUUGUAGAUCUUCUUGUUGAGAAUGUUGAAUAUUACAUUCAAGAAGUACCUGGAAAAAAAUUAAAUUAAAUUAAAUGGAUGAUCGUGUAAUUCAAAAAAAUUGAAGUAAACUUGACGGAAUCUUAACUGCCGUUUUGACUCAUUUGAAAGUGUAUUGUUGAACGGUUUUUUUUUUUUUGUGCUUACGUAACUUACCACAUGAAGAAGAAAAAUCCGGUAACAAGAGCAGGAUACUUCUCGAAGAAUCCAACCGGAGCGAUCUUCCCCUCCCUGCAAUAACACACGAGUCAGUGAGUCAGUGACUGAAGCGUGGACUAGUUGACCGAGUCAGAACGGAGGAAACGGACCUCACCCGGCGGAAUCGCUUCCUCCCUCGGCCGGUGACGACGCGGCAGCCGAAACCGGUUUCAGAACCUCUCGCUUGCUAACCGACGAGCAUUCGAGUAGCAAGGAGGGCCUUAGUUGCCUCCGCCAUAUGACGUUCCCGCCUUCACCGACGGCUCCGAUCGGCUUAGCCGAAGCAUACGAAACGUUGACAAUCCCCGGCGAAAGCUUCGGCCUGAGCUGAGGUAAGCCGGUGAUAACAGAAGCGCGUGAUAACAAUCGCGACUCCAUUGCUAGAGAGAGAGAAAAGGAAAGGAACGAACGAAAAUGUGUGUAUGCUAGCAAGAGUGAGCUCUUAAUGCAGAGACGCAAAUUAACUGUCUCUAUUUUUUUUUUUUAAUUUUUCUCAACUACUAACAUUUUCUAUUUUUGUGGUUCUCAAAUUUCAAAACCAAUUACAUCAUUUUUGUUCCUCUGCAUCCAAACACAGGACAAUAUAAUGAAGCCUCUUACUUCAUCACGUAGAGUCAACGGUGCAGUACCGCAAAAGAACAUAGAAAGAGGGAAUAUGGUUCGGCAAAUAGAGUACUGGGGCUUUUUUUUUUUAUUUGGGCUGAAACGAAGAUUCGAUAGUUAAACCCUCUAAUUAUAGUAUUUAGUGUAUGUAGAUAUGUUCUUUAUAUUUUUAGGGCCCUGAGUAAAAUGAUAAAAUAAGGUCUUAGGUUUCUUAAAAGUUAGAGAAAAAUUUUUUUAGGUCCCUCAAAAGUUGUUAAAAAAAUUUUUGACUUUUAAAAGUUAAAAAAUAAUAAUAAUAAUUUUGGGGCGCUUAAAAAUUGAAAAACAAUAUUUUAAACCCCUUUCAGCCUUGGGCCCUGGGCGGCUGCACCUCUAGACGACCUCCAGAGUCAAGUUUGGGUGUAUGGAGGUUUGCAAGAGCUUGUUGAACAAAAAUCUCCAAAAAAAAAAAGCUAAGAUAUAUAGACAACUUUUUUCACACAUGAUUGAGAAUGAUAUAUGUGGAAUGUCAUAUCUAACCAUACUUGCUCAAAAAUUAAUCUCUUUGUCACAUGCGCUCAAACCUAACGAGAUAUGUGGAAUGAGAUAUAUAUAUAUAAAUAUAUAUAUCUAUUUCGUGAAUAUUUAUGCACUUCUAAUUUAUUUUCAAUUUAUUUGCUUAAAAUGAUUUCUUAUACAACUUUAUAAUAAUUGAAAUAUGCUACUUGACAAAUUUAUUCAGAGUGUGACAUAAUUACCACUAAUUUAUUUACUAAGAACAUGACAUAAUUAUCAUUAAGAAUAUAGUUUACAAUUAUAUUGAUACACUAUUAAUAUUUAUCAAUUUCCACCAAAUAAGGACCUUACAAAAAUUAUUUAUUUGAAUUUUUAAAGAUAUUCACUAAUUAAUGUUCAUGAUGAAUAUUUUAAUUUCUUAAUAAUAGUAUUUUAUUUCAAUAAUUUUAUCCGAUAAAAAAUAAAUUAUUAUAAAUAAAUAAAUACUUAACAAUAAAAUAUAUCGCGUCUUUCAAACCAACUAUAAACAAUUAGCCAAUUGUGGUAGAGUCGUACUUAUUAGAUUCAAGACUAAUCCGAGGGAAUGAAAAGUAAAAGGGUGGAGACAAAAAUUGUGGCUGAAGAUUUAGGGAUGACAAGAUUUUUGGCGGAUGAAGAGAAAAGUAGGGCCGGUUCUUAUCCCCAGUGAAAGGCUCGUGAAGGGAAGAGGAUAUAGUGAUUCUUGUCCAAUCCUUACUGGUCUAUUCCUUGAUUUUCCAUAACAUCCUUAUCUUCUUCAAUCUUUUCCUUUUCUCUUGUGUGGUGAAAACUGAAAAAAAUAAAUAAAAUAUUUUAUUUUUUGUCAGAUAAUACCCAUUUUAGGAUCAUUUUAAAAAGGAUUGGUAAGAAGAAAGAGAUUGGUAGCGAGUGGUACGUAUGAGAAAGGCUGUUGUUGCAUGUAAUUUUCAUUGGGUUGUGGUUAUAGUUCUGACACAUGUACUUUUAUUUAAUAAACAGGACACCUGUUUCUACGAUAUUAAAAUUCGAAAUUAUUUUAUAGAUCAUUUCUAUCAUAUUAUUUAUGGUUUCGUCUAAUUAGAAAAAAGAUAUAUAUAAUCUUUUUUUCUACAUCGUAUAUACACUUAGACUAAACUUCUAAAUCAAAGAUGUUGUAUCUUAUUUUAAUUGAGCGGAACUAUGAAUGAUAUGAUGGAAAGAGUUCGUAAAAUAAUUUAUUGUCUUCAAAUUCAUUUUCAUGUGCCUUAUCAUUUGAGCUUUUCUUUGUUCUUUUUAAUUUAUCAUAAUUUUAAACACCAAACUCAAUAUUUGGUACGAGUAAAGACAAAUUUGUAAAAGAAUUUAUCUAUUCACGUAAAAUAACUUGUAUGCAUUAAUAUCCCAUGUAUGCAUUAAUAUUUCAAUAAAGGUAUCGUGGAGGCGCUUUGUUAGGAUCGUCCCGAAUAAGCAACGAACAAGUAAAAAUAGUAGAAGAAAUUGAUAAGAUGAACACACAAAUUUAACAUGGAAAAACCCCUCAAAAGAGGAUAAAAAACCACGAGCAAAGAUAAUUUUACUAUAAUGGCAAAAGAAUGAAGAGUACAAAAGAUGGAGAUAAAAACUAAACCCCGAAAACUCGAAAAACAAAGAACCCUCAAACGUAAACACAAAAUUCUCUGAAUGUGUUAUGAGUUCUAAUCUAAUGGGUGUCUCUUAAUUCUAAGAUUGCAAAGGAGCCUAUUUAUAGGCUAAAUUAGUAAGUCAAAUAAACUAUACUAAUAAACGCUAAAUAUAUUAUACUAAUAAAUACUAAAUCUUCUAGAAAGAAAAUAUAUUUUUGUUUAACUUGACUUGCAAGCAAUCUCUUAGAAUUUGGGUCACACAAUUCUAACAAUCUCCACCUUGACACGAAUUCUUUCAAUGCCAUCUUUGCCAAAAACCCGCCACGGGCCUAUCUUGAACUAUGCAGGGAAUUAACUGAGUCGAAUCUAUGCUUAGAAGCUGGAAGACUUCUAGCCUUCGACUUGUGCACUGCCAAAUCAAAACUAACCCGGGUCUGAUUUUCACGAAUACAGUGCCCUAACUUUUCAAAACCUGCAUCCAAAAGAGAACCUCUCUUCAACGAAACGGUCAUACCUUUUUCCCUCCUAUGACCAAGUUGCCUCCGCUUCAAAUGAGUUGACUUUGACUCCGUAACGGACGAGGGACGUCCGAUUUCACCUGUAACACCCCUUACCCGUAUCCAACACCGGAAUAGGGUACGAGGCAUUACCAAAACACAUACACUUGUAAACGUAUUUAACCGAGUUAUAAAAUUUCAUCAAAAUUAAAACUAAUACGUAUUUACCAUUUAACUCAAUGUUUAUUGAUUAUACCAUUCAAUAACACAUUUAUGAAAUUCUCAAUUUAGCAAUGAAAAUAUCACUUUAGUUUGAAUAACAACAUCGUCCUGAUAUAAAUACACUACCACUUAUCCAUUUACUUUAAUUCUUUUGGGCCCAUUUGUCACUUACCAUCUUUAAUCAAAUUAGGGAACAGUCACGGAAAAAAAUUGAGUACUUCACUUUCACUUUGCCAUAGUAUAACUAUGGUCUUACGUAUGAUCACUUAUCACUUGUCCCUGAUCAGAUAAGUGUAGCCACCUAUCACUUUGUUUCUUGAUCACAUAAGUGAAGCCACUUAUCACUUUGUUUCUUGAUCAGAUAAGUGUAGCCACUUAUCACUUUGUCUCUUGAUCAGAUAAGUGUAGCUAAAGCUAUCACUUAUCACUUUGUCUCUUGAUCAGAUAAGUAUAGCCGAAGCUAUCACUUAUCACUUUUCACUUGUCACUUGAUCAGAUAAGUGUAGCCGAAGCUAUCACUUAUCACUUUCCACUUGUCACUUGAUCAGAUAAGUGUAGCUGAAGCUAUUACUUAUCACUUUCCACUUGUCACUUGAUCAGAUAAGUGUAGCUAAAGCUACCACUUAUCACUUUAUCACUUGAUCAGAAGUACUCAAAUCCGGCGUUCCGCUCAAUUUGAUCAUUUAUUCAUAUAUCAGGCUUACCAACAUGUGUUAAUUCAUAAACCAUUCAUGGUAUUAUUUCAUGCCAAAUCAUAUACUGAAUAUACCAUACACACAUACUAUGAAACUUUAUUUUCACACAUGAGCUUAAACCAUGACCAAUAAUGCACAAAAAUAAGCAUCAUUCAUAUUUCAUCGUUUAUGAGUUAUAAUCAAACAUAUGACCAUUUAUACACGAAUCAUUCAUAUAUUUCCCAAUUUUCCUCCUCCUCCUCUCCAUUCCACAUCCUUAAUGUGUAUAACACACUUAAACAACAUUAACCAUAAUUUCAAUAUUCACUAACAUGUAUAUUCAAAGCUGUUUAUCCGAGUCAGAGUCACUAAAUUGUUUUUAUCCGGAGCUACAGAGCUCCAAAUUAAGAUACGUUAAUUUUCCCUGAAACUAGACUCACAUAUCUUCAUACCAUAAAAUUUUCAUAAUUUUUGGUUCAGCCAAAUAGUACAGUUUAUUCUUUAAAGUUUCCCCUGUUUCGCUGUCUGACAGUUCCGACCACUCUUCACUAAAAAUUAAUUAUCUCAUUGUACAGAAUUCGGAUGAUGUUUUAGCUUGUUUCUUCUAAAAAUAGACUCAUUAAGGAUUCUAACCAUAUAAACUAUAACUCAUAAUAAUUUCUGUACAAUUUUUAAUGAUUUUCCAAAGUCAGAACAGGGGAACCCGAAUUCAUUCUGACCUUGUCUCACAAAAUCUAUUAUAUCUCAUGAUUUACAAUUCCAUUGCUCACAUCAUUUCUUUUAUAAGAAACUAGACUCAAUAAGCUUUAAUUUCAUAUUUUAUUCAUCCUCUAAUUCAAUCUCUAAAAUUUUUGGUGAUUUUUCAAAGUUACACUACUGCUGCUGUCCAAAACUGCUUUAGUGCAAAAUGUUGAUUUCCAUUUUGCCCCAAAUUUCACAGUUUAUACAAUUCGGUCCUUUCUCAAUUAACCCCUCAAUUAAUCUAAUUUUCUCAAUUAGUACUUUACUAGACAUUAUAAGUUGUUACACAACUAUUGAAAUUCAGAAUUUCCACAUAUAACUCUAUCUUCAAACUCUUUUACUAUUAGGUCCCAAACAUUCACUUUCUAUUCAAUUCUUUCAAUAAAAUCAGCAUAUGAACAAUUUAAAGCUCUAAUUUCAUGCUAAAUCAUCAUAUACUUCCAGCACAUAUUCAUAUCAACUUUCAACUUCUUUCAUAAAAUCAAAAACUAAUGAAUUUAACAAGUGGGCCUAGUUGUAAAAGUCAUAAAAAUACAAAAAUUUCAAGAAAUAGUCAAGAAUUGAACUUACUUGUAAUAAAAAUAUGAAGAACCAGCUUGAAGAAGCCCUUCCAUGGUGUUUUAGCUGAUGAGAAUUCAGAAAAAUGAAGAGAAAUCUAGAUAAUUCCACUUGGGUCCUAACUUUAUUAAGCAAAUUUUGCAAUUUUCCAAUUUUGCCCUUAAUUCUCCUUACUUUCUUGCUGAUUUCAUGCCUCUGCCGUCCAGCCCAAAUAGACCUUGGGUCUAUUUGCUUUUUAAGCCCUCUUCCUUUUAUCAUUUAAGCUAUUUAAUCAUUUCCCAAAAUUUUGCAUUUGUUACAAUUUAGUCCUUUUUGUUCAAUUAAUUAUCGAAACUUUAAAAUUUCUUAACGAAACUUUAAUACUAACUUUUUAACACUCCAUAAAUAUUUAUAAAAAUAUUUAUGGCUCAGUUUAAAAUCCCCGAGGUCUUGAUACCUCAUUUCGAUUCUAAUUAUUUUAAUAUUUAUUUCUAGUGCACUAUUCACUAUUUCAAAAAUUUUCCUAACUUCAUAUUUAACUUAUACUUACUAAAUUAAUAAUAUUUUCUACCCAUUUGUCGAAUUUAGUGAUCUCGAAUCACCGUUCCGACACCUCUGAAAAUUCAAGCCAUUACAUUUUUUUUUCGUCGGAUUUGUGGUCCCGAAACCACUGUUCCGACUAAGCCUAAAAUCGGGCUAUUACAUCACCGGUCACUGUAGAACCUUCCAGAAUAUAAAGACUGCCGGUUCUUUUACCUUUUAACAAAAUGAGAGCUCCACGAGAUACUUUAAUGUCGCUCGACUCGAUGUUGAUUCUGCAUCCUUUCAAGUCUAAAAUACUCAAGGAGAUGAGAUUCUUUCGUAAAUCAGGUACAUACCUGACAUCUGAGAGUGUCCUAAUCGUCUCAUCGUGUAUCCUAAUUUUAACAGUACCAAUACCGAUUAUUUUACUAGAUGAAUCGUUUCCCAUGUGCACAACUCCACCUUCAACUGAACUGUAUGUGGAGAACCAUUCUCUAUUGGGACACAUGUGGAAAGAACAUCCUGAAUCUAGGAUCCACUCAGACGUAAGCUUGGAGUUAUCGCUCGUUGACACUAACAAGAAAUCAUCACCGCCUUCAUCGACCAAAUUAGCACCAGCUACAUCUUCCUCGUUACUCUCAGCAGCUCUUUUAUUUCGCAGUUUAUAACAAUCUGCUUUGACGUGACCUAACUUUUUGCAAUAGCGACACCUUUUGUCUCGUUUCUUUGAUGCUACCAAAACGGAAGCUUGUCUAUCUGCUUUGCUAUUCAAAUCAAACUCAUUGUCGAGUUUGUCUCUACUCAAUAAAUGACCCUUCACAUCUUCGAACGAGAGUUUGUCUCUGCCAUAAAUCAGGGUCUCCCUGAAAGACUUGUAUGAAGAGGGUAAAGAGCACAAUAAUAGCAUAGCUUGAUCUUCAUCGUCAAUAUGAACCUCAACGUUCUUUAAAUCAUUUAAAAGAGUAAUGAAUUGACUAAUGUGAUCUUUAAGAAGCUCACAUUCGUUCAUGCGAAACGUAAAUAGACGUUGUUUCAACACUAAACAGUUAGCCAGAGACUUAGUCGCAUAAAGAGUUUCUAACCUUUUCCACAAGGCGAAUGAGGUCUUCUCCAUCAAUACCUCCUGCAAUACUGUAUUCGCGAGGCACAACUGGAUUGCAGACAAGGCCUUUUCAUCAAGCUCUUCCCAUUCUGUUUGAUUUAGAUUCUCAGGCUUUUUCCCUGUAACAACCUUUUUCAAGCCAUUUUGAACUAGAAUUGCCAUCAUCCGAACUUGCCACAGAUUGAAAUUUGUCUCACCAUCGAACUUCUCAAUUUCAAACCUUGUUGCUGCCAUCUCUGACCGGGCUGAUCUAUGAAAGUUAAACUAGCUCUGAUACCACUUGUUAGGAUCGUCCCGAAUAAGCAACGAACAAGUAAAAAUAGUAGAAGAAAUUGAGAAGAUGAACACACAAAUUUAACGUGGAAAAACCCCUCAAAAGAGGAUAAAAAACCACGGGCAAAGAUAAUUUUACUAUAAUGGCAAAAGAAUGAAGAGUACAAAAGAUGGAGAUAAAAACUAAACCCCGAAAACCCAAAAAACAAAGAACCCUCAAACGUAAACACAAAAUUCUCUGAAUGUGUUAUGAGUUCUAAUCUAAUGGGUGUCUCUUAAUUCUAAGAUUGUAAAGGAGCCUAUUUAUAGGCUAAAUUAGUAAGUCAAAUAAACUAUACUAAUAAAUGCUAAAUAUAUUAUACUAAUAAAUACUAAAUCUUCUAGAAAGAAAAUAUAUUUUUGUUUAACUUGACUUGCAAGCAAUCUCUUAGAAUUUGGGUCACACAAUUCUAACACGCUUGUAUUAAAAGUUAUAUUGCAUUUUGUUGUCUUUACUAAAAAAAAAGUAAAUUAGUUUAAGUACGUUAAAUCCAAAAACAAAUUGAUCAUUCUAUUAAAAAUUUCAUUUAUUUUUAUUAUUAAAAACCGAUACGUGACUUGUCACAUAUAACUAUCUAGUUAUCCGUCGGCUAGAGGCUAGCCUGAAAAAUGAUCGGAUCAAACCUCGGGUAAGGUUUUUUUGGCCCGAUCUCAGCCUGAAUUUGGUUUUUUUUUGCUACUAUUUUCUCACUAUUUUGUUGUUAUUAUUUGGAUAUUGUAUAUCUCUUAUUUUAUUGUUAAUUUUGUUGUCAUUUUAAAGACAUUUGCUUGUUAAGUUGCACCUAUCUUAAUGUUAUUUAAGUAUAAAAACUUUUUUAAAUUUAUUUUAAUGUUUUUAGUGCAUUUAAUGUAUUAUAUAUUUUAAUUUUUUUAAAUAAAAUUUUAAAAAAUUAAUAAGAACAAGUUGGGCCGAGUUUUAUCAUUUUUAUCUAAAUUGAAUUUGAGAAAAAAUUUAGGCCCAUUUUCAAAUCAGGCCUAAAAAUUUGUUAGGGCCUGACCCAAGGACAACUCUACUGUCAACUACACCAAUUUUUAAUAAUAAAAAUGAAUUAUUUUCUUUUAAAAAAGUUAAUUUAUUUUUCGAUGUAAAAAUUAAUUCACUUAUUUUUUAAAUAAAAAGCACAACCUCCAUAACUUUUUACCCAGUGAUAACUCAUUUUCUCAGGUUACUAGGCAUGUUUGGGUACAAAUUUGAUAGGGAAAUUGCAACAAACGGUUUGGCAUAUUGGGUUGAAUACGCAGAUGAUGCCAUUAAGCCCAACAAAACACACAAUAAGCUAUCCAGUAUCAAGCUUAUCUUUUUCAGCUUCUAAAAGAUUGGGCUGUUGAAUUGUUUCAGGUUUGGGCCUUAGAGUUAAUUUCCCUGUUGAAGACUAUAAUUUACUCUCAAUACUUCAAAACCUUCUAAAGUAUCGGUAUCGCAUUAAUCAAGUAUUUUCUUUCGGUUAAUCUAUCAAUUUGUAUUAACUUGGAUAUAAAAAAGAAUAUGGAUUAAUUGUUAAUCAUAUUCAUGCCUAUCGUAUGAACAAUUUGAAUUUGACAUGUCAAGGUCACUAAAACUAUUAGUGAGUUUACGUUUUGAUCAAUCAAUUUCAAAAUGUUACAAAAUGGUUACUAAACUAUUUAAAAGUAUUUAUUUAAGUAGUCGGGCUGUUAAUUUUUAAAAAAAAAUGGUUUAGCUGACAAGCUCAAAGUGACGAUUUGAUGUAUGGUACCAUUAACGAGUUGAAGAAUAUACCUUAUAUUCAAGUCAAUCUAAUAGUUAGUAUUAGAGAUUGAAAAAGAAAAGUAUUUAGAUAUUAGUUCGUAAAUUAACGGCGUUUAAAGUUAUUUUAUAAAAAAAAUUAAAUUAUAAAAAAAAAUAAUAAUAAUAAUGCAAAGAAUACAAAUAGAGAAACUCUUUCGAUAACAAUUUUAAUAGUUUAAAGGGUAUAAUCUCAUAAACGUUAAUUGGCCGACAAAGGAAAGCCAAUUCCAUGGCGUGUGGUAGGGAAUACAACAAACAACAUACUACCCAAAACCCCAAUCCCAACCGGCAACGCCGUGAGCAUCUCCUGAGCUUGUCUCGACGGUGCCGGAUAAAAGCAAUUCACCACGUUCUGAUCAAACAACGCCACAGCCGCGAACACCAGUAUCGACAAAAAAGCAUGUACGAAAUCUAUAAACCGCAACCGGUAUUUCGCCGCAGAUUCCGGCGGUAAAGUGGCCGAACCAUCAAUGACCCACAACCCAUUCAAAGUUGCCAACCCGUAACAAACAUUCCCAUCCUUGUCUCUGAAACUAUCCGUGAAGCUGGUGAAGAAACACGACAACCCACAAAGGAGUAUCAGUCCGGCAGUCAUGGACCGACACACCGAGUCACAGUCACCUUGGUUAGUGAAAAUGGGGGAGAGAAGCUGGAAAGCAAGGACGGUGCCGGUGGGUAAUAAGUUAGCCAAAUGUGCUGUGCUUUGAAAUGUUUGACUGAUUGCUAUUUGUAUGAGAGUUUUUCUUUCGGGUGCGGGUAGUACUGCCAAGUCUUGUAGGAGGUGUUCAUGCGAUUCAUCAUCAGCAUUAGCUUGAAAUUUGAUAUCCAUGGCUGAGAAAUGUUCUUAAAUUUUAUAUAUGUGUAUAUAUAUAUAUUUCUCUGUUACUUUUGCUGAGAAACUGUGUAUAUAUAUAUAUAGAUUAUGGAGGUUGAUCCAUUGAGUAGACAUGUUCUUGAGUGGUGGUAAAGGAAGGGAAGAGAAUGAAGCGAUGCCUUGCAAGGAAAAGCAAGCUUCCAAAAUAUAGAAAAUCAUCAAGGUUCCGCCAUAUCCUGAAAUGGGAGUUUUGGUUUCAAGCAGGGGCGGAUCUAAAGUUCACUAAAAUGGAAAAUUUUACAUUUAGGUGGUUUAUAAUUUAUAAAAUUUUAAAUUAGUAAUAGUAAAAUUAUACUCUUAACUCUCCAUGAUAAAAAUUUGAUUUGAUAUUUUAAAAAUUAUAAAGAUAUAGGCUAUUAAAAUGAUAAAAUUGUAUUUUUACUAUCAUAAAAAUAUAUAAUUUAAUUUCGCCUCCCAAAUUUCUAACUUCACCAUUGCCCCCAAGUCAUAUUUUUGGAUCCGCCACUGGUUUCAAGAUUUUACUAGCAUAAAAUUUACGGGGAAAUGAUAAGUAGCUAGAUAUUCGAGUAUCGUGGAUUGAGAAAAAAAUAAUGUCCGGAGAGUUUUUGAGUCCAAUUCCACUCAAGUUUGAAUUUAGUCAUAGCCUAAUAUAACUACUCCAUGUUCGAAGUUUCGAUUUAGUUCAAUUCUGGAUAUAGUCUAAUUUAAUUACUAAGUUUUUUAGAAAAAAAAGUUAAGAUUGAUUGAUACUAACAAUUAUUGGGUCGAGUAGUAAGAAUUUCAAUAUCACCUAAAAAAGGUAUUAUGUUUGAGUCUUAUGAACGAGAAAAACAACAUUAGAAAGAUGUGCCUCAUUUUAAGUUCUAAUCCAACUCGCCUUCAGAUUUAACAAGGAUUCAAUAUGAUUGCCGAAUAUGGUUAAUCAAAUAAGGGUUUGAUUUGGCUCAACAUUGAAUUUAGUUGUAACCCAAUAUGACAGGUCAUUUAGGGAUUCAGUCUAGCUCAACAUCUAAUUUAAUCGAAGUCCAAUACAAUUACCAAGGUUAUAGAUAAAAAUGUGAUUAAAAAGACCAAUUAAAACUAAUGAUUAUUAGGUGGAGUAGUAAAAACUUUAAUGCCCCUUUUAAGUAAUAUCUUAUGUUUGAAUUUUGUGGACAAAAAUAACAUUAAAAAAAGUUAUUCAUUUAAAAAUUAGGGUAAACUAUCCUAUUAGUCACUUUAAAUAUGAAUAGUUUCUAUUUUGGUCACCCUAAAAUAGAAAUUAAUCAAGUAUGUUACUCCACCGUUAAAUGGUGACUAAUGGUGCAUUUCUACGUUAGUCACUGUAAAUAGGGGUUAUUACUAUUUUGAUCACUCUAAAUUUUUUGUGUAUAACUACGCUGUUAGUCUUCCAUUACCAUUUAACGGUAGAGUGAUCAAUUUAACCAAUUUUAUUUUUGGAGUGAUCAAAUUAACAAAAAAAAUUGAGAUGACGAAAAUAAAAACGGCCCCUAUCUAGAAUGACUAACAUUAGAAUUUACCCUAAAAUUUUAGGGUUAAUGUCUUUAUAUAAGAGAGUUUGGAGUGAAGGUUUCAAUGGACCGACUUUUAAUGAAAAAUAUAUUUGAUUUUCCAAAUGAGAAGUGUGUGUUGCUUAUGGGAAAGUCAGCAGAUGUCAUUCUUUUUGCCGAGACGCAAUGCAUAAUAUAAACUACAUGUGAACCGGCAAUCUUUUCCAUUUUUAUUUGUUUAUGGGUUUAUCUCAAUGCUUGUUUUAGAGGCUAAUAUUAUUCUCUGCAAUUUCAAGCUGCCUUUUUAUAUAACCAUCGCUUGCACGUCAUAACUACAGAUUACUUACAGAUUAAUGGGCGGAGAGACUUUGUGAUGUGCUGCCCUUCGGGUUGGGGACGCAAUCCCUGCCUAAUCCCACUAUAACUAAUUCAUAACUUGAUAAUCCCUUGCUUGAUUUAUCUUAUGGUCAAAGCUUGAUUCAAGUGAAGGUUGUUCUUGUUUAUCUUCGAAUUAGGUUGUAAGGCUUUUGGUCUUUUUCUAGAAAAGUUUUUUGAGAUGACGUCUCUUUGAAAUUGAUAGACCCCUCAACAUAUUCGAUAUUGUUCUUAGUUGAGGUUUUGUCUCUCAACCCCACGGAAGUUGUCCAAAAGAAGUGGUGGACUCAAUAGAGUGGAGCACCUCGUCGAGUGCUUGAAGAGACGAACCAUGCACCACACAAUUUACAUAGACAUGAUCAUGGGAGGUUUGAGCAAAAAUGGGUUUAGGCAACAAAAAUAAGAUUAAAUUAAAAAAUUGUUUGGGCCUUAGAUAAAUUUUUUUGGCUUGGGCCCAGCUCGAAUUUGUAAAAAAAAAAUAGUGCUGUUUUAUUUUAAUGUUCUUAGUGUAUUUAAUAUAUUAUAUUUUUUAAAUUUAUUUUUAUAUAAAAAUAAUAUAAAAUUUUUUAAUACGGUCGAGUCAGGUCGGACUCGAAUUUUUACUUUUUUAUUCGGAUUGAGCUUAGACAAAAUUUUAAAUUAUUUUACAGAUCAAACCUAUAAAAUGAACCUAAAAUAUUACAGCCCGACCACGAUCACCUCUAAAUUCACGACCACGAUUACCUCUAAAUUCACAUAAUUAAGAAGUUUUGGUCGAAUAAUACUUAUGAAAUUAGGUAAAUACACAAACCGACUGUAAAACCCUAAAAGGAGGCCAUUUCUUGUUUGAUCAUCAUCCUUUAUUUCCCAGACAAAUACAUUUUAAAACGAAAAGUAACUUCCCAUCAAAGCAGUUUACGUUUUAGUGCUUUUAGAUUUUAUCAAUGGAAUUAAGGUUAAAUUUGCAUUUUUUUAAAAUUUUUUUUUAAGUUUUAAGCAAAGAAACUAAAUAAAUUCUGUGUUGAUAUGAUAGUUAGAGUAUUCACUGUCCCAAAUCAAGUAUGACUUGGGUUCGAAUUACCCUGAUCGUGUUAUUAUUAGUGUUCUACCCUCUUCUUAUAACUAAAAAAAAAGCAAAAUUUUCAUUUUUUAAUCAAUUGGAGGGCGAAUAAAUAAAUUUCAUCUUCAUCUACUUCCAAUUGGGUUUGGCCCAUUUUCUAGAAGCAACCCAACAAUGAUGAAACUCGGCCCAUAUCAUAAAAAUUUCCUUUAAAUAGAAAGGGAUAAUACCACAAAUAGCCCUAAACUAUAAUAAAUCUCUCAAUGUGAUACUUAUUUUUUAAAAAUUACAAAUAGCUAAAGUUUCACUUCGUCUAAUAAAGUGGUACUUGUCAUUAUUGUGAUUAAGAAGAAAUGGUAUGGCAAUACAUAAUGAUGCCACAUGUUAAUACAAAUAAUUUUAAAAUGCACAAAGGGCAUAUUUUACGAUGCUAUGUGACGUCAUUACGUGGUGAUAUGUGUUAAUAAAAAAAUAAUUAUUUUAAUUUUAUAAUUUUUAAAAUGACAUGUGGUACUAUAAAAAUAGUGUCGCGUGUCAAUGACACCACAUUGAGAUCAUUGUGUGGUGCCACAAGUCAAUGGGGUCACUUGGUAUCAUUAUCAUGGUGUCCCGUGACAUCUUUUUUUAUUGAUACGAGACACCACGAUAAUAGUACCUUUCUAAUAGACUGAAUAAAGUUAUAAGUAUCAGAAUUUUAUAAUCGAUUGAACCGUCAAUUUUUUAUUAUCUCAAUUUAUGUUUUUACUUAUUCAUAAUGGUUUGCUCUAUUUCUAAUUAUAUAUAAUUGAUUUUCAAGUCAGUCAAAUCAAUUGGUCGGUUUGAUUCUUAGAACAUACCUAUAAGGGUUACAGGGUUGGACUUUAGCCUAGCAAACCGCGUGAUCUUAGAUAAUAAAUUCAUUCCAAAUCUACCUAAAUCAACCCAGGCCCUCAAAAAGUGAGAAUCUCAACUAAAAUUCUCUAGCGAAAUGAUGCUUUACAAAAGCAAGUGAAGCAAGACACAAAAAAAAGAGAGAGGAUGAGGAAAGAACACAACUUGAUUCCAUGUGUUUUAUAACUUCUCUGAACCUCUAAAUGCAAAUUGAGUCCCUAAGUGAUUAUAGAUGAAAGGACAAUACCUUUAUUUAUGGUUGAGCUCCCUAAAAUUCAACGAUACAAAAUGACUUACAUAAACAAUUGAUAUUAAAGUCAAACUACAAUAUGAAAGUCUCAAGGGAUUUAAGUUCUAUACAAUCUUAUCGUUCGGGCUACAAAAUUGCCCUUGUUACCAGAUUUCAAAUAAAUGGAUUUUUCUUUAUAUUUCACGAAUCGAGUCAAUCUUGAUGAAUUAAGUGAUAUACAAUCUUAUGUGCGUAUUAAUCAUGAGCUUUGAUGCGUGUGGAAAAAAAAGUAUAUUCUCUUUUGGUGUGGGACAUUCGCAAUCAUUGUUCAAAGUUAAUUUCGAGUUUACAUUUACCAUUAAAUUAACAAACUUCCACACCCACCUCUAAUAUACUUUUUUACUUAUGAGCAUUGAUCAUGAGGCUAUUUGGUAUAACAUGGAUAUGAUAAGACAUAAUGAUACCAUAUGCAUGCCUAAUUUGACAUCCAAACUUUUUUUUUUUAUGAUGUUCUAAAUUGAUGUGUAUUUUUUUUGCCCAUCAAUUUAUUCUAUUUUGGUAAUUUUGUACUUUGUGUUAACAAGUAUUAGCUAAAAAAUAAAUAGGGAAAAUAAUCAUCAUGAUUUCCAACAUUAAUUAUUAUUUCUAAUUAUGUUUUUAAGAUACAAAUAAUAACCUAAUCAAAAUGGACCCUUAUAGUAACUUUGUUUUCUUCUAAGCUAUAUAAGAUAAAAUUACAAGAGAAAUUGUCAACUUUGUUAUUUUAUUUUAUUUUGUAUUUAAAAGUUUAAAAGUGAAAUAUCUUCAGUCAAUCAAAGGUGAACAAGAUUGAAAUUUGAAUGUUUUAUUUACGUGAAUGGUUUAAAAUAAGAUUUUCCAGGGAGAUCUGAUCAUGGGUCGGGGUAUUCGUUUAAAUUUAAAGAUUUGUUCGAAAAGUGAGAGGGUUUGAGUAAAAAUAUAAGUUCAAAAAAUAUACUUGGACAAAAAAAAGGCCUGUUUAGAAAGCGGGUCAGGCCUCAGGUAAGACUUU
RNAcentral lists this long non-coding RNA (92458 nucleotides) under Gossypium barbadense (sea-island cotton). RNAcentral describes it as "long non-coding RNA (GBAR_LNC019641)". The stretch from base 50 to 172 matches the Rfam family "MIR7504 microRNA precursor family". The record is from RNAcentral. Lineage: Eukaryota; Viridiplantae; Streptophyta; Magnoliopsida; Malvales; Malvaceae.